UGCUGAUGUGUGGUAUUUAAUGUGGAGUUAUGUUACAUGAUUAUGUAUAAGCACUAGUACACAUACUUUAUCAUAAUUAUUACUAUUAAUAUUUUUAGUAUAAUAUUACAUUCGCUCACUAAGCCACAAGCUCACUAUUUUUCUAUUUACCCAUUUCCUCCUAGGAUUUCGUGCAGAUCAGUUCUAAUUAAUUGAUGUUGGGCCACGAGACUCAUUGCUGCAUUUCUUGCAUUUUGAACAUGUUUAUGUUGCUUAUGUUUUUUACGUAAAUGUACAUGUAAUGUCAGUAUGUACAAUGAGACAUAAGCUAUGCAAGUUUUGAAUUCAUAUAUGAUUUUAGAAAAGGCACAGAGGUUUUUAUGUAUUUAUAGAAAAGACCAUAUUAUAUACAUAUUUUCAUGAAUUAAAUUUGGGCUAUAAGUUUUAAUUAUUAGUCUGCAUGAUUCGCCUCAAAUCAGAUAUGUAGGUCGGGGCGGGUUGUGUCAUUUUGGUAUUAGAGCCUAGGUUAUAGAUUUUGCAGACUAAUACAUGAUGCAUAUACAUUCAUACAUCAUAUAAUAAUAUCAUGACAUUUUAUAGAUAUCAGUAUGCGUUGACAUGGCCGACCUCGCACGAGAUCUGUAGCGGAUAUGGGUUCACCUCCACAACCGGAGAAUAAAGUGGAACCCUUGGAAGAGACUAUAGGCGAAUCAGUAUUACAUGCACAUGAGCCACAACCACAACCCCAGCAAAACCCAGAUAUUCAUCAUGAGCCAGUAGCGAGACUUACGGUGGAUUAGUUUAUGGAUAGAUUUGAAGGGUUUGUUUCUAAUGUUGCUCGGAGAGAGGCUGAACUUUGUACAGGUACACAAAACACCAUUGAGCAUGCUCAUGAUUUGGGGGCUACGACUUUUAAGGGCACGACUGACCUAGUGAGUUCAAAGUCAUGGUUAAUUAGAUUGCGGGGGAUUGUUGAUGUGAUGAGGUGUACUGAUGAAGAAAGAUUAUCCUCCAUCGAGUUUCUGUUAGAGGGUAAUGUGUAUCACUGGUGGAUGUCUGUAUUACACCGAUAUGGGGGACGUGGAGCUGUUACUUGGGCAAAUUUUCAGAGAGAGUUCACUGAUAAAUUCUUUCCAUUUGUUUAUCAGGAAGACAGAAUAAAUGAAUUUAUGACGCUUGUACAGGGAUCUAUGACAGUAAAAGAGUACGAGCGUAAAUUUUCUAAGUUAUUGAGAUUUGCCCAAUUCGUUGUACCGAAUGAGAGAGAGAAAUGUACGCGGUUUGAACGAGGUCUUCAAACAUAAAGACUAUAGUAAUUGGAACAGAAUGUAUAGGUUUUGGCACCCUAGUUAGAGUUGCUACGAGAAUCGAGAGGAGUCGUAGAGAAGCACAAAGGGCUGAGCCGCAACAGCAUAAGCAGGGCCCUGCUUGGCUAGUCAGUGGACCUAUUAGCAGAACUCAAAAGAGAGAGGUAGAGCAUAGAGAUUUCUCAACUAGUCAGCAGUACAACCAACGACCAGAGUUUCUCGGAGGGAAGAGACCUAGUAGCCAUGACAGUAUUCAGCAGAGCUCCAAUGUAGGCAAAGGCAAUUAUCCUCAGUGUAAUGUUUGUGGGAAACUUCAUAGGGGAUAAUGUUUGAGUGGUUCGGCAUAUUGUUUCCAGUUAUGACAACCGGGACACUUGAAGAGGGAUUGUCCAAACUUGACAUCAAGCAGCAGUUUUGUGCCAGGUCAAUACCCUCGCUACCCUCAAAGUGGUAGUAGUCAGUUUUGAGGGCGUAGAGGUUUCCAAAGAGGAGGACAUACAUUUUCUUGUAGGUCCCAGUCCAAUGCAGGAGAGACUAGUGGUAGUCGACAGAGGAGUCAGUCAAGCAGACCACAUACCCAGGCACGUGUGUUUGCUCUGACCCAACAUGAGGCACAUGCCACACCAAAUGUUGUGACAGGUAUUUUGACUAUUUUUUGUCGUGAGACAUAUUUUAAUUGAUUCGGGGUCUACAUAUUCUUUUAUUUCUCGUACAUUUUCCAUCCAUGCGGAUAGAGAAAUGGGGCCAUUAGAUUGUACUUUAUUAGUGGCUACACCAGUUGGUAAUUCUUUAUCGGCUGAGAGUGUAUUUCAAGAUUGUGCAGUAAAAUUGGGUAAUAAAGAUAUGGUACCAGACCUAAUUCUGUUAGACAUUAAUGAUUUCAAUGCUAUAUUGGGUAUGGAAUGGUUAGCAAAUUAUUGUACUACAGUGGACUGCUUUUGGAAAGAGGUAACUUUUAGGAAAUCUGGAGAAUCUGAUAUCAUUUUUUAUAGAGAACAACGUAUCCUACAUUCUUCUGUGAUAUCAGCUAUUUCUGCUAAACGAUUACUCAGAAAAUAUUGUUUUGCUUAUUUGGCUCAUGUUAUUGAUAGCCGAGUCAGUAAUGUGAAACUAGAAGAUAUUCCUGUGGUGAAAGAAUUUUUGGAUGUGUUUCCUGAUGACCUUCCUAGUUUGCCACCUGAUAGAGAUGUAGAGUUUACUAUUGAUUUGGUUCCGGGCACAACCCCUAUAUCUAUGGCCCCAUAGAGGAUAGCUCCAUUAGAGUUACCAGAGUUAAAAGUAUAGUUACAAGAAUUAGUCGAUAAGGGUUUCAUCCAACCUAGUGUAUCUCCAUGGGGAGCACUGACGUUAUAUGUGAAGAAGGACGAAGCUAUGAGAUUGUGUAUAGAUUACAGGCAGUUAAAUAAAGCCACUAUUCGUAACAAAUAUUCGCUUCCUCGGAUUGAUGAUCUGUUUGAUCAGCUACAGGGUGCGACAGUUUUCUCGAAGAUAGAUUUACGUUCAGGUUAUCAUCAAUUGAAGAUUAGAGAUGCUGAUGUACCCAAAACCGCAUUCAGGACUCGUUAUGGACAUUAUGAGUUUUUGGUGAUGCCAUUUGGGUUAACUAAUGCUCCCACAACAUUUAUGGAUCUCAUGAACAAGGUGUUUCAUCCUUAUUUAGACCUGUUUAUUAUUGUACUUAUUGAUGACAUCCUAAUAUAUUCACACAACAAAGAGGAACAUGCAGAACACUUGAGGAUUGCUUUACAAACCUUGAGACAUUGGCGGCUUUAUGCUAAAUUCAGUAAAUGCCAGUUCUGGUUAGACAUAAUUACAUUCUUAGGCCAUGUGAUUUCCGUUGUUGGUAUUUAUGUAGAUCCCCAGAAAAUAGAAGCUGUAGUGAAUUGGGAGCGUUCGACCAGUGUAUCUGAGGUUAGAAGUUUUCUUGGCUUGGCAGGUUAUUACCGCAAAUUUGUUGAGGGUUUUUCCAAGAUGGUUUUACCUCUAACGAAACUGACAAGGAAGAAAGUGAAAUUUUAAUGGAUAGAUGAUUAUGAACAGAGUUUCCAAGGAUUGACUUCAGCUCUAAUUCUUACACUUCCAUCAGGUACAGAAGGAUUCGUAGUUUAUAGUGAUGCAUCCAAACAGGGACUAGGUUGUGUAUUGAUGCAGCAUGGAAAGGUAAUUGCUUAUGCUUCCCGACACUCAAGCAACAUGAACUGAAUUAUCUGACAUAUGAAUGCAGCAGUAGUAUUUGCAUUAAAAACCUAGAGACAUUAUUUAUAUGAAGCUACAUGUGAGAUUUAUACAGACCACAAAAGCCUGAAAUACUUGUACACAAAGAAGGAAUUAAAUUUGAGACAAUAUAGAUGGGUUGAGUUGAUUGCAGAUUAUGAUUGUACUAUUGAUUACUAUCCAGGCAAGGUGAAUGUGGUAGCUGAUACUCUCAGUCGAAAGUCUUCGAGUUUGAUCUCCCACAUAAAAGUAUUCUACUUUCCGUUAUUGAUUGAUUUGAGGUCUUUCGGUACAGAAUUGGCAGUGAAUCAGAAUGGAGCACUUUUAGCACACUUUCAGGUUAGGCCUAUUUUGAUUGAUCAGAUUCAAGAGAUGCAGGAUCAAGACCUAAAGUUGAUUGAAAUAAAAGAAGAUGUGAAGAAUAAAUUGCGGACUGACUUUUCACUGAGAGAUGAUGGUACUUUAGUUAUGGGGAGUAGGCUCUGUGUGUCGAAUAAUUCAGAUUUGAAGAACCAGAUUUUAGAAAAAGCACAUAGUUCAGCAUAUGCUAUGCAUCCAGGUAGCACGAAGAUGUAUCAUAUUUUGAGGGAGCAUUAUUGGUGGCAAGGGAUAAAUAGAGAAAUAGCAGAAUUUGUAGCACGUUGUUUAACUUGUCAGCAAGUUAAGGCAGAAUCUCAACCAUUAUCUAUUGCUGAGUGGAAAGGGGAACACACAAAGUCUGCUCACUUUAUGCCUUACAAGAGCACGUACUCUUAUGAUAGAUAGCGAAUUUGUAUGUAAGAGAAAUAGUACAUUUGCAUGGAGCUCCUGUCCAUUGUUUCAAAUAGAGACUCACGGUUUGCUUCUAGAUUUUGGCCAUCCUUACAGCAUGCUAUGGGUACUAAAUUAAAUUUUAGUACAGCUUUUCAUCCACAGACAGACGGGCAAUCAGAGAGGGUUAUUCAGAUUUUGGAAGAUAUGCUUCGAGCAUGUAUCAUGCAGUUUCGAGGUAAUUGGGAUACAUACCUACCUUUGAUGGAGUUUGAUUAUAAUAAUAGCUAUCAGUUUAGUAUUCAGAUGGCACCAUUUGAGGCUUUAUACGGAAGGAAAUGCAGAACUCUAAUUUGUUAGGAUGAAGUCGGGGAAAGACAAUUGUUAGGGCCAGAAAUUGUCCAGAGUACUAAUGAGAAGAUUAAUGUCAUCAGAGAAAAGUUGAAGGCAGUGCAGAACAGACAGAAGAGUUACACAGAUAAGCGCCGGAGACCACUUGAAUUUGCAGUGGCUAAUAAAGUUUUCUUACGGAUUUCUCCUUGGAAGGGCAUACUUUGAUUUGGGAAACAUGGAAAGUGGAGCCCUCGUUACAUAGGCCCAUAUUAGAUUAUUCAGUGCGUUGGUCCGGUUGCUUACCGUUUGGCUUUACCUCCAGAGUUAUCACGAGUCCAUGAUGUUUCUCAUGUUUCGAUGCUACGCAAGUAUAUUCUUGACCCUUCUCAUGUCUUAGAUGUAGAACCGGUUCAGAUGACGGCGGAUUUGACUUAUGAAGUGGAACCCAUUCAGAUACUUGAUCGGAAACAACAUGUGUUACGUAAUAAGACGAUCUCACUAGAUAAAGUGAUGUGGAAAGGUCACACUGCAAAGGAAGCUACUUGGGAGCGUGAGGAACAGAUGAGGACACAUCAUCCAUAUUUAUUUCAGUCAGGCAUGUAAAUUUCGGGGACGAAAAUUUUGUAAGUUGGGAGGAAUUGUCAUGCAUCACUUGCCAUGCACCACUUGGAGGAAAAAAAAAAAAGCCAAACGUGUUUAGGAAAAUAAGUGGCCAGCUACCCAUUGCAUGCAAUACAAGUUGCUUGCUUCACCUCUUUGCUUGGCACAUGCAUGUUCCUCCCAUUUGCUUGAGGUGGUGAUUAUAUAUUUAAAAUAAAGUCAGAGCUGCUUGCUUGCAUUUGGUGGCCCAGUCAGUGGCUAUAUAAAAUGAAACAUUUUGAGAAUUGCUUCAUUUACUAAAUUUGAGAACCGAGAGAAGAAAAGAAGAGAAAUUGAGAGAAAAGAGAAGGAAAAGAAAAAGAAAAGAAGAAAAGAAAUAGAAACAAGUUGAGCUUGGGAAAUAAAGUGGAAUUAAGAGGAAAUAUUACGGAAAUUAGAACUGGAUAGGUAGAUUAAAUUUAGUUGAACCAGUAGGUAAUAGAUUUAUGAAAUUUGAGCAAUUAUGUUACAGUUUGUAUGAUACGUAUAAGUUUUUAUAUCAGUUCUAACAGUUAAUUAUUGAACCCUCUAUUUUAGGAGGAACUCGAGAAUCCAGGAACCUACAAGAGCCCCAACGAACCCCAGAGUGAAACAUGAUCUAUGAGUGGAUACUAUUAUUACUAUUAUGUAUUCUGUGAAGCAUUUACAUUUGAUAUUGUGAUUUAAUAUCAUGUUAUGAUUACAUGUAUGCAUAUUAUAUAUUUGAUUGAGUCAUGAGAUGUGAUUGCGAGUCACCAUAUACGUACCCUUCCCUGUAGACUCUGCUCAUGCGUAUUGAGAGUUAGGUUACUCUAUCCAAGCGAUGUAGCUAAACUUCGCCGGGUAUUGAGAGGUUUUUUCCCCUGCUCUACUCGUGCAAUGAUGAUCCCGAUGAGUAUUGAGAGUUAUUUCCCCUGGGUACUAUUUGGUGCAGUUUGUGAUGUAUGUAUGUAUGAAUUCCAUGUUUACCGAUGUGUGGUAUUCAAUGUGGAGUUAUGUUACAUGAUUAUGUAUAAGCACUAGUACACAUACUUUAUUACAAUUAUUACUUUUAAUAUUUUUAAUAUAAUAUUACAUUCACUCACUGAGCCACAAGCUCACUAUUUUUCUAUUUACCUAUUUUCUCUCAGGAUUCCGCAGGAUUUCGUGCAGAUCAGUUCUAGUUAAUUGAGGUUGAGCCACGAGACGCAUUGCUGCAUGUCUUGUAUUUUGAGCACGUUUAUGUUGCUUAUGUUUUAUAUGUAAAUAUACAUGUAAUGUCAGUAUGUACAAUGAGACAUAAGCUAUACAAGUUUUGAAUUCAUUUAUGAUUUCAGAAAAGGCACAGAGGUUGUUAUGUGUUUAUAGAAAAGGCCAUAUUAUAUACAUGUUUUUAUGAAUUAAAUUUGUGCCACAAGUUUUAGUUAUUAGUCUGCACGAUUCGCCUAAAAUCAGACAUGUAGGUCGGGGCAGGUCGUGUCACUAAUAUUGGUCAUUUUUCUUGUAUGAGCUCUCUUGAUUGUACAUGAACCUUUGUUAAUGAGGCUGUGGCGGAUAGAAAGAGUAAAAAAAUUGAACAGUGUAAAAACUAUAAUAUGAAAUUAAUUAAUUGGGUCCGAAUUUAUAAAUUAUGAUAGUUUAAUCCAGAGAUCUAUACCUAUUAGGUAGAACAUCCAUAUCCAUUUGUAAAUCUUCUAAUAUUUUGCAUGAUGUAUACAUAUCAUAUCUAAUUUUAGAUGUUGGAUGUGGAUAUGGAUUUCAUCUACUUGGAUAUGCAAUAUCCACGGAUGUCCAUAGUGGACAAUAAAAAUUAAUAUAACAUAUUAAUAUAAUAAAAGCUAAUUACUAAUGUAUUACAUUAAAAAGUUCUUAUUUAUCUUGAAUUAUAUUUCCUAAAAUCAUUAGUUAGCUAAUUAAGUUCAUGUAUAAAAAUAUAAUAAGAAAAUAAAUAUCACUGGCAUUACUUUUCUGUAGUCGAUGGCAAAAUAUUGAACAAAUGAUGGCAAAUCCUUUAUCAUCAGACUCAAAUUUCGCGAUUUACAUAAUGGUAUUGAUUUCGAUGACAAAAAAUAAAUGAUGGCAGUGAAAAUACCACCCAAAAGGAUAAAGGAAACUUUAUAACUAUGAAAUAAAGUUUAUGUACGGUAUGAGAAAUAUAACUCAAAAGAUAUAUAUAUAUAUAUAUAAAGAUAUUAAAGAAAUCAAUUAUUUUAUUAAAGUAAUAAAUAAAUUGAAAGAUAAAAAACAAUACACACUACGAUUAUUGUGUAAUAUAUUGCAUUCUGUUUUUUAAUCUUUCAAUUUUUUCUUACUUUAUAAAAACAAAUAAUUCUAUAUCAUAAAAUUACUAAAUAUAUAUUGCUUUGUUAUUUUAUACAUUUACUUCUUAUGAUUUUUGGGCCUUCGCAAUUCAAAUCACAUCCUUUAUUUAGAACAACUUUUUAAGGUGAUUAUUAUGUACAUGUAUCUUUUUUUUUUUUUUUUGAAAUUCAAAUAUCACAUCCUAGAAUAUCAGAUUUCAUAUGUGGACAAUAUAAAUUCAAUAUUGAACCAAAUAGAGUUGGCUUUUCAUACCCGGUUUAAUUAACCACUACCCUUUCAGUAAAACACAUCACAAAAUUCACCUCCCAAUUAUAUUUUAGAAAUGAAUAAUGAGAUUGAAUGGCAAGUGAUUUAUUAAUACGAGAAUAAUUGCAAUGAGGAAUUGAAACAAAGCAAAGGUGUGUAUUUAUUUAUUUUUAAUCAUCAGAGAUAAAGCUACUUGAAAUUAAGGAAUGUAACAAAAGAUACACGUAUGCAAUCACCUUAAGGGUGCAUUUGGGAGCUUGUAGUACAUUGUAGUAAAAUACUAUUUUUAUGCUAACUUAUUUUUGGCUGUAAUUUCUAGUUGCAUAUUGCACUGCAUUAAAAAGGUGGCUAAUACAAUAAAAGGUGUUUAAAAAAUCACUAUACAUAUUUUAAAUAUAAUCAUUAAACUUUUAUUAGUUAAUAAAUGAUAACAAAUUUAAAUUUAUUAAAUAUUAAUUUAUAUUUAUGUUUCAAAAAAGGUUCACUAAAAUAAUAAUAUAAGAAUAAUAAACAAAAAUAUUUGAUAAAUAAAUGAUAGUACAUUAUUUUACAUAAUUUGUUUUAUUUUUUACUUUAAAUACAUAAAAGUAUUUUAAUUUUAUUUAAUCUUUUAUUAUUUACUAAAAAUACUGAAAUUUAAAAAGUUAAAUUAGACAGUUAUAUUUGACAUUAAUAAAUAAAAAUAAAUUUAAAUAUUAUAUUUUUAAAUUAUAUUAUAGAAAUAAAUUAUAUUAUUAUUAAUAAUAUAAUUUAUUAUAUAGAAAUAAAUUAAUACUAAUAUAUAGAAAUAAAUUAUAUUAUUAUUAAUAAUAUAACAUAAUAUUGUUAUAUUAUUUAAUAAUAACAUAUUAUUAAAUCAUUCUUAUAUUUAUAAAAAUUAAUAUAUAAAAUUAAUUAUUUAAUACUUAAUUUCAAAAAUUAUUAAUAAAACCCUAAAAUAUUAAUAAAUCGUAAAUUAUAUUAAAUCAAUUUUAACAUUAAUAUAAAAAAAAUUAAUAACAUCCAUACUAGACCAAACAUAACAUUACAUUACAACUUAAUAGAAUGCACCCUAAUGCAAUUAAGCAUGAUGUAAUACAACUAAUACAUUAUAACAUAAUAAAACGUACUCUAACGCAAUACACCAUAAUGUAAAACAAGUAAAACAAAAUAACGUGAUAGAGUGUGCCAAAAACACACUAAAGUUAUUUUACGAGUAGUACUGGUAAGUGUCCUAGAGGCAAAUUCUGACACAUCUUUUGGACUUAUUAACUCGAAUUUAAGGCAAAUGCUGCUUUAACACAUUAAGGGUCGUGGAUAUCUUUAUUUGUAGAGCUCGGAGUUAGCUAAUCUUGGUUUUGGAACUGCAACCAAAGGUUUCUUUUUCUUGAUAACUAGUCCAUACUUAUAAGACAAAUCAAGCUUCUCACCAUAAGGCAAUCUCCAAUCAAAUGAGUGCAAUAAGGAAGCCAGAACAAACAUCACAAGCCUCUCAGCUAGUGGAAGCCCAGCACAUAUCCUUCUACCAGAACCAAAUGGCAUGUAUUGAAAGUUGUUACCCGUGUAAUCAAAUUUAUCAGGAUCAUUCAAGAAUCUCUCAGGCCUAAAUUCUAAGGGAUUGUCCCAAAGUUGAGGGUCUGUGUGAAUGGUGCCAAGAUUCAAAAUGACAGUUGCACCCUUUGGUAUUGUAUAACCACCAAGCGUUGUGGUUUGACUUGGAGUACGGGGUGGCAGUAGCUUAGACGGAGUAUGGAGGCGAAACGUUUCUUUCACUGUAGCAUCUAAGUACUUUAGUUUAGGCAAGUGAGACUCUUCAACAUUGUUGUUCAGACCCACAAUUUCCGCUAAUUCGGCUUGAACCUUCUUCAUCUCCACUGGAUACUGCAACAACUUCGUAAGCGUCCACUCCAUUAUUGUUGUGGUGGUGUCUGUGCCACCCAAAAUUAUAUCCUGUACGUUUCAAAAUAACAAAUAAUAAACAGCAAUCCGUAUUAGUUAUGUCACAGGAACUGUGUUUGAACCAAAAGCUUAAACUAACCCAAAAGACAAGAGCCCGAAAACGACUCAAAAAAUUGAAGGAAUAAACAUUUUAGACAAACCUUAGUAAUGGCCAAGAGUUUCAGUACAAAUCUUUACAACGCUUUCACGUGAACUAAGACUUUAAUAAAACAUUAGAGUUUUAGCAGCUCCUAAAGUGAAACGUGGACCUUAAGACAAGAUUCGUAGAUAAGCCUUAAGAUUAGAGUCCGAAAGUGAGUCGCGAAAUGAAGAAAAAAUUAAUGCAAGGGUUUGUAACUAAGAGGAAUCGAACGUGAGAUCUUAAUUUGAUACUAUAUUAGAGAAACCACUUGAUUUAAAAGGUUAAACUAAUAGGUCAAGGCUUAACAUUAGUUCUUAGCACAAGUAUAUACAGGAAUAUAUUAAUUUCAUAUAUAGAUUUGAGGCUAGGCAUACCAAGAGCAAAGCAAUAAGCUCGGUCCUAUUAAGUGAUAUUGAGCUAUCUUCACCAUCCAGCAUCUCUAUAAAAAUCUGCAGGAAGUCCUUGUUGCGUCCAUCAAAUUUCAAUGUGCCUUUGGCGAUCAGAUUCUUACGCUUCUCAAUAGCGGAGUUAAAGAACUUUUCAACCCACAAAGCUAUCUCCUUACACUUCCUUUCAACUCCUUGUAAAUCAAACCUCGAAAGCACUGGAAAGAUGUCCGAAAUAUUCGGAACUCCUUGCAGCUCCAUGAUAUCAUCAAGCAAUUGUUUCAUCUCAAGAGUAUGAUCAUUAUGUCCCCCAGAGCCAGUGCCACCUCCCCACAGCAUGUUCUCAAGUGCAUUGAGUGAAGUUGAAACUGACACUUCACCAAUAUCUACAGGCUUGCCAAUCUUGUUAUUAUACAAAUCUCUAAUUGUAUUCUUCAGCACUUGUUUCCUUAGAUCUGAACAAGAAUCAAGGCUCGAAUUUGUCAUCAUCUCACCCACCAUUGCUUUUCUUAGUCUCCUCCACUGAGCUCCAUAUGGGGAAAACACUAUAUCAUUGCCUCCGAGUGUUGGUGUCAGAGUUGCUACCGUUGUUUGACGGUUAGAGAAUAUUGUGUCUUUAUCACGAACCAUUUCUUUGGCUAUUGACGAUGAGCUCACUACUACAAAUAAUUUGUUUGCCAGCCAGAAUUUGUAGAUAGGUCCAUAGGCUUCAGCCAAUUUUGUAAGUGACUUGUACAGGUCAGUGCCGAGAAAUGGAAGGUAACCCACCAACGGCAAGCCCCGAGGACCGGGCGGCAGCGGCGGAGCAGUUGCUUUCUUUGCUUUGGUUUUCGUGAGCCGGAUGAUCACAGCAGCUAAUACAACAACGGCUAUUGAAGUGACAAUUGCAGUAAGAUUUUCACAUAGCCAUGACAACAUGACAAAGGCCAUAUUGUUUUUUAGCAUUUACUUCUUGUAUGUGUGAUGCGUGUGUAUAUAUAUGUAAUUUAGUAUUAGAAACUCGAAUAACAAGAUUCUACUAAGCAGCCUUUUACCAUUCUAGUCAAUAGACGACAGUAUAAUAUAUGUAUAUAUUGUUUAAGUCAAGAAAUGCUAGCUAAAUAGCUUUCUUUCAAGUCAAUUAUAGACCAUAUGAUAAGGUGUAGCCCUGUGAGACGGAACUCAUAAUUCUAAAGAACACAGCUGUUUGUUAUCAGGAAGAAAUUCUACAGAAUUGUUUAGGAUAAAUUGAAUAAUGAAAAUAAAAAAAGUUGUGUCAUUUCAUUUUCUGUUGCACACUGACUUGUGUAGUAGGUGAUGAAUUGCACUUCGAUUUUCAAAAAUAAAGAGAAAUUAUAAAUUUUCCACAUAAAUUCAGGUGAAAGAUCAAUUCACAUAAACAAGAAACAUCUAACUAUUCAUUUUUUCCCCCCAUCAAUUUACAGCAAAUCGUUAAAAAUAACGGAACCUUUAACAUAAUUUAUAGUAAAAACUAUUUUACCCCUAAAACUGCUUUUGUGGAUAAAAAGACGAACUUAAUCCUCUGAAAAAAUUAUACAAUCAAUUAUUUAAAAAAAUUCCAUAAAAUAAUUAAGAAAAUAAAAUAAGUUGGAAUUAAAAGGGUUAAUUGAAUGGGUAGUUGGGUACAAAGUAGAUUAAAAAAAUAAAAAUAAGUGAGUCAUAAGUUCAAUAGACUUAUUUAUUCGAAUAAAUUGAAAUUAAGAAAGUAAAUUGAGUACCAAAUGCUUGGGAAAGCCGUAUUUGAUAAGUUCUUAUUUCCAACAUGAGUGUCGUUUUGGCCCAAAGUAACAAAAUUAAUGAAAUAAACCAAAAUUGGUUGGUGUGAGUGGUUCUGCACUCUCAUUCCUUAAGAGAAAUCAGGGGUUCAAGCCCUGCUCUCGUAUGGAGUCAUCACUUUGGCCAUCACUUUGGCCAGUACUUUACCCCUUACGGGCCGAUCCGGUACGAGCGGAGAUUAGUUUGGAUCGUGGUAUGGGCUUGAAAGUGCCUCCCACAGUUGGGGCCCACUCAGGACCACCUCGUGGUUCAGAAAAAAAAAAAAAAAACAGAAUUAAUGAAAUACUUCAAAUACUCCUGUGGGCUAUGACAUCAACAUUUCAUUAACUGUGUUGAGCAUUAGCUAUUUGGUAGUAAAUUGAUAAAAAUUGAAAAGUUAGGUGGCUUUGAACUAUUAUCCAAUUUAAUUCCUUGUCGUGAAUGAUUUCACACACGUCCUGUUAUUGCACUAACGUUCAUCGUAAGGACAACAAAGUUGCAGAUUUGCUAGCCAACAUUAGAUUAAGUUGUCCUCAAAUUUUCUUGAUUUGAUUAUCCUCCUUUUCAAGGAUAACUGAGUUUAUUUUAAAAAGAAAAAGGGUAGGAAAUUGAUAACUUUCAAAAAAUAAAUAGGGCUUGUUGAUGAUUAUUUUAGUAAUAUUUUCACUGCAACGUGUUCGCAAUAUUAUUAUCAACGGUCGUGCUUGUUGACAGCCAAAUGGUCAUUCUUUGGGCUGUUGAGUAGAGGCUAUCGUGCAAGCAAAUUUUCCUGCCAUCUUUAAUGAGGUUUUUUAAAUGCUAUUUUGUUUAAUUCAUAUUUUUCAUGCUAUACAUAUACUUAUCAUUGACCGUAUUUCGUAUGUCUUUAUUGACUGCCGCUGCGAACAUCACAUGCUUGUUUAGAGGCUUUCAGACUUUAAUGAGAUUUUUUGGAUACUAUACAUAUAUUUAUUUGAGUCAUAUUUCUCGCUUAGCUAGUGAUGAUGACAGCUCACAAGUACCCACUACUUGUUUGCAAGCCCGAAGCUAGUACUGUAAAUAACUUGAGGCCGGAGAUCAAAAUGAUUGAAGACAAACAAAAUUUGGUUGCAUGGCUUUUAUUUAAUGCAUGCAAGUGCGAAUAAGGCCACCGUCUAACUUGAUUGAUUUUUAUUAGUGCGACGGUACCUCAAUUUCUUUCUCACUAAUUAUGUACGAGAUUUGAACUACAAAACACAAGUGGUACUUUUAACUCAACAAUUAAGUUGACACCGUCGUCCAAAUUAAUUAUCAACCAGUAAUGUUGUGGAAUUCAAUUCUCACGUUAUGACCAAUUGAAUGGAUUGGCAAUUCAUGCUUCAUAUCUUUUUGGUUCAUGAUCAGAUAAUCAAUUAAUUACCUGUUACAAUUACAAUUCCUAAAUUUAUUAGCUUUUCAUAUCAGUUAACAUAUUCUUGAUUGUUUUCAUCUCCACCAAUAUUCUCCCACAUCAAUCUAAAAUACGACCCCGUAAUUGGGUCUUCUCUACAAAUAAAACUAAACACUUUUUAUUCGGUUUAUUAUGAAUUGUGCUCUUGUAUUUUGAAUUUUGAUGGCUAAAUUCAAUAAGAUUAAUUGGUACUUCAAAUUUCAAUGUACUUUCAUGAUUGGAUUGAUAGCCUUAAAUUAUUUUGAAUUAGUUUGAUAGAAAUUAGAUAAACUGAAAUAAAGUUUAGGCAAUUACAUAAUUCCCCAAAAAAAAAAACUUUAAAUAACAAAAAAUAAUCUGAAGAUGCCAAAAUUAGUCCCAAAAAGACUAAAACUACCAGUGGCACUACUCCCAUUUAUAACUCUUUUAAAACCCUUUUUAUCUGUUUUUACAGUCUUACCCUUAAUUGAAAGCAACUUCGUAAUCCUUUAGUAUGAUCUUUCUCUCACUAUAAAAACUAUACACACCCAUUUAGAUAUUUCUUUCUUUAAUUGUGAAGCUUGAAUAUGAAACAAAUCAACAAAAACUUAGCUAAUAUUUAAUUUUGCAUAUCCUUCAUUAUUUUCAAAAUUCUUCUACGAUUCGGUAAGAAGAACUUCGAUGACCUUCUCUACAAUUGAGUUUUGAGAUUUGACUCUUAGCAAAAAUUGAGUUCAUUUCCAUAAUUAUUGAUCAAUUAUUAUUAUUUUUUUUUUUAGGAGAGUGAAGACCAUUAAACUUGUUGAAUUUUUUGUGUGUUUUAAUUUGAAAUUUUAAGAAACAAGAAAAGAAAUAAUAUUGGAUUUUUUUUAAAAGAAAAGUAGCAAUAAAAAAGAUGAUCGUUAGAAAUGCGAAUUAUAUCCUUAAACUAAAAUAUAAAUUUGUUACAUAACAGACCCGGGGAGGCAAGGAGAAGGAGGCACUCAGUUACUGUGUAAAAAUAACUAAGAAAUUAAAGUGUAUUUUCGAAAAUACCCUUGAAACGGGUUUUAUAAGGAAUUUGAAUGAGUGCUAAAAGUGCUACUGCCAAAUAAUUAACCCAAAUAAAGAUGGCCCAGCCCAAAUGGAAGCCGCGAAUCGAUCCAAACUCUGCAACAUUUUUCGUGAUCGGGUCGGGUUCAGAACUCCCAUUAGCCGAUUACCAUAUUAUAGCUCACCAGAAAAUAUUUGGCAAUGGAAGUGCCUUGAUGAAUAAUUCUUGUCUAGAAUGCCCAUAAUCCAAUAAAAGAUCUAAAUGGUGCGGUUUUUUUUUUUUUUUUUUGGUUGCUUUGAUUUGAAUAAAAGAGGGGAAAAUCGCACUUACACUGUUAAGGUUUGGAAAAAUAUUAUGUAAACCCCAAAUUUUCAAUAAGGGAUAGUAAGAUCAUCUCUUGAUUAUAAUAUCAUUUGACUUUAUUAACUCAAAAAAAAAACAUUGGGGGUCUUGGUGUUCCUCAUUGACUAUUUUCUCAAACUUUGAGAGCGUAAAUGUUCUCUUCCCAUAAAAGAAACCUAGUUGCCACAUUAUUUUCAAAAUAACGGUGUAUGGGAUUUUUAAUUCAUCAGGCCAAUAGUAGUGCCUUGAUGAAUUAUUAGAGGUUGAAAAACAUGACUAGCUUACCCCAAUUUCUAAUUAACUCAUAUCAAAACCCUCACGUAUCUUUCUUUAGUUACUAAAAACUAAAAGAAAGGGACGGGAAUCCCUAUCACAAUGUUGUGGUGGAUUAAAUGAUUUCAUUAUGAUCUACGAUCUUCAUAUCCGAUAAAAAUUAAGACCUUUUUAAUUGGUUAAUUUUUCCAUCACUAGAGCAUUAGCAUUCCUUUUCCUUCCGAUUUUCUUUUUCUGGAAAAAUGUCCUUCACAUGUUAUCUUAUAACAUUGAGUACAAUGAUAUUGGUCACAUGAAUUCGGACGAGUAAACAUUUUAUGCUAAUUAACUGGCAAAGAAAUGAGAGGGUCAUGUGCAUACACAUAUGUGUUGGUUUUCAAAACAUCGAAUCCACAUCCAAAAGUAUGGAGAGUAAUAUUUAGUUAAUAUUGAGAAAUUAAUUUUAGAGUGGCAAUUAGUCCACGAAAUGGAUGGAAGAUUAUUUCUUUUGCACUGGGAAAUCAUCCUGACAAUGGUAGAAAUUGGUCUUUCUGAGAAUGCUUUAAGCAAGUCUUGAUGUCUCUGCUUUUUGCUACUUCUUGUUCUUGCCGUCGCUAUUUCCUUUGUUCACCGUUUGCCGUAUUUACUCGUUGUUUUUACUCAUUUUAGCAGCAGUCUGUAAUGUCACAUGUGCCUUGAGCAUUUGUUUUGUUAUCAGUUUGCUUUCUAAUCAAAUCAUGUAAAAUUUUUACUUUUACUCUCUUUUCUCUUCUUCAAUAAAAUUUCGUAUCAUUCAUUUACAAAUUUCUUUUUUCUGCAUUCAAAAAAUUUAUCCGAGUGAUAUGAAGAGAAAAUUCAAAAGAUUGGGUGUUACUACCUGCACUCAAAAUAAUACUCCAGACACCACUUUCUAACGAGAGUUUUUAUUAAUCAAAUAUUUGAUUAAAAUCAAAUUACAAUAAAGGAUCAAUAAGUUACCUUACUCAAUAUAUCUCAACUUUAAGCAUGAUGUUAUCCUCCUUGAUCUAAAGCUGCAAAAGUUAGAGAGAACCUAAUUAAUACAAGCAAAACUAAAGUCCUUACGGCCCCCCUUUCGGAUUGGAGUUGAAACUCAAUAAACUGCUUAUUUUAUAAUUUUUGACAAAAAUAGUGUUUCGUAAUUUUAUAAAAACUAUUUAUUUCAUAAUUGUCACCAUUUUGAGGCUACCGCUAGCAUGCUGGUCAUCACGUCCUGGCACAAUGCCGGAAUUAGAAAACAAACCGUUGGAUUCAAUUAGUCAUUUAAAAUUAAAAAGGAAUGGCAACCGUAUGGAUACGUUAUUCACAGCUUUUUAGGGUUUCAAAUCCCUAAAAUUUUUUGCCAAUCCACAUAUUGCUUUCACCUGAACUUCAAAAUCACCAUCCCUCAAUCGCGCGCCUUCACCGAUCUGAUCCAUCGCUGAUAGCCAUGUUUCGUACUUCUGUGCUGUGGUCAAUCAAUUUCACUGAAGCCGCUGAUCAAAUCUGACCUUCAAUCACUUCCAUCGACAGAAGCCAUUACACGGAUCACCCCCAUUUGCGAAGAUCUACCGGGAAAUCAGUUGAUGUUCAGCUGAUCAAAUCUGACCUUCAAUCACUUCCAACGACAACCAGACUCAUGAACGUCUUUUCAUCAAAUUCUGGCCGUCCGCGAUCAUCAUCGACAUCGUCACCACGAGAGCAGCUGCAUCUCAUUUAGUGAAAAACUUGCUUCUACAUUUUAUUUUAUUUUUUUCUGUUCUCUUGCUAGAUUUAUAAUCGUUGUUUUGUGUUCAAUUUUUAUGCAUAUAUGUACCCUAUUUUCACAAUUUCAUAAAUAAUGUUUUUAAAAUUAACGGGUAACAAUGAAGCUGACGGAUCCUGUUGGAUAAUUAAAAGAGGAUACACCGCUUCCUAAAUGUUCGUUUUUCAAAUUCUUAAAACAUAUUUUGCUUCAUUUUUGGUCAGUUUUUAGGAUAUAAUGCUUUUUUUUUUCGUUUUUAAUGUAUUAUUCUACAAUCCUUCAAUGCUUGAGUGGGUAGCUUCCCCCAUUACACUGAUGGAUCUUUAUCAUUCUAUAAUCUGCACAUGUUAAUAGAUUAUUUUGUUGGGAAUAUUUCAAUUAUAUUUAUUUGCCUUAUUGUGGUAUAUUAAAAUUUUAGAAUCUAUUUGCAGGUGCCUUUUUUUUUUUUUUUUUUGUGUAACUGCAUUGGAGAAAGCUGCAAAUUUUGUCAUUCACUUGAUAUUUAGGAUAACAAGUCGAGAUCUUAUUGUUCAUGAUAAUAAUGAGGGAAAUUUUCCAUUGCUCAAGACAUGUAGAGGAACACAAUGGUGAAAAUUAAUUCAUGUAUGGCGUGCACCCUUAACUCUUCUUUACACACAUUUUUUUGUAAUUACAAAGUCUUGAGAUGCCUUUGUUUAGGGAUUUCAUUUACAAGCUUUUGAUGAAAUUAUUCUUAAGUUGUAAUGAGAUUGGACAAUGCUCAUAUUUUCUUAAGAUGCUGUUUAUAUUAAUUUUGUUUUACCUUUUCUAUUUUUAUAAUUGAGUAUUCUUGAUUUCGCAACAAUUAAAGUUAAACAUGCAAUAGUAGAUAUUAAAUAUGAGUCCGAUGUAAACAUGCAACAGAAUACAUGAUACAUGUGACAGACGAUGUCAAACAUGCAAUAUAAAUGUCAAACAUAAAACUAGUGGGGAAAUAAUCAUUUUUGGCACUUUUUCUAACAUGAAACACCAAGCUUCUAAGAUGUAACAAGUGAUGUAAAACAUGAAACGUGAAACCUACAUGUAAAAACAUAACAUGAGAUAUGCAAUAAUUAAAGCUAAACAUGCAAUGGUAGAUAUUAAAAAUGAGUACUACAAGAAAACUGUCAAUAAAUGACAAUCACUUUAUGACCGAUUUCAUUCUAUCAUAAAAAUAUGAUAGAUUCUGUUGGAGAAUUUGAAGAACAAAACACAAAUUUUAUUAGAGAAAGCUCAACAACCUUACAAGAACAAUUCACACACUCUCACAAAUCACUCUUAGGAGCUAUGUUUUGCUUCUUAUUCUUUCUUCUUCUUACACUUGAUACAUACAACACAAAUGACAUAGGUAUUUAUAGUGAAUGAAACAAAAACAUAAUCAUAACAAUACACAUCACCUAACAUGUUCCACCAAGCUUUCAUCAUAGCAUCACUUCACCUAACAUGCUCUAAAGGAAUCCUUUAAUAGCAUCCAAAGUGUAAAGCUAAUCUCCACUCAAUUAGAUGCUUCAUGAACAUAACAUGGUAGGACCAUGAUGAUGGAGAAUGAAGAAGGGUCAUGUGCAACUCAACACCUCAUUCCACUUAAAUGAAUUAUUUAUGUAAAACAAGUUUAUUGUUUUCAACAAAUUCGUGAUAAAAUUUCUAUCUAUCAAAAGAUUAAUAAUGGACUUAUGAUAGAAUUAUUGUCUAUAAAAAAUGUAUGACAGUAUAGUGAUAUAAAUUUUCACUAUCAAGAACUUUGUGGUAGAAAUUUAUUUUGACCAUGAGUGACUGUACUUUAAAUCAUAAAUUUAUUUUUAAAAAAAGGAAGCAAAAAGCAGCGUUUUAGUAGAAAAUAAUAUUAAAAAUAAAAAAACCCGAUUUCCCCUGGCCCCCUCACUCCUCAGCCUCAAAUCCUAAUCUUAUCCCCUCAAGUCAAAAAAUAUUUGCUAGGUGUAGAUUUGUUUCAUGUGUUCUGUAAAAAAGAAGCUACUCCAAUCGGAAAGAGCUACGGUCUUGAAUUAAUAGUGCACCCAAUUUUGGAAGAAUCUUACAGCAUUAAAUGAUUUUUUCAUAGCAUUCAUUUGUAUUGUUCAACUUAUACACCUUUAGCUAUGUCCUUUGCUAUGUCUGCAUACGAAAUAGAGUUCAUUUAUUAAUCUGUACUCUGUUUUUUUGAAGCUUGUCCACAUCCAUUUGCACUUUUAAAUAUUAUGUCCAUUGCUUGUAAGAGUCUAGAUAUCAUCAUGAUCUCAGGAUUCUACUCCCUUAGUGUAAAUGUUAUCCACUCAUGGACAAAAUUAUAGACAGGUUCAGACUAAUAUGAGCAUCCACAUUAAUAAGCACUAGCCCAUGACUUUAUUGCCUUUUCUUUGCUAGACCAACACCAUCCACAUAUAUAUUUUCUAGUACACAUAUGCAAAAGCUUCAAGCAAUUGGCAAUAAUUGUAGAGGUGAUAAUUUCCUAGAAAUUUAAAUGACCUAUAUAUUGGUGGAACCAUGACCUUAUAUUCUUAAUGAAGAGAAUUAUAGGCUUUAGCUUGAAACCAUUACCUUGGUUGCCUUCUUGAAUUUAGAAUCCCUUAUCUUUUCUAGUAGGAUUUAAAGGACCAAAAUUUCAUAUGCUUUAUUUAAAUUUCUUUUAAUUUUUUCCUAUUAUUAUUAUUAUAUUUUUGGGCUAGAGCAUACUAUUUUUUCCCAAUACUAUUAUAAUUAUUAUUAUUUUCCAGCUUGUUUUGUUGAAUAUAAUAUCUAAUUAUUUUACCUUUUAAAACAAGCAAGCAACCAGUUAUGCUAAAUUAAUUUUUAUUUUCAAAACGAUUUAUUAAGUUUCAAUUUAUUCUGGCAAACUGACCAUAUAUUAUAUGAAUUUUGUAGGUUUAUUUUAUGCUCGCACAAAUGAAUUCAACAAUAUUCGUUGCUAGGUUUGGGGCGACCGUGCAAAGAUUAUUGACCAAGAUGAUUAAAUAUAUGUCUAAAAUCUAAAAGGUGAGAUUCUUAACUUCUAUAAUUGUUCUUAACUAAGCUCAACUAAGCUUUCAAGUGACGAUUAGAUACAUAGGUUUGCCUAGGGACUUCUAUUGCGUACUUUUAAUUGCAUCCUAGAUCUAUUUAUAUGAAAAUAACUCUGUUUGCCCAUUCUUAAAUUGUAUUAUAUCGUUAAUUUGUUCAGCUUGUUUCAUCUCUUAACUAUCAGCUGCUCAAGAGAUUAGAGUGCACACAUAAUACUUGAAAUAUUAUGAUGGACAGUUAUGCCUAUUACUUUUAUUCUUCUUUUAUUGGGAUAGGGAUAACAUUUGGAGCUACGAGAUUUGUGGCAGAGACGGGCUGCUAGUAUUCUUGAGGUUAAUGGGAAAACUGAGGUUCAAGUUGGAUUUGAAUGGUGAUUACCAAUUGUAAUUUUGUUGAUGUAAUCUCAAUCAUUUUUUACCAUUUGGUUUAAUGUAUUUGAGAUUUGGUGUGUGAACUAACAUUUUGUUGAUAUUAUAAUUUUUUUAGAUUUGAUUGUAUUUUAUUUUUAUUUUUGUUAUAGUAAUAUUAGAAUUUAACUUUUAAAAGCAGCAAAAAAAAUCCUAGAAAUUUAUAAUUGUUGAUUAAAAAAUAUUAUUUAAAAAAUAAAGUUUAUGAUAAAAAAAAAUUACAGUCAUAAAAAUCAUCAAUUUAGUGUGAUAGACUUGUGACUUAUAAAAAUUAUCAUAGCUAUUAUGAUAGAUUUUUUUCUAUCAUAAAUGAGUGACAGGUACUUAGAUGAUAGAUAAAUUGUCUAUCAUUCGCCUCCAUUUAUGAUUGUUUUUUUCUGUCAUUUAUUGUCAGUUUCUUGUACUAGAGUCUGAUGUAAACAUGUAAUAGAGUAUAUAAUACAUGUGAUAGCGAUGUUGAACAUACAACAUGAACGUCAAAUAUGAAAUAGGCGAGAAAAUAAUUAUUUUUGACUUUUUUUCUAACAUAAAAUGCCAGACUUUAAAGACGCAACAUGUCAUGUAAAACAUGAAAUAUGAAAUUUACAUGUAAAAAUGUAACAUGAGACAUGCAAUAAUUAAAGCUAAACAUGCAACAUUAGACAUGAGUCUGUUGUAAACAUGAAACAGUGUAUAUGAUACAUGUGAUAGACGGUGUUAUACACGAUGUUAGAAAUUUAUAAUCUCACUGAGGAUCUUACAAGAAAAACUAUCAAACAAAUAAUAAAUAAAUAAAUAAAUGGAGAAUAAAAUCAAUCAUACAACUGAAAUACUAACUAGGCAACCCAAGAGGGGGGUGAAUUGGGUUUCUAAAAAUUUAAGCAAUUAAAACUUAAUGCAAUUUAAACAAAGCAACCAAUUCGAAAUAAACCAAUUAAUAUGCAAUGAAAAAUAAAGAGAUAGGGUAAGAGAGAGCAAACACACAAUUUUUACAUGGUUCGGCCAACCGUGCCUACGUCCACGCCUCCAAGCUCAUCAAGCUUGAGGAUUUCACUAAGCAAGCCUCCAAGGCUCCAAUAACUCUUACAAUUGGCUUCUAAGGUGUUAAUACACCUUUACAACAAGAGAUUAUCCUCAAUCUUUUAACCCAAGUGUAUCCCAACACUUACAAUCAUUCAACUUGAUUUUACAAAAAGGAUUGCAAAAAAAAUUUCUCGCACACAAUGUAUUUGAUUACAAAUGAAAGCUCAAUGUGUGAAUGAAUGAAAUGAAUACACAAAUUUUAUGCUCAUAUUGCAAAGGAUUGCUUAAUGAUGAUAGUAGUUGUCUCACUUUAAUUGAAUUUGAUUUAAGCCAUUUUAUAGUUGGAAGAGAAAACUAGCCGUUAUUGACUUUCUAGUGAUAACCGGCUUGCCACUUUAUGUUAACCAGAUUGCCUCUUGAUGUUACCAUUAUAUUCAAAGAUUUGAAUUUUUGAACAUAAGAUUUGCCGCUUUUCAUUUUUCGGUUAGCCGUUUUUACUCCAGAGAGCUUUUGCUUGAUAACUGGUUUGCCGCUUUGGUAAAUCCGGUUAGCCGUUUGCUACAGUGAAACAACUAUUUUCCAAAAUUACAAAAAUGCCCUAAAAAUUUAUAAAAUUAUACUAUAACUCAAAUCUUUAUAAAACUUUGCAAAUAUGUCAACUUUUAGAAUUUUUAAACAAUACUUGUUAAUUUCAAAGUUCUCAAUACUUUUCAAUUUAAACCAUAAACUUGAAAACAACCAAUUUCACAAAAUCAUUUUCUUUUUUCAAAAACAUAAUGUGUAAUUCUUUAUUUAUCCAAAACAUGUGGUUUGUUAUCAUCAAAAUCAAUAUUUUAUAGUCAUAUAGGCUAAUAACAACAUUAAGAAUUUACAUGAAAACUCUGUACUGGAGAAAAACCACUGCUGUCAAGGAUGACGAGAAAAAAAUCUACUAUGUGAAAAAUUAUCACAAUCACUUUAGUUUUUUUCCUUAAAUCCAAAAUCUCAAUCUGUCAAUAGACCUACUGUUUCUCUCACACUAGAAACUAUCUACUUAUAGGGAAUUGAUUGUUGUGUUAUACCAACAAAUGGAUCCAAUUUCCCUAUAUAUAGUGAUUAUUUCUUGUAGGAGAAGUAUUCCUUUUCUUAUACUAGCUAUAUUCCUCCUUGAAUAAGUCAAGUCCCAAAGGAGAAAUUAUUUAUUCCUUAAAUAGGAAUCCUGCAAAAUAAGAAAAUAUUCUAAGAAAUCCUUAUUGAAAAAUAAGACAUAUUUCUUAACAAUCUCCACCUUGGCGAGUUUUUCAAUUAGGUGACAAAACAUGAUCCAUCAUGUAUCCACACAACCAUGUCGUCUCCACCCAUUUUUACUCCACCCAAAACUACACUCACAUAGGGCUUAUGAGAAUCACUCCACCACGGGUAAAUCUUGUCCUCUAUACAGCAGCCAGAAUUCUCUACACCAAAAAUUAUCAUGCUUUACUAUAUCUAGAGUACACAUAUUUGGCAUGUGUCAAUCAUCUUGUUGAGAUUACCCACUCUCAUAUUUGGCUUGCCUGAAAGUCUUUAGCCAUUCACAUAAAAAUUCCACCACACACCUUGCAUAAAUGCCAAAUCAUGCCUUGUGUGUAAAUAUUGUGGACCCAGGAGGAUGUCUUCAUCAUCUAUUACAAGGGACCAUUUACUUGCUCCCAUGGCAUUUACUUGCUCCCACAAUGAUAAAAAACUUUCUGUUAGCGAUACUAUUGGUGUCUUCAUAUACUGACUUGGAGCCACUUAACGAACUUGCUCUAUUUACUUUUUGACAAUCUCUUUUAUGAUGCCUUGAUUACCAACUGUCAAUGCCGAAUCAUUAGAAGCUUUAUUACUUUCACCACUUAACCUUUUUUCUUCUAAAAGUAAAGUACUAGUAACUUUUCAAGAUCCACAGUUUGCUCCCAUACAUUAAAGUAGGCAACGAAUGCUUAUAGGAAGUUGGAAGAGACCACAACGGUCUAAGCGCCUAGUCCUCGUCUUCAAUUUUAGCUCCAAUUGCCUCUAUUCUGUCACGAUGCAAUUGAGAGUACGAAAAUCAUCAGAAAUUUUUGUACCUUUAAUUAUUAUUAGCGUAUGAAACUGCUCUUUAAGGUAAAAAUGAUUAUAGAUGUUCUUUGUCUAAUACAAAAUUUCUAGCCUCUCUCAAAGUUCUUUUCUCGAAUGAAUUUUUUCUACAUUUGCAAGAACAAUCUUUGCUAGAUAAUUGUAAAGCACUUGCAACUCUUUCAUCCAAUUCUUCCCAAUCUUCAUCGCUCAUAAUAGAUUUCCUAGAGUCACUACUAGAAGUAAGGGAUGGUUUGCCCUUCAAAGCCUUGUGUAGCCCAGAUUGAAUCAAUACAUCCUUGACUUGAAUUUUCCACAAGCCAAAAUUGAUUCUUCCAUCAAGCUUUUCAACCCCAAUCCUUAUAGCCUUACAGGAUUUGAAAAUUUGUUUGCAGAUAUAAUUACUUUACAAAACAAUCUUUAGCUCUGAUAUCGCUUGUUAGGAAUUUUUAAUCCCACCAAGAUCUUGCAAGCAAAAAUAUCAACAAAGUAAUAAACAAAAAAAUAGAUGGAGAAUAAAAUCAAUCAUACAACACAAAAUUUUACGUGAAAAUUCCUAUACUAGAGAAAAACCAUGGCUACCAAGGACAAUGAGAGAAAAAUUCACUAUGUGAAAAUUUAUUACAAUCACUUUAGAAUCUUUUUCUCACACCCAAAACCCCAAUAUCACUCUCAAUAGAUCUACUGUUUCUCUCAUACUAGAAACUCUCUACUUGCAAAGAAUUGAUUGUUGUGUUAUACCAAUAAGUGAACAUAACCUUCCUAUAUAUAGUGAUUAUUUCUUAUAGGAGAAAUAUUCAUUUUCUUAUACUACUUAUAUUCCUCCUUGAAUAAGUCAAAUCCCACCUUAAAUAAGAAUCUUACUAAAUAAGAAAAUAUCCUAAGAAAUCAUUAUUGAAAAAUAAGACAUAUUUCCUAACAUAUGAAACGUGAAUGUCAACAUGAAAUUGGUAUUUAGAAUUAUAAGAUUGAAACAAGUAACAAUAUACUUGAAGAUUUUAAUGUUAAACAUGAGACAUCAGAUAUAAAAUAAGAAACAAAUUUAUGUCCUUUAGUAUAUAAUUUUUUUACUUUUUCUUUCUAAAUUUUUUAAUUAAUAUAUUAUUUUAUUUUAUUAUUUAAAAUUUAAAAUUAAAUUAAAUUAAAUAGAGCAACCAGUUGAUUAACCGGUUUCCCCAGGUCUCAGGCUUUCUUUUUGAGAGCUUAGCACCUUGCUACUAAACUGCCUCCCCCAGCAUUAUGGCCACAUCCCCAUUUUGACAGUAACUUUUAAACGCAGGUAAGUGGUUGCUUUUUAUAAGAACUUAUUAAAUAAAUAACCACACCUUUUUUAAGUUCUUAUUAUAACCUUAAUAUUUUAAUAAAAAAAGACACUUAUUUCUUAUUUUUACACAAACCUAAUAUAUGAACCAUUCGAUAUUAUAUUACUGCCACGAUCAAAUUAUGCUAAUAACAAUUAUAUCAUCACAGCCCUGGCAUUAUGUAGAAUUAUAUGAGUAAGCACGCACAACAUGAUCUCCAUUUUGAUAGUAUUGAAAAUGACCCUAAUUCAAUCUUUUAUAAAGGAAUAGAAAGAGAUAAUGACAGUGAAGAAGAGUAUUACAACACUAAUAGCUCUGGAUCAUAAGAAUGGAAAAUUUGACGAUUAUUAUUGUAACAAGUUAAUGUAAAUAUAAUGCAUAUUACAUUUUAUUUUAUUUGGAUUAUAUAUUAGUAUGAAUUUCAUCAUAUUUUAUGUAACAAAUUAUGAAGUUCAUUAGAUAUUAUUUAAUUGAGUUUUUUCACUUUAUGAAAUUUUAUGUAUUAAAAAAAGGCAUGUGUACACAAUUUACUAAAUAUACUCUAAAAAUAAAGUUAUUUUAGUCAUUAUACAAUAAAACGACACUUUUAUAAUAAAAUUUUCUAAAUGCAUGUACUUUACUUUUCAAAUUCACAACAACAGGAACAACAUAUUUAACCAAACACCAAGCUGCUUUAAUCAACUACUUAUUUUAUAUGUAUAAUAUAAGUAACUUAUUUGAUCAGAUACCGCAAUCUCAAAAUUGGCCCUAACUCUAAUUGAAAUGACCAAAUCAGUCUUGCACUACUAAUUUCAACCACCCAAUCUUCUGGGACGGUACCAAAAUUUUGGUUUUAAGGGGCCAAAAUGCAGAAGUCAUAAAUUUAGGUUCGCUGUAAACACAAAAUAAAAUAAAAUUGUGGAUGCCAACAAUAAAGACUAUAAUGUAGGAACUAUAAAUUUGUAUAGGCUUUAGCAUAAUAUUUUUAAAAUUAAGGGGACGAACGUAAAACAUACAUCGAAUUCGGUAUAUUUUCAUUUCAUCCCUUACAAUAUUAUUUUUUUUCCCUUUUUUUUUUUGUUUUUGAGGGGACGUCAGGGCCUCUUACGUCAUCAUCUGGUUCCGCCUCUGCUGAAGCCCAAAAGUUCUGUGACUCACUUAAAUAAGGGUUAUUUUAGCUUCUUCUUUUUUUUUUAAUUAGGGAUCAAGGGUGUAUUAAGGAAAAAAUAAAUUAUAUACUAAUUUCAAAUAUUAAAAAACUAUGGAUCUCAAUGUUAUUUUACUAUAAGCAUAUAAGAGUUUUUUUGAGAGUGAGGCCGAGCUCCAUGCCGCCCGCCUAAAAAUAAAUAUAAUUAUUAGAUAGAUGACUUAAAUUAAUUUUACUCAUUUAUUUAUUAAUCGUGUGGAUUUUUCCAAACUCAAGCCGGGGUAUCUGUAAAUUGUUUCCCAAGGAAUGCUAUGGCCAUCUAAGAAUAUAUAUAAACAAGAUCUUUUAGACAUAAAAUAAAUAAAGGCCAUGUGACAACAGCCGUGAAGUGCGGCAGCAGGCACCAUUGAUUAAUCUUUAAAAUAAAAUAAUACUCAUUAACUGGCUUAUUGCGUGCAUCUUCUAUUCUUCUGAACAUUUUGACAAAUUAAACACAUCAACACAUUUGUCCACUUUUGAAUUUCGGCAACAUGGUUGAAGCGAUCGUUUCCAUUGCAUUGGAGCUGCUAAAUUCAUCGAUGGCUGUCGUGGGUGGUAUCAUCGAUCGCCAAGAACUUAAAAAGCUUAAAGAAAAUUUUGAAGCCAUUCACUCUAUGCUUCUAGAUACAGAAGAAGAACAAACAGAAACUAUGAAGCAGCCACGUGGGAGAGUACUUUGGGUACAAAAGCUCAAAGAGGCAUCCUACGACUUGGAAGACGUGUUGGAUGAGUUGAUCACUUCAAGGCGAAAUCGAGUGUGCUGAGAAAAUUGAUAAGAAAAAGAACAAGGUACGGUGCUUGUGCUUCGGCUUCAAACAAGUCUUUUUGCGUUGUGGUACUGCAUUUAAGAUAAAAGCAAUCAACAAAGGCUAGAUGAUAUAAUUGCCAUCAAGAAACAAAUGUUUAAUUUUACUUCCUUACUUGAUGAAUCUGAGAAAAGCAAAUUGUUAUAUGAGAGUAGUAAAGUACAACAGGGUGGAAUAGGAAUAAAGACAAUUUUGCAUAAAUUUGGGAAUCUCUUGUGCUUAAGAAGAGCAAGAAAAGAAAGGGGAAGUAGUAUUUUAGAUAUUGAGAUGGGGAAGCUAAAUGAGCUUGAAAAUGAUCCUUUAGCCCCUCUGCUAUUAAGUUAUAAUGAUUUUCCUCCAAUGAUAAAAUUGUGUUUCUUGUAUUGUGCUGUCUUUCCAAAAGACUACAAUAUAGAGAAAGAUGAAUUGAUCAAAUUAUGGAUGGCUCAAGGUUACAUUAGGCCGAUCGGAAAUAAAGAGAUGGAAGUAAUUGGUCAAGAAUAUUUUGAUUACUUAGCCACACGAUCAUUCUUCCAAAAGUUUGAUAAAGAUGAUGAGGAUAAUGUUACAAGGUGUAAAAUGAGUGAUGCAGUGCAUGAUUUUGCACAAUUUCUUACCAAACACGAAUAUUUUUCAAUUGAAGCAGAUGGUUCUGAGGAAUCGUUGACAAAAACUUCUCUAGAGAAAUUUCGUCAUUCAAUAUUGGUGCUUGGCAGACGUGCUUCAUUUCCUGUUUCUAUAUUCAAAGCCAAAAAGUUACGUAGUCUUUUAAUUCAUAGCGAAUUUGAAGUCUCUUUUCAUGUCCUACAAGGCUUAUUUGAUUAUUUGACAUGUUUGAGGGCAUUAAAAAUUACUGGAAAGGUUUCUUGGGGUCAGAAUUCAAUCUACGCAAUUCCUAAAGAGAAAGAAAAAUUGGUACAUUUAAGAUAUCUUAAAUUGUCCCUGCUGCUAAUGAGGGAAGAAUUGCCCGACAUAGUAUGUGAAUUAUUUAAUUUGCAAACCUUAGAGGUGGAGCACUGUCCUCGCUUGAAAAGAUUACCCCAAGGAAUAGGAAAGUUAGUUAAUCUGAGGCAUUUGAUAUGUUAUUACAGUAAUUUGGAUUACAUGCCCAAAGGGUUUGAGAGAUUGACUUGUCUUCGGACGUUAACUGUGUUUGUAGUGAGUGGUGGUAAAUAUAGUGGCAAAGCAUGUAACAUCGAAGGUCUCAGACACUUGAACCACCUCGGAGGGGUUUUUCGAAUUACUGGAUUGGGAAAUGUGACUGAUGUUGAUGAGGCUGAAAAUGCAGAGCUUGAGAAAAAGAGGAAUGUAGUUGAUUUGGGAUUGUGGUUCGAUAAGGAUGAAGAAGGAGAAGAAGCGGACCACGAAGAAAUUAUCGAAGCCUUAAAACCACAUUCAAAUCUAGUGGCAUUAGACAUACUUGGCUUUAAAGGCAAGAUUACAUUCCCUAAAUGGAUAAUGUCAUUGAACAAUCUGAAGUCUUUGCAUCUCAGAAGUUGUGAGAAGUGUGAGAUUCUGCCUCCGCUGGGAAAACUGCCAUCCCUUGAAACACUCUAUAUAGCGGGUAUGAGUGGGAAAAGAGUGGGUGAUGAAUUUUUCGGAAUAGGAAGUGAUUGUAAUAUUGCCCUAAAUUGAAAUUUCUGAGAGUUGUGGAUAUGUUUGAAUGGGAAGAGUGGGGUUUUGGCAUAACACAGAGUAAUGUAAAAGAAGAUGUUAUGGUAAUGCCGUGUCUAAAUUACUUGGAUAUUCAGUUUUGCUUCAAAUUGAAGGCCCUCCCAGGAUACCUCCUUGAGAUCACGGCAUUGGAGAAACUGGAGAUUCUUUGUUGUCCUAUUUUUGAACAACGAUACAGAAAGGGGACCGGAGAGGAUUGGUCAAAGGUAGCUCACGUUCCUACCAUCACAAUUAAUCGUCAAUAUGUCCAAGGUAUUUCUUCUCUUCGGUUUUCAAUUUAAUGAGAAUGACAUUUAGUCUCUCUUACAACUAGUUUUUAACAUUACCUGAUAGAUAUUUAGUACCUCAUUUUAUCGCUUGAGUUAAAAUACCCAAAAAAAAAAAAAUUUGAAAGAUAUCUUAAUAUUUACCUUUUAACGGUGUGUUUUUCUGGCACCGUUUGGACACCACGAAUGAAGUGAUGUAUUAACAUAAAAAUCUUGGAAGGACUAAAAUGAUAAAACAAGUUCUAAGAGAGACUAAAAUAUCACUCCUAAAAGAUUGAAAUAACAAAAUACUAUUUCAAGUACUCUUAUCUUAUGAUGACUUCAAACAGUCUCACUGGACUAGUCAUUCUUUGUUGCGGCCAUCCUAUAAGAGCUUUAAUUGUCCUUAACAAUGCCACGCCAAAUUUGAAUUCUCUUAAGCGGCCGCCAUUAUUCCUGUAGCAUCACUCGCAGGUAGUUUUCUAUGUAGCUUAUUUUUUUCUUUUUUUGUUUGAAAUCUCAUCGAGGGUAGAUGAAAACACUUUGAAUUUUAUAUGGCUAUUACUUUUUAUUAUGUAAACUCGUUUAUUCUGUUCCGUGCGGUUUACGUUUUUUCUUGUGAUUGCUGGAAGAGAAAUAAUAGAACAGAUGAAGCUUUUGAAACUUAUAGCUAGUCCAGUGUUUCUGGAUUCGAUAAGAGACUAUGGCUACAAUAAGAUGAGUGAACAAUAUCAAUUUUUAUUGGAUCCAGUAUUUGGGUCACUCCACUCAAACACAAAAUGAAAAAUUGAAAAUUGUCUCAACUGUUAUAAUGUAAUUAAAAACCGCUAUACUUUUAGUUCAGUGCUUUAUAUAAAAGAAUGAAACAUAUACAUGAAUCGAAGAAAGUUAAUAGAAGUAUUUGUCAUUUACAUAGCUCUGGUCGCCAUCUCCUCCAACCAUGGGAGUGGGAAGUGAAUUGGGCAAAUUUUGUGUCUCGCCGUAGGGCAUCUCAUCGAACUUCCAUUUAUUAGGUUAAGAAGUUUGCUUCUUCGAUUCAAGCUGGCUUCAAUGGUAUAUAAUAAUUUGAUUUUGAAUAAUGCAUAUAUAUAAUUCUUCAACGUUUUAGUUCAUCAAUAUAUUUUGACAGUCUAUAAUAUUAUUUAAUAAAUCAUGACACUGAGAUGAGAUCCGGGUAAGUAUGAUUAUGAGUGCUCGAGUUGAGGAAUCUUAAGAAAUGUUGUAGUAAUUUGAAAUAUGUUUGUGUUUUUUUUUUUCUUGUUUUCAAUUGAAAGCAUAUUAACAAGAAAUCUUAAUGAUCUUAAGAAACGUUAUAAUAUCCCACGAGUACUUAUUUUUUAAAAUUAAUAUUUUACGUUUUAAAAAAAAAUUAGCGGGCCAUAUAAUCAGGAGGCUUUUGUUAAAAAUAAAAUAAAAACAUAACAGAAAAAUCUACUACUAGGGGGACAUAAUAUGAGUCUUGCGUACUCCUUGGAAGACUGUAGCAGUGAAGCUAAAAAGGAGAUAAAAUAAAAUGAAAAAUAUGAAAGCCUCUUUGCUCCACUACUAAAUCGAUUUCUAUGGGAAUCAUUAGCAUGUUGAGAAAGAAAUUUCCGUAUAUCAGGAAGGGGACCACUCCAUCGGACAAAAUUAACAAGUGGAACCCCAAAUUGACCAAACAAUUAGCACAAUAAUUGUGAGAAAAUUUGAACGUCAUUUGAGAUAUCAUCAAUUACAAUUCAACCAACAAUUUUAAAGCAUCCAAACAGAAGGGUUACCAUGAUGAAGCAGAUGCAUAACAAGCACUGAAUCACAAAAUAACCCCAAAUUGGCACAGCACUGUGUUUAUUAUGAGUGAUUGACAAUAUACAAGUUUUUUCAUAAAGUUUUAAUAUAAUUUCUUUUAAAGUUUUUUAUUUAAAUUUUAAUUCUUAAAAUAAAUUUACCAAUCCAAAACGACACAGAAUAUCAAUUAUCAAAUCUUCUGACAAGUUUUGUGCCAUUGUUUUAUAGAAACAGUAAGAAUAACUAUUGCUAGCACUCCAAUCCUUUAGCAGAACGAAUAAAUAAAUGCACCAUAACUUUUCUUUUCUAAUAAGCAAAAGAAAGUACUUGAUGGCUAUAAAGUGCAAAUAUUCGUUUGGCCCUAUAUAUUGAGUUACGUUUCUACUUAAUUAGUAUAUUUUAAAAAAUAAUUCAAGACAUUUCUGUUGUUGAAUAUGUGAUAUUCAUGCUCUUAUUUUUUUUUUUUUUUUGCUUUUUCAAUAAUACUCUUAUUGUGAUUUUAAAGUAAUGUUUAAUACCUUUGCAAAUAAUUAUUUACAAAAAAAAUAAUCCAGCAAAUUAAUCAUAAAAGUAAAGUAAUAACACAGAUUUUACAUUGUUAUAUUAUUUAUCGAUUAGGAGCACAAUAAUAUUGAAAGAGAAAGAAAGAAAGCAAAUAAGAGGCAUAGUAUCUAGAGGGCAAUUUUAUUCAAUCUCAAAUAUAUACAAAUAAGAAGCAAAAACCUCCUUUUAUAGUGAUACAACCAUGGUAAGUAAUACAUCAUGAUUACAAGAGAUAACAAUCUUCAAAUUAGGGAGAUAUUGGGAGUUAUAAGAGAGGAAGUUACUUGUGAGGAGAUAGAAUGUUGUUUUGAUGAAUAUCCACAUAAAUUAUAAUAAUUUCAUAACACUCCCCCUUGGAUAUUCAUCAUACAAAGAAUAUGCCUAAUUAAAACCUUUGAUAGUAAAAACUUAUUGGGAAAAAGACUAAUUGAAGAAAAAGAGUAUAUUAUUCAUCUGUAUUUUAUGGAGGUGCAAACUGCCUCAUUAAAACCUUACUAGGAAAAAUCCAUUAGGACAAAAGCUUAGUGAAGGAAAAAGAGUACAGUGCAUUUAGUCAUUCAUAUCAAUAACUCCCCUUGUUAAAUAUGCUCCCCCUCAAAAUGAAAUGGGUGCUUCAAAGAUCAAUCAUAAUUUGUUAUAAAUAAUACUACUUUGGUGAAAUAAUCUGCAAGAUCAACACCAUCUCUUGAAAGCUUGAAAACAUAUAAUAAAGUCGAGAUAUCAUAUCUUGAAAUUGAAGAAUAUUACCAUGCAUAUAUCUAUAUAAUUUUGUUGAUCUUCUUAAAUAAAACCAAGCUUCAGUAUUCAAAUCAAGGAAAAGUAUAUUUACACUAUUUUGACAUUUUUCAAGUUUAUGGUGAACAUAUUUUAAUUUGUAAUUAUGCAAUUUUUCAAUGCCUUUGUAGGCACAAGUUGGAAUAAAAUAUAGUUCUUCGGGACUAAAAUAUAUACAACACAUUUUAAAGCAAAUCAAUUUUUGAAUAUGAAAUACUUCUUCUAUGUCUAUAGUAUCAGCAUUCCACUUUAUUAAUUUCAAUUCAUAAAGAGAGUAAUUCUUUCAUAUUAAGAUUUUUCAGCUUAAAUUUUAUUCUUAAAAGAAACAAAUUCAUAAGCUCUUCAGGAGUCUUUUCAUGAUGAAACCAUCAAUACAUUUUGCAAAGAUUGCAAAUUUAAUUGUCUAGUUUUUAAUAAAACCACAUUGCAAAGUGGAUUAUGACAUAUCAAACUUAUAAUAAAUUCACUCAGGUGAUCAUGCUUUUAUAAGUAUAGAUUGUUAUAAUAUACACAACUAUGAUUAUAGUUUUAUCAAUAACAUAUAAGAUGCAAGCUUUUUGAUUUAAUACUUCAAGUACUUGGUUCGAGCAUUUUAUCUUUCAAGGAUAAGUACAUAAACUCUUCAAUUUAAUUUUGACACUAUAGUUUAGAUUCACAUUUAUUAAUAAAUUUUUUGACUUCAGGCGUAUGGACUACAAGUUCAAAAUUCUUCAAAUUUUACUAAUCAAUUUUACAUCCUCUAGCAUACGGACCGUAGGUCCAAAUAUUUUACAAUUUUGGCCAAUCAUAUAAUUUGAUGAUUUUCACAUUUUUUGAUUUAGGAUCCUUCAAAUUUUAUCAUAACAACUAAAUUUUAUUGCAAAAUAUUAUGUCAAUUUCAAUUUCUCUCUUGUACCAAGUAUCAAGAUUAAUUAAAAUCUCUCAUUUUCAAUAUAUAGGCCCAAUUGAGAUAUUUUAAAACUUCGAAUACAUAUGCCUCUACAAAGGCUAAAGAUAUCUUUUUUUUAAUGUGCACACGUGUCUUUUCUAGGGCAAUUUGAAUCUCUUUACUUUUUUACUGUCUACCUCUUCAAGGGUAUUUGAGAUUCAUAACUAGCUAUUACAAUACAUCUCUCUAGGAGCAAUAUAUUCAAUAAUUUAAUUAUAGAUCAAAUGUGUUUGCUAUUUGUACAAACAUGGCCUCUUCAGGAGCACCAAACCAUUUUUAAAGAUUUUACCAUCUUCCUAAGAUUUAAAUUAUUUGUACCAAUUGAUCUAUUAUAAAGUUAUUUGAAUUAUAUAGUAUUUAUUUGCUUAAAAUGCUUUGAAUCUUAAUGUAUUAUUUUUGUUGUAAGGUGGAGUUCCGGAGGUUGAGAUUUUUACUUGGGAGGAGAUAAUUUCUGAUGAUGAUGAGAGGCACAAGCGUUGAGCAGCAUGACAUGAACUUUUUUUUUUUUAAUUUGGAAUUAGACAUGAACUUGUUAUUUACUUAUUUUACAUGAGUAUUUUGACUCUUUUAUGAACUAUUUUUUGAGUUGUUGAGCAUUUUAAGAUUUUCAUGUGUUGUAUUGAUAAUUGGUGUCAUAAUUAUGAACUUAUGAUAUGUUGGAUGUUAUUUAGAUUUAUUGUGUUAUUGAAUUUGAUUUUUGUUUAUAUGGAUUAAAUGAGUUUAGGUUAGAAAUUGGAUGAAUUUAGGUAGUAGAAAGUAGAUUGAAACAAUUUUUAUUUAUUAUUUGUGCAAAAUUUGUAUUGUUAGUAUGUUAUAAGUUUGUAUUUGACUAUUUUCUUUUGUUAAGCUUGAGAUUUAUCUUGUAGUAUGAUACACAAGAAAUAUGAAUGCAUGUUGCUGGUUGAUAUUUGGGUGAUAAAAAUGAAAGAAAAAAUUGAAAGAAGAUUUUGGGGGCUUAGAAACCCAGAUAAAAAAACCCCGACCCGGGACAUGAGCCCGGCCCGCACAUGCAAAAGCCAGGUUUUGCCCAGAUUUGGGCAUCAAUUUUUGUCAUCCGGUCUGAACCCGGGUAGCACCAAACUUGGACCGGACUCGGGAUUUUGCCAAGCCUAAUACAUUCUAGCUGAAACUUGGUGUUAGUGCUUCAAUUUUUGGUUCAAGGUAAUUCCACACUAAGAGAAUAUGAAAGUUGUAACAAAGUUACUUCUUUGUCGAAGUUACAGCUAGUGUAAAGAGAAAUGAGCACAUGUUCUCAUGCAAGCAUAAAGACAGAAAUAGAGAGGAACGAAACAGAGACAGGCAGGAUGAGACAAGAUAAAUUCAAGGCAUUAAGCCAAAAAAACUCUUAAAGCAAAAACAGAGGGAUACCAGGCAUGCAAGUGAAAUAAGUGAAGCCGACAAGCGUCAUGACGUUCUUGAAUCUUGAUGCCUAUAAUCUAUUGAUGCUACUGCAAGUGUUUGGUGAGGUAGAAAAGAAGAAUGACCAAACAAUUGGAACUCAUUGUUUCUCAUCAUCAAACUUCAAAAAGUAGAUAAUCUUCACAAGCACAAAAAAAUUAAGAAAAUUCAUUUUUUAUUAGCAAAUCAAGGAGUUACAGAUCUACAAAAGUUUUCACACUCUGUUCAUUCUCAUCAACAUAUAAAUUAUUCUACCUAUAUACAAUUAUAAUCGAAAGAUGUAUUUAACCAAAUUUGUGCACCUUCAUCUAUUAAUACGCCUUGGAAGAGGCAAAAUAUCAAUCAAGUUGCAUGCAUUUCUAAAAACAUUUCAUUGUUUUAAUAUAACAAUAAAUCAAACAAAUGAAUUGACCUUGGCCUUAACCUUGCAAUUUCAAACUCAAGCCCUAGAGCUUCAGUAUCAAGAAAGUACUCAAUCAACUCUUCAACAGUAUUCGAUAAAACCCAAGAUUAAUCCAACCCAUUACCAUAUCAGACAUGAUAAUAAGAAAUGCAAUGUUAACCAACUAUAAAUUAUAGGAUGAAGAUUCAAGAACCCCAGGUAUGUAUAUAUAAAAUUUUACUUGGCGAAGAUUUGAUAUUGAUGCUACUUCAUGAAAUCUUGGCUGUCGAUUAGGGAUGAUUUUCACAGCCACUGAGAAUGCCGCCUCCAAGAAUGCCACCACCAACAAGAGAGAAAUUAUUAUGGUUGAUAAGGGUAAUUUUGAUGAAGUUAUUACGGCCAAAGGAGAAGAAAUUCAAUGACGACGAGGAGGAAGAAAUAUCGUGAAGGAGAAGAACAAGGCUGGCUGAGUAUUCUGCUGCUUGUGUAAUUAGAGAUAUUUGAGGGUAUUUUAGACAUUACUCUUGUCAAAAGGCAUAUAGUGAUAAAUUUAAGGUAUGAUGGUAUAACUACAUUAAUACGCAAGUUUCAAGGUAUACCAGCGGUAAAUUCCUGUCUCUCGUCUGCUAAUCGCAUCUUUCUCUCUUUCGACUCUCUAAUUUCUCUCUUGGAUUUGGUUACCAAGCACAUAAAAUUGAAGCCACCAUCUCGCUCAUAACAAACAACUAGUCGGAUCCGUCAAACUGUUGCUGUCAUCUUGAGCCAUUCAAGUAACUUGAACACAUCAUCUUCUCGUAAAUUCUCUUUCAUUUUCGAGUUAAAGACAAGGUAAGGAUGUAAUCUUGACUUUUGUGUUUUUUGUGAUGACUACAGAAAAUGCUAUAUGAAACAAUUAGGGAUUUAUGUGCUAUAUUAUUAUUUUUUUUCUCUUUGUUAAACAAGCAGGCAUUUAUCAAUUUUGAGUGAAAAAUGGUGUUUAGAUGAUGAAAUAUUGAUGGUCAAGAGAUGAUUCACGGUUUGGAAUCAUGAAAUUGGCAACAAAAGACAUAAGAAAAUGUUGGGUUGUAGUGAGAGAGAGGUGUGGGUUUCGGGUUUUAGAGAGAGAAGAUGAAAAAACAAAGGAAGAAGAUGAUGAAUAAGCAAAUCCAGCUAGCCGCUUAGACCAAACGGCUAACCACACGGUUGUGGCAGAUUUUGUGCCUUACAAGUAGUCGAUUUCACGCAUUCAUCAUGGAUACUACAGAUGAUACAAGUGCAAGACCUAAUCGGAGAGCGUAGUACACUUUUUGUAAGUAUAAAUUAAUUGAUAUCUUUUGAGUUGUUAUGUUAGCAACCAUUUUAAAUACACUUCUGUAUUCGAAUUUUGGUUACGUUGAAGUGAAGGGGAUUGAGUUGCCAUUAAAAAUUAAAGUAUUUUGGUCUUUAUAAACAAAGCGCUUUUGUGGAAUAGAUCUAAGAAGAUGCUAAUCUUCUUAAUAAAAUUAAAAAAAAAAAAUUCUAUUACUCUUGGUGCAACAAAUUUCCUAGUCCCAAAACCUUGUCAUAGAAAAAAAAAAAAAAAAAAAAGAAAACAGAAAAAGAGUGAAAAUCUCUUCGGUCAACCAAAUUACUCAAAUUCGUAAAAUAAUAUAAUACUUGAACCUUAAAAAUAAAAGCUCUAUAUAUUAAUAUAUAAACAGUGAUAAACACAAUUAAGAAAUUGAAGAUAUUUAAAAGGUUUUGAAACGUUAUUUUUAUUGAAAGGAGUUGCCAUUUUUAAUUUUGGUUGCAAAUAAUAAUUCCUUGGUGGUUACAAUAUUUUUAAAUAUCCCCAUUAAGGCUGUAGGGGCUACAAAUCUUCAUUCUAGAUCUGUAACAUAUGACUAUGAAUUAUAUAUAAAUGAGCUAUUUUUCUUUAUCUUUGGAUAUAUUAUAUACUCUAUUGUUUUCUACGAAACUCUACGAUAAACAAUUAAUAUUUUUCUUUGCAACUUCGACAUUCAAAGACUUGGUUUAUUCUGCAGGUAAAUCGUGCUUAGGAAGAAGAGCGGCAUGAAGAUAUUUGGGUUGUAUUUUGGAGCUGCGAAAUAUGGACAAUAUCCGCCCGUGGGGAGGGCUCUUUGACAUUUGGGUUGUAUUUUGGACAUUUGUGAAUUUACUAUAGUCUAAACAUAAAUAGAACGUCAAACUCUAUUUAUUAACAACGAAUUUAAUUUAUUUAAUCAUAAGAUAACUUGUGUUUAUGUCUUAUGUGAAUCCAUAUAAUGAUCGUAUAAAAUACAUAUAAUAUGAUUAAACGAACUUUAUUCAAAAUUUUUUUCGCAAAUUAAAGAUAUCUGAAAAUGUCUCAAGUAUCAUAUUAAUUAGAAAAUAAAUAAAUCAAUAUGAUUUAAAGGGCACAUAAUCCCAAGAAUAUAUGCAUCAAAGUAAGAAACAUAUUAACUAAGGAGUGAUAAUGCAUUUAUUAAUAUUCAAUUUCCUAUUUAACAACUAAGAUUCUUUUAUUUUUUUAUUCUAUCAAUUUAUUAUUGCAUAAAAAAAUUGCGGGUGAGUAUAUUUGAACUCAUUAAAUCAGUCUUUAUACCCUAAAUCAAUAAAUAAUUUUAUUACAAAUUACUUAAAACCCCUUUUAAUUUCUUGGAUACCCGAAAAGUAAAAUUACCAUUCUAGAUGGAGGAUAAAUCUUCAAAACAGCCUUAACGCAUCUUAUUUGUUCAUACAAACACAAGUUAUUAAACAACAAUGGAUGCUGAACCAGAGUGUCAAACUUAGUUUCUAAUUGUCAAAUUCUUCCCAUUAGACAUCUAGACCGUUUUACAGUCAGUGACAUAGACAGAAAAUCAAAUUAGUGGGGCUAGAAUGACCGGCAUGAAAUAUAAAGAAAGAAAAAAUUUACCGUCUUAUUUAUCUAUUUUUCUAAUUUUUUUAGUAUUUCUCCUUACAUAUGUCUUAAUAACAUAUUUAGUUUGAUGAAAUAAAAUAAGAGGAUAUGAGAGAUAAGGAGAAUGGGGGAAAUAAAUAAGGGAAAAAUAGAUGAAUUCUAUAUUAAACUAAAUAAUGAAAUUGAGAAUGACUCUAUUUUGCUCUCAUUUUAUAAUCUCCUGCUCUAGGAACCAGAACUUUAAGAGAAGGCAGUCAAAUUGUAAAGAUUGACAAGCAGAAAUUUUUGUUCUCCUUUUUAAAUAAAAAAAUUCAUUUUGAUGGAUUUUUAAUAUUAAAUUAAACAUUUGCUAAAUCGGAACAAAUAUAUUAGAUCUUAAAUCUUGUUUUUAAUGGAUUUAAUUAGGUUUUGGGCUUUCAAAUUAUGAAACUGGACAAGAUUUGUGUGUGAUUUUAAAAUAAAGUUGAACUUGAAUUUGAUGCAUUUAAUUAAUCAAAAGAAGCAAAUUUAUAAUUUCAACUUCUAAGUAAAACAUACCUUUUGAAUUUUAGCAGUGGCUACUACGGUAGAGUAGUUGCAUCUAGGAUACUAAUGAUGACCAACAAAAUAUAACAAUAAUUACAAAUUUAAUAUUUAUUUUUAUAAUUAUACGAUGGAGCACAACCAACAUAUUCGGACCGUUGGAUUUUUCGGACAGGCCAAAGGCAACUGCUCCCACUGUUCUCUCAGCGGCUCUGCCACAAGUCGCUUGUAAUUAUUCAUUCAAUAAUUAUAAAUGACACAACAUUUGUUAAUGACACAUAGCAUUGGGAUUUAAGUUGGUACUCAAUUGUUGGAAUCUCUAAUAUUAUUGAACAUGAUUUAAUGAUCAAAUUCAAAUCUUGAACCAGUGGCCAUGAAUGAAAGAAUAUGACGAAAGGUGUUAAGAUGCACAUGGAUAUUGGUAUUAGGGAUCAUGUUUAGGCUAUUUACACAUCUAAACAAUAAUCAUUACUAUUUUCUGUCACUAAUUUUCCAAAACUAAUUUUUGCAAAAAGUCAUCAUAUUUGUAUAUUAAAUUAAUUUUAAGAAAUUUUGCUUUAUUCGAGAAAAUUGAUUUAGUCACUAUUAGUUUUGUCGUGUUAAGAUAAAGUAUGGGUAGCUGUUGCAUACAUGUUCUUUUUAAAAGGUAGGAACUUUCUCUAAAUGUUAAAUCGGGUUUUUUGAGAAUACGGAGUAAUAAUAAUAUCACCACGAAUAUAGAUGAUACUCUGUAGCAUGACCAAUUGAUCAAAAAAAGAAAAAUUUUAUUGUUAAAUGACUUCUUAAAUGAUUAUAAAUUGAAAAUAUUUUUACAUUAUAACUUAACUUAUUACGAGAUUUAUCUUACUUAAGAAAUAGAUUGUAAAAUAAUUAAUUUUUCUAAUUUAUGAUUCUUUGUAAUUAUUAUUAUAUAUUUUAUAUUAUUAACAAUAUUAUACAUAAUUUUUUUACUAAAUUGACGGCUCACCCCAUAUCUCCAACAUUAUUUAAUUUUAAUCAACUUGUUCGUAGUGCAGAUGUGGGAUGGAGAUCUAUAAGAGGAGCAGGGGCUGCAGACACCAGAAGAAUUAAAAGAAUCUCCUUUAAAAAUGUAUAAAUAUAUCUAAUAUGGACUUACUAAGAAAUCAUGUGAGACAUUAAGGACAUGUUUGGUACCAUUUUUUGGCAAACUGUUUUUCGUUUAAUGACAGCAUUAAUGCGUAAAACUUGUUUGGUGGAUGUAUUUUUUGAAUCACAAACAAAAAAUACAAAAUUGAAUAGUUCUUGGUUUCCCCCUUUUGUUUCAUUAAGUUAAAGAUCGUUAAAUUUUCAAACCUAUACCCUUAGAAUUUGGAAAACCCUCAAAUUUUCAAGAAGAAAUGCCAAAACUUUUUCUUAACCAUAAUACCUUUUCAAUAUAGUAAUUAGAAAAUUGACAUUAAAAGUUUUAAUUAAUACAAAUAUAAUAUAAAUAAUAUAACCUGUGUAGUAGACUAAUAGCAUUAAAGUAUUUUUAACAUUUAAAAUAAUAUUAAAAUUUUAAACUAUGAUAAUAUAACAUGUGUACAAAUACAGAAAGAUACAUUAAGUCAUAAUAGAUUUAAAACUCACGGACUGUUGAUUUACUGGCCAUUUAAAUUAUUCAAUAAACACGUAAUGUUCACUGAAGAUUGCUUGCGUAUUUUUCAAUUUGAAAUGUCGAAUAUGACAACAUCAAGUUUUGGCAUGCUGUUAUCAUUUUGUAAAACUACCUAAACAUUUAAUGUAUGUGCAUGGAGCUGGGUAACAUAGUUUAACUUCAAUGGGCAAUUUAUGUUCUCAAAUAAGAAAGAUUUUGAGAGCUAAUAGUAUCAUAUAAUCAACUGUGUGGAUCAGCUAUCGUUGGCUAAACUACAGACCAGCGAAUACUUGAUUUUGCACCCGUUUGAUCACUCCAAAAAAUAAACAUAUAUAAAAAGGAGAAAAAGUGGCCACUUGAAAUUCUUCAAUAAUUGGAGAAAUACAGAUAAUUAAGAUCAGUAACGCUCAAAAUAAAUGUUUCAAAGAAAUAAUAGACAAAUGAUAAGAACUGAAACCUAAAUCAUUUGGGUCCUCUUAAUUAAAAGAGUAAUUGUUUCAAUCAACUUGUUUGUGGAUGUGGGGUUGGACCGUUGGAGGUUGAUAAAUUUCUAUCUCAAACUCAGGGUCAAGAGAAUAGUAAGGGGCUGCCGACACAAAAGGAACCAAAAAUGAAGACAAAGCCAUCACUACUCCAACUAGAAGGUCCUACAAUAUAAGAAAAAUUUGUCCAAAAUUAAUUUCCUCUACCAAUUUGUGGUUUCAAUCCCGAAAAGCUUAUCCAAAACACUUCUCUAUCUUAGAAAUUUUUCCAAUCAAAUUCAAGAAGUAAAAAACCCAAGCAUAAACAUUUGCUUCUACAUGAUAGUCAUUAUUUGAAUUGGCUAUUGUGAGUAAUGCUAGAUAUUUCAAUAUUUAAAUUUUAAUUUAAGUCCCAAUUGAUAUGGUUUUCAUCUAUUAAAUGGUAGUUAAGUAAUUUUAUUAAGUAAUUUUAAUUCUCAAUUAAUAUGGUUUUCAUCCCAGCAUUUCCGAAACUAAUUUUUGCCAAAAGUCAUCAUAUUUGUGCAUUAAAACUAUUUUAAACAAUUUUUUCUUUGUAAUCACCAUCAAUUUUAUAAAGUAUGGAUUGCUAUUGUAUACAUAUUCUUUUGUAAAAGGCAUGACUUUUCUCUAAACGUUAAUCAUGUUUCUUUUUUCUUUUCUUUUCUUUUUUUUGAGAAAAGUGAGGAAUAAUAAUAUCGCCAGCAUUUUAGAUAACGGUAUAUGACAUGAUUAACUGAAAAAGAAAAAAAAUUUAUUGUUAAAAGACUUCUUAAAUAAUUAUAUAUAUUGAAAAUAUUUGAUAUGUUAUAACUUAACUUAAUAUAAAAUUUAUCUUUAUAAUGUAAUAGAUUGUAAAAUGAUUAAUGUUUCCAAUAGUUAAAAGACUUCCUUUUAAGUUUUCGUUUGGAUUUGCUGGCUUUUGUGGCUUCAAUUAAUGUUGUGAUGAGGACUACGGCCUAAUUUUGUUCAUGCAUGCAUGGUUUGGCUAAAUUUGCAGUACACAUAGAUGAAAUUUGCCUCGAGUGAGUUGUGGAUCAAUGUGAUUGUGAUCAAGUGACACUCUUUUUUAAUAGCCAAUUCAGCACUUUAUUUUUUUUUUCACCCACAAUUACUUCACCGGGAUUGGAUCAAUAAUGCCUCGGUGAAUUCAUUAAUUAAAGCAUAUAAAAUGUAUUUCUAAUUUCAAAAGGCAUCUAGGACUUUAUUCUCUGCUUCACUUCUAAACUAAUUACCCAAAGGAAGUUUGGCUUUCGGCAGUAAUAACAUUGAAGGCAUUUUGAUAUUAAAUUUUUUUUUUAAAGGAAAAUUCUUUAAAUUAAAAAAAAAAAAAAGAAGACAAAAUUGAUUUAAGCACCAUCAAUUAUGUCAUGGUAGUAAUUAAGAUGAGGUUGGAUACCUGUCCUUUUCAGGAGGCACGGGUGUCGAAGAACGUGUAUUAUGUGCUUGAGAGAGAAAUGAGCAAUAACGUCAUAUUUGUGGAAUUUAGCUAAGCGGCAUAUUCCUUGCAAAUUCUUGGCAUAUUCCUUGCAAAUUCUUUGGCAUACUCCUUGCAAAUUCCAUGCAAAUUCAACAAAUGUGAAUGAGAUAUGCUGGACGUCCACCUCCGACUAUUUUGUGAGAGGUUGAAAAGGGUGUUAGAAGGUGAAGAAGGCACGUUGAGGUUGCCUGAUUCAACAAAUGUGACUCCACUUUUUCAAAACCUUCUUACGGAUUCCGAAAUUAUUGUUACCUCAAUACUGAAAUAAUGUCUCAACGUAGACUCAGCUUGAGUGGCAAAACAGAGUGGGAUAACCACACAUUGCAGCAGAGAAAUUAUUUAAUAAACGAUUAUUAAAUUACUACAAAUGAAAGGAUUAGGUUUGUCAUUAUUGACAAUUAAACAAGAUUCUCAUUUUCUCUCACCGGGUGCAUUGCAAGUUGCAACAAUCGAAAACUCUUGCCGAUGCUAUUAGUAUAAUGUAUAAUGUGACUGGUUGCAAAAAUGCUCAGCUGAUUUGAAGGUGGUGUAACUGUAAACCAAACUUCUAUUAUUUAAAAAAAAGUUCUUAGUCCUAAUAAUAUCAUUUUAUAGAUUUUUUUCUACAUAUACUGUGCAAUAAUUAAAAAUUUUAUAUUUUUUAAAAUAUAGUUACAAUCUUUUUUUUUUUUUUGAAACUGAUUAAUCAUCAGGUUAUUGUAUUACACAGAGAUAUAUACAACUGCUAUGACAGCAGGUCAUUACACUGAUAUUUACAAUCAGAUAUAUAUACAUGGGACUUAUAUUAUUAUAUUUUUUAUUCUAUGAAGUACAUGCCCAUCCAAAUACCCCUCACGGAGGAGGGAUGUCUCUAUUCCACUCGCAUUCCGCAAGGGAGAAAGACGUUAUAAGAAAUCUCCACACAAUUAUAUUUAAUUAAGGGAGGUUGAGUCCGUGGGGACUCAAACCAUUGCCCUCAUAGUCAUGCUUAACUUUGAGGGCAACGGUCCACCACUGGGCUAGAAGGCCAAAUAUAGUUACAAUCUAGACACAUAAUUUGUGGACCCAUUUUAUCUUUCACGUGAUUGGUAUUAUUACUUUAUUUGUCUUUUUAUGUACUAUUAUUUAUUCUGUGGACCCAUACAUGCACCCAUGUUUCGGACAUGCAACUUAACCGUAGCCGUUAAUCUUACCUAAUCAUAUGUGCGAUAAAUAUCUGCCGUCGAUCCGUUAUAUGUAAGUACCAACCAUGCGUUAUUAUUCGAUUUGCUACGUUACAAAAUCUUUGUGGACCCAUUUUACCUUCACGUGAUUGGUAUUACUACUUUUGUGGACAAGGCUACGUUGCAGUUGCAGACUCAGCUGAGUACCAACAGCUUUUCCUCUCUCCUGCAACGCGUGGAUGCUCCUUGUUUGUCUUCUUAUCUGCAAUUAUUUUCUCUGUGGACCCAUUCAUGCACCCACGUCUCGAAUAUGCAAUCUAACCCACGUCUCGAAUAUGCAAUUAUUAUUUUUAUUAUUAUUUUGAUGAGGAGGUCUCAAUAAAGUUCAAAUAAAUAAAUUUUGGUCUUUGUCUCACACUUACAUAAACAAACGAAAAAAUUAUAAAAUUAUAAAAAAAUUAAGAACCAUUGUCAAUUAUGUAAAUUCAAAUAUUUAAACAAUCAAAAUAAUUGCGGUUAGUUUUCCCCUGUAAUCAAUUAUUGGCAUCGGAUGGGAACCACGUAAUUCGUGUAAUUGAUAUAAAGCAAUCUUUGAUGAAUCUUGACCCACUUAACAAGGAUCAAUACAUUCAGAAAUGAAUUCCACUCACCAAUUGAGAUACUAGUAUUAAUAUUAUAGGGAUUUAUACAGCUCUAAAGACAAUGAUACAGAGAAGCUGCUAUAACUCUCAUGACUCUCAAUCUAAGUGUUCAAUACGAGUCUAAAGACCUAAUUGCUCUGAUACAAGAAAUCAGUCCAGUCUUGUAUUACUAAACUUAUUAGCAGAUUUUUGGCUCCCAGCUAGCACAUGGGUAGCACCUGUAACGCUGCAUCAAUUAAUAAAACUGAUUUCCCAGAAUUUCCAGCCCCUAGACUUUGCAUCAAUAAUUCACGGGUUGCAAAUUAUUCAAUUUGCAGCUCACAAGCAUGUUUAGAAAAAUGAAACCUAUACAAUAGCAUAUAAAGUGUCUGAUUUCAACAUGUUGUGCAAUGCAAAAAAUAAGAUGCAUCAUGUUGUGCAAAUGCAAAUAAAAAUCAGUUACAAUAUAAUGAACAUUAACAAUCUUGCUCAAAGUCAAAAUGAGAUUAUUUGAAUUUUUUCUGAAGAUAUUGGAUUAUAUAAAUAAUCAGUUAAUUAAAAGGUCGUUAUUGGAUUGGUUUCUUAAUUUUAUUUGCACAUAUUAAAGGGCUCAUCUCUAUGUAAGUACUAGUAGCCUGGCUCCCAAAGAUUCCUGAAAUCAUUCCGCAUGAAAGACAUAUAUGCAUCAAACUAAGAUACAAAUGAGCUAAGGAAUGUUAAUGCAUUCAUUAAUUAUUCAAUUUCUUAUCUAAAGACUAAGAUUCUUUUAUUUUUUAUUCUAUCAAUUUAUUAUUAUCGUAAAACAAUUGCGGGUGAGUAUAUUUAAACUCAUUAGAUCACUCCCUAUAUCCUAAAUCAAUAAAUAAUUUUAUUACAAAAUUACUGAAAAAUCCUUUUAAUUUCUUGAAUACCGAAAAAGUAAAAUUACCAUUCUAGAUGGAGGAUAAAUCUUUAAAACUGCCUUAAACGCAUCUUAUUUGUUCAUACACACAUAAGUUAUUAAACAACCAUGGAUGUUGAACCAAAGUGUCAAACUUAGUUUCUGGUUGUCAAAUUUUCUUCCUAUUGGACAUCUAAAUCGUUUUGCAGUCAGUAACAUAGUCAGAAAAUCAAAUUAGUGGGGUAGAAUGACUGACAUAAAAUAUAAAGAAAAAAAUUUACUGUGUUCUUUAUCUAUUUUUCUAAUAUUUUUAGCAUUCCUCCUUACAUAUGUCUAAUAGCAUGUUUAAUUUGAAGAAAUAAAAUAAGAAGAGAUGUGAGAUAAAGAGAAUGGGAACAAUAAAUAAGGAAAAAAGAGAUAUAAUUAUAUAUUAAAUUAAAUAAUGAAAUUGAGAAUGAUCCUAUUUUUUCCAUCAUUUUUUGAUCACUUACUCUAAGGAACCAAAACUUUAAGGAAAGACAGACAAAUCAUAAAGAUUGAAGAGCAUGAAUUUUUGUUCUCCUUUUUAAAUAAAAAAUUUCAUUUCAAUGGAUUUUUAUUAUUAAAUUAGUCUUUCCCUAAAUCAGAUCAAAUAUAUUAGAUCUUAAAUCUUGUUUUUAAUGAAAUUAAUUACGUUUUGGGCAUUUAAAUUAUGAAAUUGGACAAGAUUUGUGUGUGAUUUUAAAAUAAAUAUGAACUUGAAUUUGAUGCAUUUAAUUAAUCCAAAGAGGCAAAUUUAUAAUUUCAACUUCUAAAUAAAACAUAUCAUUUGAAUUUUAUCAGUGGUUUCUAAUAAUAACUGCCAGGUCAUUAUAAUAAUUAUAAAUGUAAUAUUUGUUUUUAUAAUUAUACAGUUAUGAUCAAUGCUAUGCCGUAGUGCCGUUCCAACAUAGUCACGCCGUUGAUUUUUUAGACAGACCAAAGGCAACUGCUCCCACUAUUCUCUUAGCGGCUCUGCCACUAAUCGCAUUCUGGCCACAUUUUAUCUUUGCUAUUAUGCACCGUAUUUAUUGUUGCAAUCUGCGAGACUGCUACUAGGAUAUGCAAUUGCUCAAGCUCGCUUUAAUCUUACUUAAUUUGUGGACCCAUUCUGCCUUACACGUGAUUGGCAUCACUACUUUGUUUGUCGUUCUUCUAGCUGUAGUAUUAUUUAUUUUGUGGACCCACUCGUGCACCCACGUUUCGAAUACACAAUUUAACCGCAGCCGCUAAUCUUACCUAAUUUAUGUACGAUAAAAGCUCCGCCGUCGAUCCGUUAUACCUAAGUACCAACCAUGCAUUAUUAUUUGAUUAGCUACGUCACAAAGUCUUUGUUCGAAUAGUUAUCAAAGUUUGUUUGUGUGACUCAUGGAAUCUUUGUUGGCCAAUAAAAGGAUGCAUUUUGCUGUUUAAUAAGGCAAGCUCGAAAUAAAUCAAAUCUUAGUCAUACAAAAAUUCAAAUGAUAUGAGCCAUGAUCUCUUGCCAAGCUUCAGACAAGUUAAAUUAUAAGAGGAUCUUGAUAGGUUAAAUUAUGAACACACAUUUACGCUGUGGACCCAUUCAUGCAUCCCCGUUUCGAUUUUGCAAUUUAACGUAGCCGUUAAUCUUACCUAACCAUCUGUACGAGAAAAACUCCGCCGUCGAUCCGUAUAUGUAAGCACCAAGCAUGCAUUAUUAUUUUACCGAUUAUAAAGCACCGACACCCAGGGCCAGCCUAGAAUUAUAAUACUAUUUUUUUUUUGGAUCAGGACGAAAUUAUUAUUGAAUAAUAAUUAAAACAAAAAAAAUCUGAAUCUUUCUAUGAUUGUAUCAACUUAUUAUGCAUGCCUAUGUUAUUGCCCGGUUGCCUAUGUUAUUGACAUCUACUACGAAGUUAGAAAUUGGUCUUAAUUAAUUAGAUAUGUUUCGAAAUUGGUCUUAAUUAAUUAGAUGCAUUUCUCAUUUGAAUUAUUUGGAGACGUGUAUAAUACAGGUCAAGUUUUCUAAUAAGAGGUUAGUGACUUUAUUUCUUUUAUUUGCUCAUAUUGAUUUAUUUGGUUAUCAUUCCUAGCUAAUUCGAUUAUUUAUCAAUAAUUUUAUUGGACAAAUUCUUUUAUUGGUUAAAAUAAGUUUUUCUUAUUAUUGUUUUUGACGAGAAGGUCUCAAUAAAGUUGGAGUAAACAAAUUUUCAUCUAUGUCUCGCACUUGCAUAAAAUAAAGGAAAAAAUUAUAAUUAUAAAUAAAUUAAGAACCAAUGUCAAUCAUGUAAAAUCAAAUAUUUAAACAAUCAAAAUUUUAUCACUUUUGAGUUUAAGACUUUUUUCUUUCAUAUGUUAGAAAAUAAAAUUUUGAUGGAAUUUUUUUUAAAAAUGAAAUUGGGAAUUAGAAAAUUUCAUUUCCAAGACUAUCUUUCAUUGGCUAUGUCCAAGACGAAACAGAUUGAAAGCAACUUUUGUAAUUUACAAAAUUACUGUAGCAAUGAGAUGCGAAAGAAAAGACUGCACGUGAUAAUUGCGGUUAGUGUUCCCCUGUUAUCAAUUAUUGCCACCGGAUGGGACCCACGUAAUUCGUCUAAUUGAACUGUACCCGGUUAUUCGCAAUCCACACCGGGCAAACUUGAAUCAUCUAUAUAUAUUACAUCAAAUUGUCAAACUGGAAGCAAGAACUCGAAAAAGCAACUUAACUACUUUCGAACUUUGAUUCCCGUAAGCAGAGAUCUUUCUGAUUUGAAGAACAUGGAAACCACCUGCGCAGGUUUAUAGGCCAACUUUAUUUUAAUAUAUAUCGUUUAUACUUCUUAUUUUAGUAUAUGCGGUUAUAAAUUAAAUUUUUUAUAUGAAAUUUUCAGGUAAUAACUGGUCAGAGGGUCUUCGGCUUCCUCCGUUUGGCAGUAUUGCUGAUGAUGAUGUCAUGAACGACAAUCUUGAUUUUCUUAAUGUCCCCCAAUAUGGAAGAAACCCCGACUACAUGGGUUAAGUGCAGCACUGCUUUUUUUUUUUUUCUGUUUUGUUUAAUUAAAUAAAUGAUAGGUAUACUAUUACCUAUCAAUCAUGACAAUGUUUUAGUAUGGUUUAGUUCAACUUAUAAGAUUUCUUGAGACGUACAAGCAAUCUUUUUGUUUACUUUUGAGCUAAGUAUUUUCCUGAAAAAGGAAAUAAAUCAAUAAAAGUUAUUGUGUGUGUCAACAUAUUGGUUCUAUUAGUUUAUACACGUCGGUUUUAAUUACGAUCUCUCUUCCUAAAUGUUGUACUUUUUUUUGAAAUAAACUCAAAACUUUGUUGUAUAAAAAACUCUUAUCACUUUCAAUCAUAUGAUGGUUACAAUUUAAUCAUUUAUUCAUAACAUCCUCCUGGUCCUCCAUUGAGGAUAUUAAAGUGUGCCAUUCUGUAACCCAGAACUAUCAUUUCUUCCACCUCUACGAUAUCUUGUAAUGUUACUUGCAGCUUCAUAAGCCACAGAAACAUCAUCAAAAUCAACAAAUUGUUUUUUUUUUUUUUUAGGAAAGUAAUAAGAAAAAUAAAAGCUGCAUUAUUUUAUUGGCCACAUUGGACUCCUAGGCCGGGUAAUCUUGUCAUCUCUACUCGUAGAGUCUUCUCCCAUGGUACUUGCAUGGUUCCAUCUUUUAACUCUAGUAGUAUUUUGUUUGGAAAAUACCCCAAUAUAAUAUCUUCAUUCAAGAAAAUUGAGGACUGAAUUUGUGGUGCUUUUAUCAUAUUAAAUUACAUUUAAUUAUCAAUAUUUAUUGACUGAAAUCAGAAGGGUGUUUGAAUCAGAUAUGAAUUCUCUCUUAAUCAAUUUUUUUUUCUAAAUUUUGUAAGAUAUUAUGGCAGAUUUCAUUUAAAUUGUUUUAUAGUUAGGAUUUAAUUUAUUUUGGGCUUUCCUUAUUGUUUGAAUCCGAUGAAUUUCAUAUCAUCUUGCUGGUGCUUCUUCUGAUCUUCUUCUCCCUCCCUCUCUCUCACUUUUUUUCUUCUCUCUCACAGACCUAAAACUUUGACGAGCAAAUUUGAAAACGAAAUAUCAGGACGGAAAAGCCUCAACAUAUUAAAAAAUUCGGAUAAUUUAACUCUCGUAGCAUUGAUGAAUUUUGGUGUUCUGAUGCGAUUCAAGUUUCUCAUAGAGCCAAAAAAUGGCAAUUCAAGCCAAUUUUUUUAUCCAUCAAUUGAAAUACAUGUUACAUAUGCAGCAGCCCGUAAUCGAAAAUAACUUAAUUUGUUUUAAAAAUUCUUUAUGUUAGACUAGAAAUGAAUCCAUUCUUGUUAUUGCGUAUCUGCAAUUUAACUUAUGCUGCUAGUUUACAAUUUAUUUUAUUCACAUAAAUGAUCGUUCCUUUUUCUUAUUCUCAAUUAAAUUUUGGUUCCUAGAAUGAUAGUUAAAAAAAUUAACAAUAAUAAUCGAUGUCGCAGAUCAAUUAUCAAAGUUUGUUUGUGUGAACAAGAAAUAUGAGAAAAAGUUUGUUAGUUAAUUGUCUCUUAGUUUUAGAAUUUUGAUUAACCAAUAAAACAACGUAUUUUAUUGUUUAAUAAAACAAGUUCAAAGUAAAUUCAAUCCUAGUCAUAUUUUGAUAUUUUUAUUACAUCGCAAUUAAAUUUAAGACAAACCACAUUUCGGCAAUUAAAUUUAAGACAAGCCACAUUCUCCACAUGAAAUAUUUUUGUCGCGUCGUGAUUAAAUGAUUGAGUCUCACGUAGAAGUCUGUCACUAACCAUAUAUUUUUAUAAAUUUAUCAACACAAAAAGAAAAAAAAAAUGAAGUAUUUGAAAUUUAUCUGGGGCUAAGCAGUAACAUUGGAUGUUGCCUCGGAUGUCCUAUAUCAAGGGCCCGAUUAAUAAAAUUUUGGGCCCUAGGCAAAAUUUCUAAAUUAGCCCUUUUUAUUUAAAUGAAAGUUAAUGUGAGAUUAAUUUAAAUUUUUACGAUUAAUAUGAAUAAUUUAUUUUUUUAGAUAUAAUUCCUUUACAUAGUUUGUAUCUGUAUUAUUUCAAAGAUUUUUUUGGGUUAUGUUUAAGCAGGCUUAUUUUUGAGAGAUUAUGAAGAAUAAGAGAUUGUGUUUCAAUUGGAAAUAACAAAAAUUUCGUUGCAUAAUUUUUUUUAAGCAUUAAAGAAAUAAGUUAUUGACGGAAAUUUCACUUUCAACAUAGAGAAUAUCCAACAUUUUAAACAAGAAAAUAAAUAAAUUCUGAUUUUUUAACUGAACUAUAUAUUGAGGUGGGGCCAAAAUUUUUGGAGAGCAAAUAUAAUAACUCAAUUUCUAAAUAAUGAAUAAUGACUCAAUUUCUAAAUAAUGAAGUAAAACAUAAAUUAGGGUUUUAGUAGGAAAGUAUAUUAGAUGGGACCUUGAUUUUAGGGGAAGGCAUAGGCAGUUGCCUAAAGAGUAGAGCUUCUAACACCCCUUUUAAACUUGUAACAAACCCCAAUUUUUUGUUUUUUUAAGUCUCUUUCUUUUAUGAAAAAUACAGAAAAGGACAUAAAGUUAUAAUGAAAUUUUAAUUGAACUUCACUACUGUAUAGAAUACAUUUUGUAAACAAAUUUUUCAUAAUAAAUUUUUUAAUAAAUAAUUUAUUUCUUUGUUAUUUUGUUUUUAUCAGCAAAUUAAUUAUAAUAUCAUAGGAUUAGCAAAUAGUCAAGAUUCAAGAUUUGUUAAGCUAUUUUAAUGUAAUCAAAUUCAUAUUUUUCCUUUUAGUAAUUCUUAGUAAUAAUAGAACUAUUAUUUUAAAAGUAGGGUGAUGCAAGAAUAUUAAAACGGUGUGAAAAGCAUUACUCUUGCCUAAAUUAUUCCAAGGUUGAACCGGCGUGUCUAAUUACCACCCUCUAGAGAAAGGGGAAAUUUUUUUUCCGAAGACAACCAUGUUUUGGGUAUUUCUACCGACACUCUACAAAAUAAAUGCUGGAAGAAAAUUAAUACUCUAUUAAUUGUUAGGGACAAAUCACACUUCCGUUGAGAAUAGACCUUCAGUUAAGUAUACCGGUUUCGACAUCCCUCGACUCUUGAGCUUUUCUUUGAAUAUAAGUUGGGUUCGUGGGUUUUUAUAUAAUAUCAGAGUUAGAAUCGUACAUAAGUGAGUCCACACUACCUUACCACAUCGAUUGAGAAUAAAUAUUGAGUUCAAUAUUAAACCUUCAACCACAAGGAUAAAACUAAUUAAGGCCCUUGAGGGGCUUCAAUACAUCCUCAACUAUUAAAUUCAUGGAAAUUCAUAUUAAUUUAAUGGAGUUGAACUUUUGGCACCCCUUUGAAUAUGUCUUAAAACACAUUUUCUUUACUUAUCCCAUUAAAAUUGUAUAAAGAUUGCACACUUUCUCAUGAAAUCCCUAUGAUUCUAAAAAUAACCCUGAUUUCUUGUUAAAUAAACACCAAUGCAGAUGCGGCAAUAAAAUAGUUAAUUUAAAAAAAAAUCCCUAUCUGAGAGACAGAAAGCUAGAGGAUUUCAAUAUGGAAUAUUUAUGAUCAAUAGAAGAAUUCAAGUGACUGGAGAAAAUUCAGAUUGUUCAAAAUGGGUUCUCAAACGAGAUAAGCCUCAGGUAGUAGACCUCACCAACAUCAGUACCAGACUCAAUCCAUAGAAUCGGUCUCGUCUUAAGCCUAACAGCUCCCUUUUAAUAUAAUCUAGUGAGAACGGUGAGGUGCUUGGUAUAUCAUACACCAAAAAUCAACGAUGCUUGGACUUUCAAGAAAAAGAGAAAAACAAAUGCAUGCAGGGGGAAACGUACUAAUUAAAAGCAAAUCAUAUAAUUUACAAAUUAUUAUAGGCUUGUAGCCAUAAGAUCGAGAGAAACUAAAACAUUUCUUGCAUUUUCUGGCCAUAUUUUCUAAAUGAAGGGAUGGUCCAUUGCUGCUCUGCCAUACUGGAUCUCAAGAUGUCAUUAACAAUAGGUCUCAAGAUGUCGCUAACAAGGUGUCACUCUGAUACCGACAGGUCUACCACUUAGACAUAACACUUGCCAUAUAAAAUUUUCUCCUAUUUUUGCUAUUUCCUUCGUAUCUUGCAUUGAAUUAUUGCCAGCAAAUGAUAUUUCGAGUCAAAAAAGUAUAUUCAAUUAUUGCAUAUAUGCUCCUAGGUAAUUUGCACAAUUGAAUUAUAGCUGUUAAUCUACUUAUUUACACAAAUGAUUAAUUGUACGCAUCCAUUGCAAGACUUUCGCACUAGGUUUCAAUUUCAACCACAAAUCCUACCUCUAGAUAAAAAUGAUGUGGUCGUAGAGAUUUCGAAUGUAUUCACUUUGUGAUUAACGGAAGCAUUGCUUUCAUUUGUAAGACGUUAAAUCAUCAUUUUGGUAAAGGAAAAAGAAUGAAAAAAGCUGCACUAUUUUAAAGGCCAUUUGGUAUAUGACCACUUCCCAUUGGACUUGGAGACCGGGUAAUUUUGUCAUCUCCACUCCUAGAAUCUGCUCUCAUGCUACUUGCAUGGUUCCAUCUUUGAAGUCUGGUACUGUUUUGUUUGGAAAAUACCCCACUAUAAUAUCUUCACGAAGAAAAUUGAUCCCCGUUAACUAGCGUGAUUAGCUUAGUUUCUUAAAUUCAACGUUCGUUUGGUUAAUUGUCUGUUAGUUUUAGAAUUUUGAUUAGCCAAUAAAACAAUGAGUUUUAUUGUUUGAUAAGGCAAGUUGAAAUAAAUUCAAUCCUACUCACAGAAAAAUUUAAAUGACACAUAUCAUAAUCUUUUUCAUAUCUUCAGAAAAAUUAAAUCAUAAGAGGAUCAUGAACAAUUUGAUGAUGCUCUGAAAUAUAGUCUUCUGUUUUUCAAGGAAAAAAUAAGGAAGUUAAAAACAUGUUUAUCAGGUUUUUCAGAGAUCAUUUUGACGUUUUUGUUUAAAAACAUGAAAAUUGUUCUUAUUCUCGUAAACCAGAAAAAAUUAUCUGGCCGGUUAGCUAAUUAUUCUUGUUCUUCUGUUCUUUUUUAUUUGAAUUGUUUCUCCCUUUUCCAUUCAUUUUUCACUAUGAAAUUAAUUACUAAUUAAUCUACAGUUAGUUUCUUUACAGCUAAUAGGAACGUGAUUUAUGCCCGAAGACUCGCAUCUUUUUGAUUCAUUAUCUACAGUGCCUCACCUCCAAUCUAUGUAUAGGCGGACAUGCAUAUUUAUUAUAUCAAAUAAGUUAUUGAUGGAAAUUUCACUUUCGAAAUAGAGAAUUAUCCUUAAUUAAAUCUUUGUGGGCCUAAAUUCGAGUAAGAUUUAAUGAUGUAUGAUUCAAAAUUAUUGAAAUCGGACAUUUUAAACAAGAAAAAAAUAAAAAAUCUUGUUCUCUUUUUUAAAUAAUAAAUUUCAUUUUGAUGGAUUUUUAAUAUUAAAUUAGACAUUUGCUAAAUUGGCUCAAAUAUAAUAGAUCUUAGACCUUGCUUUUAAUGGAUUUAAUUAGGUUUUGGGCAUUUAAAUUAUACAACUGGAGACAGAAUUUAUAAAUAGAUAAGAUUCUAAUGUGAUUUUAAAAUAAUUUUGAACUUGAACUUGAACUUGAUGCAUUUAAUUAAUCCAGAAAGGUAAAUUUAUAAUUUCAACUUUUAAAUAAAACAUAUCCUUUGGAUUUUUUACAUAAACUAGAGGCAAUUGUACAAUAUUUACUUGACUAGUGGUAUAUAUCCCAAAUUUUUUAUCCUAAGAAAUGCCACAUCAUUUGGUUGAUGAGGAUAAUAUAAUUAAUUCACUUAGAUAUUAUAAAAAAUUAUCAACCAAUCAAUGAAUAACAUAUCAUUUUCAUUGGGAUGAAAUUUGAAAAAAAAAUUUAGGACGUCUAUCAUUACUUUAGUAAGAAAGCAUAUUAAGAUGGACUGACAUGUUUGGAUGCCCCAGCCUAAGAUGCAAGAGAUCAAUUUCUUUUGUUGUCUUGAAAUCCCUACUAUUUGACUCAACAACAUUGGCAACAUUUAACUCAUUACUACUAGAACAAAAAGAUAUCAUAGACAAAGGAUUGCUAAUGCAAUUUAUUGACUCAUACUCUAAAGAUAGAGGUAACUCAACAGCACAUUCAAUCUUGCGCUACUCAUGCACAUUAGCUCAUAUAGCCUAUCUUUAGUCACUCCUUUCAUUAGGAUUUUCACUUGGCUAAAGCAAGUAGAUUUUUGAAGCACAACAUCAAUAUCAUUAUCACGGAACAAUUUUGAGACAUUAAUAAGGUUCUUAGUAAUGCUAGGCACAGACAACGAGCUGUUUAGUUUAAUCUGUUUGUGUGGAUCAUAAGUGAGCAAUAUAGAGUAUCCAAUAUGAGAAAUCAAAAGUUUAUCACCAUUUCCAACAGUAGCUCAUCAUUACCUUGAUAUUAUGAAUUAAAGCUCAUGCUUCCAAUAGCACUGGUUGCAUGAUUUGUAGCACCAUUGUCAAGGUACCAAGCUCUACUAUUCUCACCGUCAACUGCAACCACAUAUGCUCUUCUUGGAUCUCUUCUUCUAUUUGGCUGUGGAACUGAUAUGAACCCUAUUAAGAACUAACAUGACCCUAACCAAUUUAGUCUCUAAGAUUGAAACCAAUUUUUUAUUUUUUUUAGAAGAGAUUGAAACCAAAUCUAAAAUUGAAUGGAACCGCGAUUUGAUCUCAAUGAAAGUACGAACCUUGGUAUGUGAUGACGCCACAAUCAGCUAUGGAUGAUCUUAUUGAUAAGUCAAGAGUUUGAACGCCACAGAAAUCCGAUAAAUUCAAAGGGUUAGUUUAAGAACCAAAGAGAAUUAGCUUUCUCACCAAUUGCAUCAAAAUUGAUGCCUUUCUUAUUGGAUACGAGUACAUUAGAUAGGGUUGGUUUAUAAGAAUUUUAAGAAAUAAAUCCUAAACCAAAAUCAAAUCAGAAUCCUAAUUUAAAGCAAAUAAGGAAAGAAACUAAAUCAAACCAGAAUCCUUAUUGGCUUAAAUGCCUUGCAUCAAUUAAAAAUGGAAACAAGGCAAUUAAAAGAGAAAUAAUUGAUUCGUUUUGCCACUUGCCUACUCAAGAAAUGGGAAAGUAUCCUAAAAGGAAAGUAGUAUAUUUUCCAAACGAGAAAACAUCUGAUAAGGUAAAUAAUGUAUUUUCUUGCCAUAAUGUGCAAACCAACUUGCUGAUUUUAUGGAAAUGAUUAUGUGGAAACUUAAAAAGCCUGAAUCACGUAUUUAGUGGUCUGAAUAUCAUGUGCGCUUUCUUCAACGGGCCUCCACGAAUUUGAUUGAGCUCAAGUUGCUUAAAUCAACCCAUUAAGCGAUUUUUUGAAUUUUUUUGCACGAGCUCUUGUGAUGGGUCCAACAGGAACUUGAAUGGGAUAUGAAUAUACCUCAUCCCAUGUGCUUGUGACAGUUUUGUCCUCAAUAUCAUAUUUUUUCCUUCAAAGAAACAAUUUUGCUUCAUAUGGAAAAGGAAAUUCUUAUGUAGCCUUACAUGAUUUAUACAUAAACUCAUAAUAUUUGUGUAGUCCUUCAUGAACAUGUGAAAUAUACACUUAUAUAGUGAAUCCUUCAUGAGCAAGAUGUUAGUGAAUAACAUCAUAAUUUUGGAAUAGUCUUUCAGGAACAUAUUUUGAAAGAAAAUCUUCAUUAUGUAUAGUGCGAUCCUUAGAGAUGCAUUCUUAAUUUUCUUUCAUUAUAUAUUAUAAUAUUCAUACUUUAGGAUGAAUAUUUUGAAUUUCAAGAAUAGAAAAUAUAUAAUAGCAAUUGAAUAUUAUAAUAUAAAAAAUCAAACAAUAACAAAAUCAAUCAAUGGAACAUUAAAUAAAUGUUGGAAUCCAAAUCUCAUAAAAUAUAUGUAAUCAUUAAUAAAGGAAGUAUUAGAACAAGAAUCAAUCGGUCCUUGAUCUUAGCCACUAACUUAGCAUAUUGUAAUAUUCAUUCUCCUUUAUAUUCUUUCCUUUUCUAUUAUUUGACCGUUUGGUACUUGCCUUAGAUGAUUCUAGUAUUUUUGUAUAUAAGGAUCUUGUACACAGCAACAAAUAUAUAUGAGCAUUUCCACAAUUCUUUACAUGGUACCAGAGAAAAUUUUGCUCAUUUAUGCUUUUCUCUUUGACAAUCAUGUCUAGUAGUUUGAAUCCAAUAUCAGAAACAUCAAAUUCCCUCAUUACCGAUGCUUCUUCACCAUACUUUCUUCAUUCAUCUGAUCAUCCUGGAGCCAUUCUUGUAUCUAAUGUGCUAAUGGGUGAUAAUUAUUCAACAUGGAAAAAAUCCAUGAAGAUGGCAUUAAAUGCCAAAAACAAAUUGGGUUUUAUUGAUGGAAGCAUACAAAAACCUUCAUCAACCUCACAAGAUUUAAAAACUUGGGAGCGAUGCAAUGACAUGGUCCUUUCAUGGAUGCUCAAUGGAAUAGAGAAAAAUCUUGCCAACAGCCUCAUUUAUUGUGAUACUCCACGCUCUCUUUGGCUUGGGUUGGAAGAACGUUUUUCACAAAGUAAAAAUCAUUAGUGAUUUAUUUUAAUACUUUGAAAUUUUAUUAGGAUGAAUUGUCCACAUUAACCACUAUUUCUUCUUGCAAGUGUGAAACUUCAUAUGAAUUGCAGGGAUUACUAGAGACUGAAAAGGUGUUUCAAUUCCUAAUGGGUCUCAAUGAUUCAUAUUCUUCGGUACGAAGUCAAAUCUUAGCCAUGGAACCACUUCCAAAUGUUGGAAAACCAUAUUCAAUUAUUCAUCAGGAAGAACGUCAACGACUUCUCCAUGUUUCCAGUCAACCAUCCAUUGAAUCAACAGCCUUGACAGCCAAUAAUAAGACUCAAAUGACCGGCUGUCAAAAUCAUUCACAUUGUGAAGCCAGCAAGUAGUUAUAUUCUGUUUAAUUGAAUGAGGUGGCAUGCUGAGUUGGCAUAAGAUCCUUGAGUCUGUUAAAUCUGUUAAUGAAGAAUAACAGUUGGCACUCUUCUUUCGUAGCUAAGGAGUUAUAAAAGGGCAGCAAGGAGAUACAUUGGAGAUACGAGUGUAUGAGAGAUUCUUGGAGUGAGAUAUAGAACUUUUGUGAGAAGUUAAUAUCUCUGUAAUCUCAUCAUCUUUUGUAAACCAUCUUUCAUUCUAAAUAAAGCUUAGAGCUGUGCUGUUUCAACCGUGGAUGUAGGCUUUUUGUGGCCGAACCACGUUACAUCUUCUUGCCUUUAUCUUUUAUAUUCUUGGUAUCUUUGGUUGUUUGGUUUAGAUCUUUAGUGAGAAUACAUUUGUUCGUAUGCUUGUUUUCUUAAAGAAGCUUGAAAGUGCUGGGCUAAGUUCUUAACAAACUGGUAUCAGAGCCAGAAGGGCACUCUGUUCUUGAUCUGGCAUAAUGGGCAGCACAAGAUUCGAUCUUGAAAAGUUCAAUGGAGAGAAUGACUUCUACCUGUGGAGUCUGAAGAUGCGAGCCAUUCUGAUUCAACAGGGCUUGGAUAGUGCCCUCGAUGAUGACUGCGAAUCAAAGUCCAAAAGGGAAAAGGAAGAAGGAUCUUCAAGUUUGGGUGGAGACUCAAGGACUAUAAACAACAAGGCUCACAGCACUAUCAUUCUACACUUGUCUGAUGAAGUGCUGAGAGAAGUAGCCAAAGAGAAGACAGCCUCUGGUUUGUGGGCUAAACUAGAAGAACUCUUCUUGAAGAAAUCUUUGGCUAAAAGAUUGUACAUGAAGAGGAAACUCUACACGUUUUCAAUGAAGGAAGGGACAUCCAUGAAAGACCACCUUGAUGAGUUCAAUAAGUUGAUACUCGAUCUUGAAAACGUUAAUGUCAUGCUUGAAGAUGAAGAUAGAGCUCUUAUUUUGUUAAGCUCACUACCUGACUCCUAUGAGCAUUUCGUGGACACCUUGCUCUAUGGGAGACAGACCCUCACAUUGAAGGAUGUCAAGAAUGCUCUCGAAUCUAAAGACCUAAAGAAAAGAUCAGACUUCAAGGAUCAAGCUAUAGGAGAUGGUUUGUUUGUGAAAACAAAAUCAGAAAAGAAAGGAAACAAAGAUAAGAAGAACAAAAAUCAGAAAGAAAAAGAUGACAAGAAGAAGAAGAAAAGAAAAUGCUACUUCUGUCAAAGAGAAGGACAUUACAUCAAAGACUGUUUCGAGAAAAAGAAGCUAGAAAAGCUGCAAAAGGAGACAAAUGGAAAAGCAGCAAUUGCAUCUGAAGAUGAAGAGGAUGCUGAAGGUGCUGAUGUUCUCAUUGCAGCAGAUAAACAACCCACAGCUGAAUGGAUUCUUGAUUCUGGAUGUUCCUUCCACAUGUGCCCAAAUAAAGAAUUCUUCAAGACCUUCUAGAACAUAAAUAGUGGGAAAGUGUUGCUGGGAAACAACCUUGCUUGCAGAGUCACUGGAAUGGGGACUAUCAACAUUCAGAUGUUUGAUGACAAAACCAGGGAGCUUAAACAAGUAAGGUAUGUCCCUGAACUAAAAAGAAACCUGAUCUCUCUUGGGAUGAUGGAUAAAUUGGGUUGUAGCAUUAAGGCUGAAGAUGGAAAAAUUGAGGUCUUAAAUAAAGGUGAAGUCAUAAUGAAGGGUGUUAGAAGGAAUGGUUUGUAUGUGUUAGUUGGGUCAGUGCCUCAGCUUGGAGUAAAUGCUAACAUAAAUAGUGAUAAAACCAAGCUCUGGCACAUGAGACUUGGACAUAUGAGUCAAAAAGGUAUGAAGGAGCUGGAGAAACAAGGUCUGUUUGGCCAUGAUCAGAUUUCUCAACUGGAAUUCUUUGAAAAGUGUGUGUUUGGUAAAGCCACUAGACUUAAGUUUAACACAAGUAAGCAUGAAACCAAACAGACCCUGGACUACAUACAUUCUGACAUCUGGGGUCCCUCCCAAGUUUCAUCCCAUGGUGGAGCUAGAUACCUUAUCACCUUCAUAGAUGACUACUCAAGGAAGCUUUGGGUUUACAUCUUGAAGCAUAAGAGUGAAGCCCUAGAUAAAUUCAAGGAAUGGACAACUCUAAUGGAAAAUCAAACUGGGAGGAAAGUAAAAAGGCUCAGAACUGAUAAUGGGCUAGAAUACUGCAGUAAUGAGUUUGAUGAAUUCUGUAAAAGGUUGGGCAUUGCAAGACACAAGACAGUAAGACAUACACCUCAGCAAAAUGGACUUGCUGAAAGGAUGAAUAGGACCUUGAUUGAAAAGGUCAGAUGCAUGCUGUUGAGCUCAAAUCUCCCCAAGCAUUUUUGGGCUAAAGCUGCUGUUACAGCUGCAUAUCUCAUUAGCAGAAGUCCAUCAUCAGCUCUGGAGUUCAAAACACCUCAGGAAGUCUGGUCUGGGAAGCCACCUGAUCUCAGCAAUCUGAAAGUCUUUGGUUGCCCUGCCUAUGCUCACAUUAGACAGGGCAAGCUGGAACCAAGGGCUGUGAAAGGUUACUUUAUAGGGUACCCUGAGGGCGUUAAAGGAUACAAAAUAUGGAGCAUAAAUGGGAAACCCACCAGAACCUUUAUUAGCAGGGAUGUUGUUUUUGAUGAGGAAGCCCUGACACAGUCAAAGGUUGAGACUGAAAUAAUCAAUACAAGCUCUGAAGUAAAGGGAGUUGUUGAGCUGGAGGUGGAGUCACCAAAAGAAGCAAAACAACAUCCAAAACAAACACAUUCUGAAUUGGAAGGAUAUCAACUGACUAGGGAUAGAAUAAGAAGAACCAUCAAAAUGCCUGAAAGAUUUGGAGUUGCAGAUCUUAUAUCCUAUGCUUUGGCUGUGGCUGAAGCUGAAACAAGUGAGGAACCUGCAACCUACAAGCAAGCUAUGAGAACCAAGGACAAAAGAAAGUGGGUUGCUGCCAUGGAAGAAGAAAUGGCCUCACUCAGAAAGAAUAAGACCUGGACUUUAGUAAAGAAACCAGCUAACCAAAAGCUAGUAGGCUGUAAAUGGAUAUAUAAGAUAAAGGAGGGAGUCUCAGAAGCUGAACCAGCCAGGUACAAGGCCAGACUUGUAGCAAAGGGGUUCACCCAAAGAGAGGGAGUGGAUUUUAAUGAAGUAUUCUCCCCUGUGGUCAAACACAGCUCAAUAAGAGUCUUGUUAUCCAUUGCAGCAUACAAUGACUUGGAGUUAGAUCAAAUGGACGUGAAGACUGAUUUCCUACAUGGAGAUCUCAGUGAGAGGAUACUGAUGGAACAGCCAGAGGGAUUUGUUGAAGCUGAAUCAGAAGAUAUGGCUUGCUUGCUCAAUAAAAGCCUAUAUGGAUUAAAACAGUCACCUAGGCAAUGGUAUUUGAAAUUCGAUGAGUUUAUGAUCACACAUGGCUACAGCAGAAGUAAAUAUGACAGUUGUGUGUACUCUAAGGCUCUAACCUCUGGAAAUUUCAUUUACCUUUUACUCUAUGUGGAUGACAUGCUCCUGGCAUGUAAACAAAGAGAAGAGCUGGAGUGGCUUAAAGGUGAACUAAGCUCAGAAUUUGAAAUGAAGGACCUAGGUCCAGCCACCAAAAUAUUGGGAAUGCAUAUAAUCAGAGAUAGAGUUUCUAAAACCCUUUUCUUGUCUCAGACAGGAUAUGUGGAGAAGGUUCUCAGUAGAUUUGGAAUGAAUGAAUCCAAACCAGCCUUAACUCCUUUAGGAGCUCAGUUCAGACUCUCUAAACAGGAAGAGCCAAAAGAUAAUGCAGAGGUUGAACACAUGAAGAAUAUACCAUACACUAGUGUGAUUGGUUGUAUUAUGUAUGCCAUGGUCUGCACCAGACCUGAUUUGGCCUAUGGAAUUGGAGUCUUGAGCAGAUUCAUGUCAAAUCCUGGAAAACAUCAUUGGCAUGCAGCUAAAUGGAUGUUGAGGUAUUUAAAGGGCACAGCUGGUAUGGGUAUAGUAUAUGGAAGGGUUGACAAAAGCUCAGAUCAAAUUCAAGGAUAUGUUGAUUCAGACUUUGCUGGUGAUCUGGAUAAAAGAAGGUCAAUCACUGGUUAUGUUUACACUUUGUGUGGUGGAGCAGUCAGCUGGAAAGCUUCUUUACAGUCAGUAGUUGCUUUGUCAACUACUGAGGCAGAGUACAUAGCACUCUCAGAAGCAGUGAAAGAAGCAAUAUGGUUAAAAGGGUUAGUAGCAGAGUUAGGCCUGGAGCAAGGAUCAGUCAAUAUCAACUGUGACAGUUCUAGUGCCAUCCAGUUGAGCAAGAACCCAAAAUACCAUGAGAGAACAAAACAUGUGGAUAUAAGGUUACACUUCAUCAGAGAUGAGAUUGCUCAAGAAGUUGUAAAUGUAAUUAAGAUUGCAUCAGAAUGUAACCCUGCAGACAUGCUUACGAAGACUCUGCCAUCAGUCAAGUUCAAAGCUGCUUUGAAUUUGAUUGGCAUGGUUAUUUAGUAGAUCUAGUUAUGGUUGGUUGGUUCAGUGACUGAGAGAAGCUUUAACAGAAUAAAACUAGGUGGAGAUUUGUGAAGCCAGCAAGUAGUUAUAUUCUGUUUAAUUGAAUGAGGUGGCAUGCUGAGUUGGCAUAAGAUCCUUGAGUCUGUUAAAUCUGUUAAUGAAGAAUAACAGUUGGCACUCUUCUUUCGUAGCUAAGGAGUUAUAAAAGGGCAGCAAGGAGAUACAUUGGAGAUACGAGUGUAUGAGAGAUUCUUGGAGUGAGAUAUAGAACUUUUGUGAGAAGUUAAUAUCUCUGUAAUCUCAUCAUCUUUUGUAAACCAUCUUUCAUUCUAAAUAAAGCUUAGAGCUGUGCUGUUUCAACCGUGGAUGUAGGCUUUUUGUGGCCGAACCACGUUACAUCUUCUUGCCUUUAUCUUUUAUAUUCUUGGUAUCUUUGGUUGUUUGGUUUAGAUCUUUAGUGAGAAUACAUUUGUUCGUAUGCUUGUUUUCUUAAAGAAGCUUGAAAGUGCUGGGCUAAGUUCUUAACACACAUCCUAGCCAUUUGCAUGGAGUACAAGAGACACAAGGACGGGGUAGAUCUUUCUGCGAUCAUUGCCAGAAAUAUGGGCAUAUAAAAGCCAAAUGUUACAAAAUUGUUGGCUACCCACCAAACUGGAAACAUUCAAAUCGAUCGCAUGUUGCUGCUCCUACAACCACAAAGCCACAACAACUAGAUGAUCAUCCCAUUCCAACAGACAAGAAUGCAUCAUCUCAGCCUACUAUCCAAAUUCCUGGUCUCACGGCUGAACAAUAUCAACAAUUAUUAUCUAUACUUUCAACAAGUGAGCAACCAUCUACUGCAAACUUAGCUGGUAAAAUCUUUCCUUUUUGCAAUUCUGCUAUUAACUCAUAUAAUAAUUCUUGGAUAAUUGAUAGUGGGAAUCUGAUCACAUGACCCCUAAUAUUUCUUCCUUUAAAAAUUUUGUGCCCAUGUCUCAUGUCAAACCCGUGAGACUACCAAAUGGCACAACUGUUCCUACAACAAAAUGUGGAUCCAUUAAAUUAUCCUCCUCUUUGACUUUAGAUAAUGCCUUAUUGGUUCCUCAUUUUAAUUUUAAUCUAUUAUCUGUAAGCAAGCUAACCAAGGAUUUGAACUGUGCUGCUAUAUUUUUUUCCUUCAUUUUGUGUUUUUCAGGACCUUUCAACGAAGAAGCUGAUUGGAAAGGGUGAAGUUUGGGAUGGACUAUAUUAUUAUGAGCUUAUCAAUGGUCAUUCUUCCCUUCCUUCAGUAAUGAACGUUGCAAAGGAACCCAAUUCCAAUCUUUGACAUUUGCGACUCGGUCACCCUUCUAAAGACCGAAUGCAGCGUUUGUCUUUUAUUUCUGAUAUUGCAUCAUUUAAUUCUUGUUGUGAAAUUUGUCAACUUUCAAAAAACACUAGAAGUUCAUUUCAAUUGAAUAAAAAUCAUUCUGAUAUGCCAUUUCAAUUAAUUUUUUGUGAUAUUUGGGGACCUCAUCGCACAUCUACAUAUACGGGAGCAUAUUAUUUUCUUACUAUUGUUGAUGACCAUACUCGUUGUACUUGGGUUUACCUCAUACGGCACAAGUUUGAAGCUUUUCAAUUAUUAAAAAAUUUUUACUUCUUGAUCAAGACACAAUUUCACACACAAAUUAAAAAAAAAAAUUUGUAUUAAUCAAGGAAGUGAAUUUUUAUCAAAUCAGAUGCAAUUUUUUUCAUGAGCAUGGCAUCUUGCAUGAACACACUUGUGUUGAAACACCUCAACAAAAUGGGGUAGCAGAACGCAAGUAUCGACAUAUUUUAGAAGUUGCACGUGCAUUAUGUUUUCAAGCACAUUUACCUUUGUCUUUCUGGGGAGAUUGUGUUUUAGUUGCAACCCAUUUAAUUAAUCGUAUACCCACUCCUAAUCUUGGUGGUCAAUCACCUUAUGAAAUGCUUUUUAAGACUAAACCUCACUAUGAUCUUCUUCGUGUCUUUGGCUGUCUUUGUUAUGCUCAUACCAACAGUGCUAAUCGUCAUAAAUUUGCUUCCCGUGCUACCAAGUGUAUAUUUGUUGGUUACCCAUUUGGGUAUCUCGGAUACAAAGUUUAUGAUAUCAUUAAUAAAAAGACUUUUAUUUCUCGUGAUGUUACUUUUGUGGAAACUGAAUUCCCAUUCAAAACUAUCACCAAUCAACAAGAAAAUAGCAAUCUUUUACCUCUUCCUAUCAUACUUCCUGCCAAUGAAAAUGCACAGCUCCUUCCAACUUCUUCCAAUGAAAAGCCACUCCACCAAGGUACAUCUGAUUCAAUAGUUCUCCCUUCUCCACCUCUUCGACGAUCCCAACGACAGUCUUGUCGUCCAAAUUAUCUUCAGAAUUAUAUUUUCUCUACUGCACUUCACGGUACAUUUGGCAACUCUAUUACUUUUACUAAUCAUCCACCAUUGGUAAGUUCUUUAUAUCCAUUAUCCAAGUAUUUAUCAUAUGACAAGUUUUCUAGUGAUCAUGUAGCCUUUCUUUAAGCUAUAUCUCACGGUGUUGAACCAACUACAUAUUCUCAAGCCGUUCAACAUGCUUAUUGGCGCAAUGCUAUGGAUAUAGAGAUUAAAGCUUUGGAGCAAAGUAACACUUGGACAAUACAAGAUCUACCCCCCGGCAAGAAACCAAUUGGUUGUAAAUGAGUGUUUAAAAUUAAAAGAAAAGCUGAUGGUUCUAUUGAUAGAUACAAAGCAUGCCUUGUUGCUAAAGGAUACACACAAACUGAAGGUUUGGAUUACCAUGAGACAUUUGCACCUGUUGCAAAACUUGUGACUGUUAGAUGUGUAUUGGCAAUGGCAGCUAUUCGAGGGUGGUUAUUAUUUCUGUUAGAUGUUCAUAAUGCAUUUCUUCAUGGCAACUUGCAUGAGGAAAUUUAUAUGACCUUACCUCCAGGAGUUCGUAAACAGGGGGAGUCUUAUCAAUUUUGUCGGUUAAACAAGUCCCUUUAUGGUCUUAAGCAAGCUUUUCAAAAAUUGGUUUGAAAAAUUCUCAUCCGCUCUUAAACAAAUUGGUUACAUUCAAUUUUGUGCUGAUUCUUGUUUAUUUACUAAUAUGCACGAUUCUCAUUUUACAUUGGUGCUUGUGUAUGUUGAUGAUAUAAUAAUUGCUGGUAACCAUCUUGACACUAUAACUGCAUUGAAGAUAUUUUUACAGGCUCAAUUUCAUAUUAAAGACUUGGGAACUUUGAAAUAUUUUUUAGGAAUUGAAGUGGCUCGUUCAAAGCAAGGGAUUUUCUUAAAUCAAAGGAAAUAUGCUUUAGAUAUACUUCAAGACAGUGGACAAUUAGGCACACGGCCAUCUUCUUUUCCAAUGGAAUAAAACUUGAAGCUCUCUAACGAUCAAGGAACCCUUUGUCAAAAUCCUGACCACUACUAACCACUGUCAUAGGAUGUCUCAUCUAUUUGACAAUCACCCGGCCAGAAAUUACAUAUGCUGUGAACAUACUUAGUCAAUUUAUGCACACUCCAAGACGACCACAUUAUGAUGUUGCCCUGCGUGUCUUACGUUACAUUAGAUCUUCUCCCGGCGCUGGUAUCCUCUUGUCCUCCGCUAGCUCUUUGGAACUCUCUGCCUUCUCAGAUUCAGAUUGGGCAAGUUGCCCCAUGACCCGUCGAUCCACCACUGAAUAUAUUAUCAUGCUCGGCAACAAUCCUAUUUCUUGGAAAACCAAGAAGCAACCAUUUGUAUCGCGCUCUUCCGCUGAAGCCGAAUAUCGAGCAAUGGCGACAACAACAUGUGAAUUGGUUUGGUUGAAAACUCUACUUCAUGAUCUUCAUGUGACCCAUCCAAUGCCUAUAACUUUACAUUGUGACAAUCAAGUUGUGCUUCAUAUCGCUGCGAAUCCCAUCUUCCAUGAGCGUACCAAGCACAUAGAAAUAGACUGCCAUCUUGUUCGUGAAAAGCUUCAUGCCAAAAUCAUUUCCUUAACUUAUGUGCCUUCACGACAACAAUUGGCUGACAGUUUUACCAAAGUUCUUGGUAAAGAUCAAUUUCAAUAUCUUCUUGGCAAGUUGGGAGUUACGGAUCUUCACUUUCCAACUUGAGGGGGAGUAUUAGAACAAGAAUCAAUCGGUCCUUGAUCUUAGCCACUAACUUAGCAUAUUGUAAUAUUCAUUCUCCUUUAUAUUCUUUCCUUUUCUAUUAUUUGACUGUUUGGUACUUGCCUUAGAUGAUUAUAGUAUUUUGGUAUAUAAGGAUCUUGUACACAGCAACAAAUAUAUAUGACCAUUUCCACAAUUCUUUACAGGAAGUAAGGAACAACUUCAUAGAUCCAUUAUUCUUAAAUUAUAAAAAUACAUAAACAACAUAUGUAUAUGAUUUUAGACAAAUCAAGAUAGUUUAAUUCAUACCUUUGUGAGUGAGAUCAAAGGAGGGAUAUUAUCAUAUUACCUCUUAAUGGCUAGAGACUCGUGUUGAUAAUGUGUUAUAUCAUUUAUCAAUUGGGAGUGCAACAAUAUAGCAAGAGAAAUAAAGAAGGCAAAUAAGAGACACAAUGUUUAGAGGGGAAUUUUAUUCAAUCUCAAAUAUAUACAAAUAGGAAGCAAAGGCCUGCUUUUAUAGUGAUACAAGCAUAAAGUAGUAAGUAAUACCUCGUAAUUAUAAGAGAUGACAAUCCUCAGAUUAGGGAGAUAAUGAGAGUUAUAAAAGAUGGAAAGUUACUUGUGAGGAGAUCGAAGAUUGCUUUGAUGAACAUCCACAUAUAUUAUAAUAAUUUCAUAACAUACAUUUACUUUUAAUUUAUUUUUAAGGUUAAUUGGUUAAUAAGCUUCUUGUGUAGUAGAUUGAUUAAUGUGCCCAAGAAUAUUGUUGGAUGCUAUUAUUUUAAAGGCAAAGAAAAAUAAGGCAUAAGUGUCACAUGUUCAAUAGCAGGGAUGUUUUGAGGAAUUUCUUAAAAUAAAAAGACUAAGUAGAUCUUUAGCCCAAAAUAUAGGGAUUAAGCAAGCAUUCAUCCUAUUGAAAAGCAAAGUAAACUAAUGUAACCAUAAUUGAAUAUAAAGUUAACUCUUCUAUGGCAUUAUAGAGAACAAAAGAAGGAAAAAUAUUAUUCAAAUUCAAGAUAAGAAGGUAGUUUAUUAACUGUCUAAAGUUCAAAAUUUUAUUAAUUUCAGACCUUUUUUAAAAUUUACUUAUUUGUUUUUUUGUAACUUAUGUUUGAUUUUUAGAUAUUUACAUCUGAAUAGAAAAAGUAAGAUUUUUUGACUUUUAUCUAAAUGGAAAAAGAUCUGAAUGAUUAGUAAAUAUUAUAUUCCAUAAAUAUCUCUAUAAAAUAACUUAUUUCCUAAUCUAUAAAAUAGAAUCCCCUUUUUUUAUUUUGAUUUACAAGGACGUAAAUGUCAAAGAACUAAGUUUAAGAUGUUUUUUAUUAUAAAAACAAAUAAGAUGCCACUUACAUUCAUAUAUUAAAAAAUGAAAAACAAACAUGUGAUUCAAAUUUUCGUAUUCAAACCCAUUCAAACUUGAAAAAAAUUUAGACACAUUCAAAUUUCAGACAAAAAAGACAAAUACUACUUCAAUUUUUUUUUCGCUUUGCAACUGCCCACUGCUAACCAAAUAAAAAAAGAUUUUCAAUUUGGAAUUAUGUUAUCCAACAUAUGAAGACAAUUCUUCCUUUGAACGAAUCUUUAUGAUUGUUUUCUGAACGAAUAUUGCUCUAAAUUAAAAUAUUUUAGAACAAAAAAUAGUUGAUUGCCAAAUGUACAAUAGGUACAAUUUUCUUUUUUCAGCUCUCUUUUGGAAGAGAACUAUGUCGUCCUUUAUAAUUAUUAUUUCUUGAAAGAAUACAAACUUAAAUUACUGGCUUUUUAUUUGUAAAAUCAUAUAAAAUAGACUCUUUUAAGGAAAAUAUCUCAUACCGGAGAUAAUAAUUUCUGGACUAAGAAUAUAAACUUAAAACAGCACUACUAUCAAAUUAUCUUUAAAAGAGUUCCUUGAUCAAAAGAAUUUAUUUAUCAUUUUUCACAGUUUAAAAAAAUAAAAAAAAUUACAUAGAAAUAAUUGGAAGAUUUCCUAAAUAAGCAUCAAAUAAAUGCUAAUUUAUUGCAUGAUACUUGGAAGAAACCAUAAAUAAAAAUUAAGGAUUUAUAAUUUUAAAGACAAGUUGGGAGUUUAAAUUUUCUUGCCAUCUUGAGGGAGAAUAAUAAGACCGAAAUAAUAUUGAUGAAACAAAAUAAUCAAUCAAAUAUUUGAUUGUCUUCAUCUUAAUCAGUGAUCAAGAAAAAUUGGUUGUUAAUUAACAUAAAAAUUGAUUGACUCAAUAUUUACUAAUAGAUCAUUAUUCCCAAAUUAUGUUAAUUAUAUAUAUUUCAAAUACUUAUAAGAAUUGAGUUUGCUUACGGUUUAUUAAAUAUAGUCUCUUAAAAGUUUACAUGUGGCCCAUACAAAGCUAACAUUACUCUGUUAUAGCAUUUCGGGCAUCCAACAAGAUCCUCUUCUUCACUUAUUGUUAGAACUAGAGCUAACAAAUUAAUUACUUAAUCACGGCUAAGUUUGGAAUUAAAAUCAAACUAAAUUAUCUAAUUGGUUGAGUUCGGUUUCCGUUUGUAUGGGCUACAUGAAAUUUUUUCUCUCAUCUUCUCUCGUCUGCUAAUCGCAUCUUUCUCUCUUUCGACUCUCUAAUUUCUCUCUUGGAUUUGGUUACCAAGCACAUAAAAUUGAAGCCACCAUCUCGCUCAUAACAAACAACUAGUCGGAUCCACCAAACUGUUGCUGUCAUCUUGAGCCAUUCAAGUAACUUGAACACAUCAUCUUCUCGUAAAUUCUCUUUCAUUUUCGAAUUAAAGACAAGGUAAGGAUGUAAUCUUGACUUUUGUGUUUUUUGUGAUGACUACAGAAAAUGCUAUAUGAAACAAUUAGGGAUUUAUGUGCUAUAUAAUAAUAAUAAUAAUAAUAAUAAUAACAACAACAACAACAACAACAAGUAGUCAUUUAUGAAUUUUGAGUGAAAAAAUAGGGAUUUAUGUGCUUCUUCUUCUUCUUCUUCUUCUUCUUCUUAUUAUUAUUAUUAUUAUUAUUAUUUUCCCUAUAUUAAACAAGUAGUCAUUUAUGAAUUUUGAGUGAAAAAUUCACUCGGCUGUGGCAAAUUUUGUGCCUUACAAGUAGUCGAUUUCACGCAUUCAUCAUCACCAUUACUAUGUUCAUUAUUAUUUGCUAUUGUUUUUUACUUUUUCUGCUGUUAUUGAUUAAAUUGACAUUAAAUUUAUGUCUUGUUCAUUACAAGACUUAGGGUGCGUUUGGGAUUGAGGUUGGGCAGCUGUAGCUUAAAAGCUACAGCACUAAAGUGUUUGGUAAACACUAGCUGUUGUAGCUUUUAAGAUAUGUUGAUAUGAUUUUUCACUUGUAUAAUAUAAAAUUUAUUAUAUCUUUAAUAAUUUUAUCAAAAUUAUUAUUUAAAAUUUAUAUUUACUAUUAUUAUUAACUUUUGUUUUAUAAUUACAGCUUUUUUUUCACAGCAGCUGUAGCUUAAAAGCUACAGCACCUCAAUCCCAAACGCACCCUUAACAAUAUAAUCCAGUUGUAACAUGGACACUACAGAUGAUACAAGUGCGCAAGACCUAGUCAGAGAGCGUAGUACACUUUUUGUAAGUAUAAACUAAUUGAUAUUUUUCGAGUUGUUAUGUUAGCAACCAUUUUAAAAACACUUUUGUUUUCGAAUUUUGGUUACGUUGAAGUGAAGGGGAUUGAGUUGCCAUUAAAAAUCAAAGUAUUUUGGUCUUUAUAAACAAAGCGCUUUUGUGGAAUAGAUCUAAGAAGAUGCUAAUCUUCUUAAUAAAUUUUUUUUAAAAAAAAUUCUAUUACUCUUGGUGCAACAAAUUUCCUAGUCCCAAAACCUUGUCAUAGAAAAAAAAAAAAAAAAAAAAAGAAAACAGAAAAAGAGUGAAAAUCUCUUCGGUCAACCAAAUUACUCAAAUUCGUAAAAUAAUAUAAUACUUGAACCUUAAAAAUAAAAGCUCUAUAUAUUACUAUAUAAACAGUGAUAAACACAAUUACUAUCUAAGCCCACUCGAAGUUUUAUCAUACAGUCGUAUAUUUAUCACCUUAUGUACGUAUAUUGUAAUUUGGAUACGUUAUUUAAUUGUAUUUAUAUUGUGUAUAUUUACCACAUUAUGUACGUAUAUAAAAUAUAACGUAUAUUGUGUAAACUCUACUAUAAACAAUUAAUAUUUGGUCAUAUUUCUUUUGGCAAAUAACCCCCUGGGAUUUCUUCUUUAUCGCAACAUGAAAUUGAAGAUAUUUAAAAGGUUUUGAAACGUUAUUUUUAUUGAAUGGAGUUGCCAUUUUUAAUUUUGGUUGCAAAUAAUAAUUCCUUGGUGGUUACAAUAUUUUUAAAUAUCCCCAUUAAGGCUGUAGGGGCUACAAAUCUUCAUUCUAGAUCUGUAACAUAUGACUAUGAAUUAUAUAUAAAUGAGCUAUUUUUCUUUAUCUUUGGAUAUAUUAUAUACUCUAUUGUUUUCUCCGAAACUCUACGAUAAACAAUUAAUACUUUUCUUUGCAACUUCGACAAAUGAGCUAAGGAAUGUUAAUGCAUUCAUUAAUUAUUCAAUUUCUUAUCUAAAGACUAAGAUUCUUUUAUUUUUUAUUCUAUCAAUUUAUUAUUAUCGUAAAACAAUUGCGGGUGAGUAUAUUUAAACUCAUUAGAUCACUUCCUAUAUCCUAAAUCAAUAAAUAAUUUUAUUACAAAAUUACUGAAAAAUCCUUUUAAUUUCUUGAAUACCCAAAAAGUAAAAUUACCAUUCUAGAUGGAGGAUAAAUCUUUAAAACUGCCUUAAACGCAUCUUAUUUGUUCAUACACACACAAGUUAUUAAACAACCAUGGAUGUUGAACCAAAGUGUCAAACUUAGUUUCUGGUUGUCAAAUUUUCUUCCUAUUGGACAUCUAAAUCGUUUUGUAGUCAGUAACAUAGUCAGAAAAUCAAAUUAGUGGGGUAGAAUGACUGACAUAAAAUAUAAAGAAAUUUUUUUACUGUGUUCUUUAUCUAUUUUUCUAAUAUUUUUAGCAUUCCUCCUUACAUAUGUCUUAAUAGCAUGUUUAAUUUGAAGAAAUAAAAUAAGAAGAGAUGAGAGAUAAGGAGAAUGGGAACAAUAAAUAAUGGAAAAAGAGAUAUAAUUAUAUAUUAAAUUAAACAAUGAAAUUGAGAAUGAUCCUAUUUUUUCCCUCAUUUUUGAUCACUUACUCUAAGGAACCAGAACUUUAAGGAAAGACAGACAAAUCAUAAAGAUUGAAGAGCAGGAAUUUUUGUUCUCCUUUUUAAAUAAAAAAUUUCAUUUCAAUGGAUUUUUAUUAUUAAAUUAGUCUUUCUCUAAAUCAGAUCAAAUAUAUUAGAUCUUAAAUCUUGUUUUUAAUGAAAUUAAUUACGUUUUGGGCAUUUAAAUUAUGAAAUUGGACAAGAUUUGUGUGUGAUUUUAAAAUAAAUAUGAACUUGAAUUUGAUGCAUUUAAUUAAUCCAAAGAGGCAAAUUUAUAAUUUCAACUUCUAAAUAAAACAUAUCAUUUGAAUUUUAUCAGUGGUUUCUAACAAUAACUGACAGGUCAUUAUAAUAAUUAUAAAUGUAAUAUUUAUUUUUAUAAUUAUACAGUUAUGAUCAAUGCUAUGCUGUAGUGCCGUUCCAAAGGCAACUGCUCCCACUAUAAUUAUAAUCAUUAAGCAAGAACUUGCAAAAGCAACUUAAUUACAAGUAAUCUUUCCUCUGUUCUUAUUUUCAGUUCAAUUUGGUCCCGAGAAUAAUGAUGUUGACGACAACAAAAAUAAUAAUUGAUGCAUCUUGCUGUUUAAUAAGGCAAGCUCGAAAUAAAUCAAAUCCUAGUCAUACAAAAAUUCAAAUGAUAUGAGCCAUGAUCUCUUGCCAAGCUUCAGACAAGUUAAAUUAUAAGAGGAUCUUGAUAAGUUAAAUUAUGAACAGACAUUUACGCUGUGGACCCAUUCAUGCAUCCCCGUUUCGAUUUUGCAAUUUAACGUAGCCGUUAAUCUUACCUAGCCAUGUGUACGAGAAAAACUCCGCCGUCGAUCCGUAUAUGUAAGCACCAAGCAUGCAUUAUUAUUUUACCAAUUAUAAAGCACCGACACCCAGGGCCAGCCUAGAAUUAUAAUACUAUUUUUUUUUUUGGAUCAGGACGAAAUUAUUAUUGAAUAAUAAUUAAAACAAAAAAAAUCUGAAUCUUUCUAUGAUUGUAUCAACUUAUUAUGCAUGCCUAUGUUAUUGCCCAGUUGCCUAUGUUAUUGACAUCUACUACGAAGUUAGAAAUUGGUCUUAAUUAAUUAGAUAUGUUUCGAAAUUGGUCUUAAUUAAUUAGAUGCAUUUCUCAUUUGAAUUAUUUGGAGACGUGUAUAAUACAGGUCAAGUUUUCUAAUAAGAGGUUAGUGACUUUAUUUCUUUUAUUGGCUCAUAUUGAUUUAUGUGGCUAUCAUUCCUAGCUAAUUCGAUUAUUUAUCAAUAAUUUUAUUGAACAAAUUGAUUUAUUGGUUAAAAUAAGUUGUUCUUAUUAUUGUUUUUGACUAGAAGGUCUCAAUAAAGUUGGAAUAAAUAAAUUUUCAUCUAUGUCUCGCACUUACGUAAAAUAAAAGAAAAAAUCAUAAUUACAAAGAAAUUAAGAACCAAUGUCAAUCAUGUAAAAUCAAAUAUUUAAACAAUCAAAAUUUUAUCACUUCUGAGUUUAAGACUUUUUUCUUUCAUAUGUUAGAAAAUAAAAUUUUGAUGGAAUUUUUUUUUUUUAAAAUGAAAUUGGGAAUUAGAAAAUUUCAUUUCCAAGACUUUUUUCUUUCAAAUUAAGACUGCACGUGAUAAUUGCGGUUAGUUUUCCCCUGUUAUCAAUUAUUGCCACCGGAUGGGACCCACGUAAUUCGUCUAAUUGAACUGUACCCGGUUAUUCGCAAUCCACACCGGGCAAACUUGAAUCAUCUAUAUAUAUUACAUCAAAUUGUCAAAUCGGAAGCGAGAACUCGAAAAAGUAAUUUAGUAAAACUCGCCGCCUAUAAAAUUCAAAACCGAGGGCCAAGACGAAGUAUUCACUCAAGGACCGCGAGUCACGCAUUGUGGUGUGAACGGUUACCAAAACAACGAAAAUGAACCAACGUCUUUGCUGUCUUAUUGUUCUCUUUCUCUCCGUGGUCCCUCUCCUGGCCGCCGGCGACCGUAAAGGAGCGUUGGUUGGGGGAUGGAAGGCGAUAGAGGACCCCAAGGAGAAGCACGUGAUGGAGAUUGGGCAGUUCGCGGUGACGGAGUACAACGAACGGUCAAAGAGCGCGUUGAAGUUUGAGAGCGUGGAGAAGGGCGAGACUCAGGUGGUUUCCGGCACCAAUUACCGGCUGAUCUUGGUCGUCAAGGACGGUCCUUCGAUCAAGAAAUUUGAAGCUGUCGUUUGAGAGAAGCCAUGGGAGCAUUUCAAGAGUCUCACCUCGUUUAAGCCUAUGUUUGGGGGAUGGACUCCGAUAGACCCCACGGAGAAGCACGUGAUGGAGAUCGGGCAGUUCGCGGUGACGGAGUACAACAAACGGUCAAAGAGCGCGUUGAAGUUCGAGAGGGUGGAGAAGGCCGAGACUCAGGUGGUUUCCGGCACCAAUUACCGGCUGAUCUUGGUCGUCAAGGACGGACCUUCGACCAAGAAAUUUGUAGCUGUCGUUUGGGAGAAGCCAUGGGAGCAUUUCAAGAGUCUCACCUCGUUUAAGCCUAUGUUUGGGGGAUGGACUCCGAUAGACCCCACGGAGAAGCACGUGAUGGAGAUCGGGCAGUUCGCGGUGACAGAGUAAUACAAACGGUCAAAGAGCGCGUUGAAGUUCGAGAGCGUGGAGAAGGCCUGGACUCAGGUGCUUUCCGGCACCAAUUACCGGCUGAUCUUGGUCGUCAAGGACGGACCUUCGACCAAGAAAUUUGAAGCUGUCGUUUGGGAGAAGCCAUGGGAGCAUUUCAAGAGUCUCACCUCGUUUAAGCCUAUGUUUGGGGGAUGGACUCCGAUAGACCCCACGGAGAAGCACGUGAUGGAGAUCGGGCAGUUCGCGGUGACAGAGUACAACAAACGGUCAAAGAGCGCGUUGAAGUUCGAGAGCGUGGAGAAGGCCUGGACUCAGGUCGUUUCCGGCACCAAUUACCGGCUGAUCUUGGUCGUCAAGGACGGACCUUCGACCAAGAAAUUUGUAGCUGUCGUUUGGGAGAAGCCAUGGGAGCAUUUCAAGAGUCUCACCUCGUUUAAGCCUAUGUUUGGGGGAUGGACUCCGAUAGACCCCACGGAGAAGCACGUGAUGGAGAUCGGGCAGUUCGCGGUGACAGAGUAAUACAAACGGUCAAAGAGCGCGUUGAAGUUCGAGAGCGUGGAGAAGGCCUGGACUCAGGUGCUUUCCGGCACCAAUUACCGGCUGAUCUUGGUCGUCAAGGACGGACCUUCGACCAAGAAAUUGUUAGCUGUCGUUUGGGAGAAGCCAUGGGAGCAUUUCAAGAGUCUCACCUCGUUUAAGCCUAUGCUUGGCGGAUGGACUCCGAUAGACCCCACGGAGAAGCACGUGAUGGAGAUCGGGCAGUUCGCGGUGACAGAGUACAUCAAACGGUCAAAGAGCGCGUUGAAGUUCGAGAGCGUGGAGAAGGCCUGGACUCAGGUGGUUUCCGGCACCAAUUACCGGCUGAUCUUGGUCGUCAAGGACGGACCUUCGACCAAGAAAUUUGAAGUUGUCGUUUGGGAGAAGCCAUGGGAGCAUUUCAAGAGUCUCACCUCGUUUAAGCCUAUGCUUGGGGAUGGACUCCGAUAGACCCCACGGAGAAGCACGUGAUGGAGAUCGGGCAGUUCGAGGUGACGGAGUGCAAUAAACGGUCAAAGAGCGCGUUGAAGUUCGAGAGCGUGGAGAAGGCCUGGACUCAGGUGGUUUCCGGCACCAAUUACCGGCUGAUCUUGGUCGUCAAGGACGGACCUUCGACCAAGAAAUUUGAAGCUGUCGUUUGGGAGAAGCCAUGGGAGCAUUUCAAGAGUCUCACCUCGUUUAAGCCUAUGUUUGGGGGAUGGACUCCGAUAGACCCCACGGAGAAGCACGUGAUGGAGAUCGGGCAGCUCGCGGUGACGGAGUACAACAAACGGUCAAAGAGCGCGUUGAAGUUCGAGAGCGUUUAGAAGGCCGAGACUCAAGUGGUUUCCGGCACCAAUUACCGGCUGAUCUUGGUCGUCAAGGACGGACCUUCGACCAAGAAAUUUGUAGCUGUCGUUUGGGAGAAGCCAUGGGAGCAUUUCAAGAGUCUCACCUCGUUUAAGCCUAUGUUUGGGGGAUGGACUCCGAUAGACCCCACGGAGAAGCACGUGAUGGAGAUCGGGCAGUUCGCGGUAACAGAGUACAACAAACGGUCAAAGAGCGCGUUGAAGUUCGAGAGCGUGGAGAAGGCCUGGACUCAGGUCGUUUCCGGCACCAAUUACCGGCUGGUCUUGGUCGUCAAGGACGGACCUUCGACCAAGAAAUUGUUAGCUGUCGUUUGGGAGAAGCCAUGGGAGCAUUUCAAGAGUCUCACCUCGUUUAAGCCUAUGCUUGGGGGAUGGAAUCCGAUAGACCCCACGGAGAAGCACGUGAUGGAGAUCGGGCAGUUCGCUGUGACAGAGUACAACAAACGGUCAAAGAGCGCGUUGAAGUUCGAGAGCGUGGAGACGGCCUGGACUCAGGUGGUUUCCGGCACCAAUUACCGGCUGAUCUUGGUCGUCAAGGACGGACCUUCGACCAAGAAAUUUGUAGCUGUCAUUUGGGAGUAGCCAUGGGAGCAUUUCAAGAGUCUCACCUCGUUUAAGCCUAUGCUUGGGGGAUGGACUCCGAUAGACCCCACGGAGAAGCACGUGAUGGAGAUCGGGCAGUUCGCGGUGACAGAGUACAACAAACGGUCAAAGAGCGCGUUGAAGUUCGAGAGCGUUGAGAAGGCUUGGACUCAGGUGGUUUCCGGCACCAAUUACCGGCUGAUCUUGGUCGUCAAGGACGGACCUUCGACCAAGAAAUUUGAAGCUGUCGUUUGAGAGAUGCCAUGGGAGCAUUUCAAGAGUCUCACCUCGUUUAAGCCUAUGCUUGGGGGAUGGACUCCGAUAGAGCCCACGGAGAAGCACGUGAUGGAGAUCGGGCAGUUCGCGGUGACAGAGUACAAUAAACGGUCAAAGAGCGCGUUGAAGUUCGAGAGCGUUGAGAAGGCUUGGACUCAGGUGGUUUCCGGCACCAAUUACCGGCUGAUCUUGGUCGUCAAGGACGGACCUUCGACCAAGAAAUUUGUAGCUGUCGUUUGGGAGUAGCCAUGGGAGCAUUUCAAGAGUCUCACCUCGUUUAAGCCUAUGCUUGGGGGAUGGACUCCGAUAGACCCCACGGAGAAGCACGUGAUGGAGAUCGGGCAGUUCGCGGUGACGGAGUACAACAAACGGUCAAAGAGCGCGUUGAAGUUCGAGAGCGUGGAGAAGGCCUGGACUCAGGUGCUUUCCGGCACCAAUUACCGGCUGAUCUUGGUCGUCAAGGACGGACCUUCGACCAAGAAAUUUGAAGCUAUCGUUUGGGAGAAGCCAUGGGAGCAUUUCAAGAGUCUCACCUCGUUUAAGCCUAUGGUUAAAUAGGGUGUUUAACAAAUAACAAAUGCAUGUAAUUGUUAAAUAAAGGAUAGGUAUACUAUUACCUAUCAAUCAUGGCAAUGUCUUAGUCUGUUUUAGUUCAACUUAUAAGAUUUCUUGAGAUGUACAAGAGAUCUUUUUGUUUACUUUUGAGCCAAGUAUUUUCCUGAAAAAGGAAAUAAAUCAAUAAAAAUUAUUGUGUGUCAACAUAUUGGUUAUAUUAGUCUAUACACGUCGGUUUUAAUUACCAUAUCUCCUCCUAAAUAUUUUACUUUUUUUGAAACAAGCUCAAAAAUUUGUUGUAUAAAAAACACUAUCACUUUCAAUCAUAACGUCCUCCUGGUCCUCCAUUGGGGAUAUUAUAGUGUGUCAUUCUGUAACCCAGAACUAUCAUUUAUUCCACCUCUACGAUAUCUUGUAAUGUUACUUGCAGCUUCAUAAGCCACAGAAACAUCAUCAAAAUCAACAAAUUGUUUUCUUUUCUUUUUUUUUAGGAAAGUAAUAAGAAAAAUAAAAGCUGCAUUAUUCUAUUUAUGAUCAAUAGAAGAAUUCAAGUGACUGGAGAAAAUUCAGAUUGUUCAAAAUGGGUUCUCAAACGAGAUAAGCCUCAGGUAGUAGACCUCACCAACAUCAAUACCAGACUCAAUCCAUUGAAUCGGUCUCGUCUUAAGCCUAACAGCUCCCUUCUAAUAUAAUCUAGUGAGAACGGUGAGGUGCUUGGUAUAUCAUACACCAAAAAUCAACGAUGCUUGGACUUUCAAGAAAAAGAGAAAAACAAAUGCAUGCACGGGGAAACGUACUAAUAAAAAGCAAAUCAUAUAAUUUACAAAUUAUUAUAGGCUUGUAGCCAUAAGAUCGAGAGAAACUAAAACAUUUCUUGCAUUUUCUGGCCAUAUUUUCUAAAUGAAGGGAUGGUCCAUUGCUGCUCUGCCAUACUGGAUCUCAAGAUGUCGUUAACAAUAGGUCUCAAGAUGUCACUAAAUUAUUGCCAGCAAAUGAUAUUUCGAGUCAAAAAAGUAUAUUCAAUUAUUGCAUAUAUGCUCCUAGGUAAUUUGCACAAUUGAAUUAUAGCUGUUAAUCUACUUAUUUACACAAUUGAUUAAUUUACGCAUCCAUUGCAAGACUUUCGCACUAGGUUUCAAUUUCAACCACAAAUCCUAGCUCUAGAUAAAAAUGAUGUGGUCGUAGAGAUUUCGAAUGUAUUCACUUUGUGAUUAACGGAAGCAUUGCUUUCAUUUGUAAGACGUUAAAUCAUCAUUUUGGUAAAGGAAAAAGAAUGAAAAAAGCUGCACUAUUUUAAAGGCCAUUUGGUAUAUGACCACUUCCCAUUGGACUUGGAGACCGGGUAAUUUUGUCAUCUCCACUCCUAGAAUCUGCUCUCAUGCUACUUGCAUGGUUCCAUCUUUGAAGUCUGGUACUGUUUUGUUUGGAAAAUACCCCACUAUAAUAUCUUCACGAAGAAAAUUGAUCCCCGUUAACUAGCGUGAUUAGCUUAGUUUCUUAAAUUCAACGUUCGUUUGGUUAAUUGUCUGUUAGUUUAGAAUUUUGAUUAGCCAAUAAAACAAUGAGUUUUAUUGUUUAAUAAGGCAAGUUGAAAUAAAUUCAAUCCUACUCACAGAAAAAUUUAAAUGACACAUAUCAUAAUCUUUUUCAUAUCUUCAGAAAAAUUAAAUCAUAAGAGGAUCAUGAACAAUUUGAUGAUGCUCUGAAAUAUAGUCUUCUGUUUUUCAAGGAAAAAAUAAGGAAGUUAAAAACAUGUUUAUCAGGUUUUUCAGAGAUCAUUUUGACGUUUUUGUUUAAAAACAUGAAAAUUGUUCUUAUUCUCGUAAAACAGAAAAAAUUAUCUGGCCGGUUAGCUAAUUAUUCUUGUUCUUCUGUUCUUUUUUAUUUGAAUUGUUUCUCCCUUUUCCAUUCAUUUUUCACUAUGAAAUUAAUUACUAAUUAAUCUACAGUUAGUUUCUCUACAGCUAAUAGGAACGUGAUUUAUGCCCGAAGACUCGCAUCUUUUUUAUUCAUUAUCUACAGUGCCUCACCUCCAAUCUAUGUAUAGGCGGACAUGCAUAUUUAUUAUAUCAAAUAAGUUAUUGAUGGAAAUUUCACUUUCGAAAUAGAGAAUUAUCCUUAAUUAAAUCUUUGUGGGCCUAAAUUCGAGUAAGAUUUAAUGAUGUAUGAUUCAAAAUUAUUGAAAUCGGACAUUUUAAACAAGAAAAAAAUAAAAAAUCUUGUUCUCUUUUUUAAAUAAUAAAUUUCAUUUUGAUGGAUUUUUAAUAUUAAAUUAGACAUUUGCUAAAUUGGCUCAAAUAUAAUAGAUCUUAGACCUUGCUUUUAAUGGAUUUAAUUAGGUUUUGGGCAUUUAAAUUAUACAACUGGAGACAGAAUUUAUAAAUAGAUAAGAUUCUAAUGUGAUUUUAAAAUAAUUUUGAACUUGAACUUGAACUUGAUGCAUUUAAUUAAUCCAGAAAGGUAAAUUUAUAAUUUCAACUUUUAAAUAAAACAUAUCCUUUGGAUUUUUUACAUAAACUAGAGGCAAUUGUACAAUAUUUACUUGACUAGUGGUAUAUAUCCCAAAUUUUUUAUCCUAAGAAAUGCCACAUCAUUUGGUUGAUGAGGAUAAUAUAAUUAAUUCACUUAGAUAUUAUAAAAAAUUAUCAACCAAUCAAUGAAUAACAUAUCAUUUUCAUUGGGAUGAAAUUUGAAAAAAAAAUUUAGGACGUCUAUCAUUACUUUAGUAAGAAAGCAUAUUAAGAUGGACUGACAUGUUUGGAUGCCCCAGCCUAAGAUGCAAGAGAUCAAUUUCUUUUGUUGUCUUGAAAUCCCUACUAUUUGACUCAACAACAUUGGCAACAUUUAACUCAUUACUACUAGAACAAAAAGAUAUCAUAGACAAAGGAUUGCUAAUGCAAUUUAUUGACUCAUACUCUAAAGAUAGAGGUAACUCAACAGCACAUUCAAUCUUGCGCUACUCAUGCACAUUAGCUCAUAUAGCCUAUCUUUAGUCACUCCUUUCAUUAGGAUUUUCACUUGGCUAAAGCAAGUAGAUUUUUGAAGCACAACAUCAAUAUCAUUAUCACGGAACAAUUUUGAGACAUUAAUAAGGUUCUUAGUAAUGCUAGGCACAGACAACGAGCUGUUUAGUUUAAUCUGUUUGUGUGGAUCAUAAGUGAGCAAUAUAGAGUAUCCAAUAUGAGAAAUCAAAAGUUUAUCACCAUUUCCAACAGUAGCUCAUCAUUACCUUGAUAUUAUGAAUUAAAGCUCAUGCUUCCAAUAGCACUGGUUGCAUGAUUUGUAGCACCAUUGUCAAGGUACCAAGCUCUACUAUUCUCACCGUCAACUGCAACCACAUAUGCUCUUCUUGGAUCUCUUCUUCUAUUUGGCUGUGGAACUGAUAUGAACCCUAUUAAGAACUAACAUGACCCUAACCAAUUUAGUCUCUAAGAUUGAAACCAAUUUUUUAUUUUUUUUAGAAGAGAUUGAAACCAAAUCUAAAAUUGAAUGGAACCGCGAUUUGAUCUCAAUGAAAGUACGAACCUUGGUAUGUGAUGACGUCACAAUUAGCUAUGGAUGAUCUUAUUGAUAAGUCAAGAGUUUGAACGCCACAGAAAUGCGAUAAAUUCAAAGGGUUAGUUUAAGAACCAAAGAGAAUUAGCUUUCUCACCAAUUGCAUCAAAAUUGAUGCCUUUCUUAUUGGAUACGAGUACAUUAGAUAGGGUUGGUUUAUAAGAAUUUUAAGAAAUAAAUCCUAAACCAAAAUCAAAUCAGAAUCCUAAUUUAAAGCAAAUAAUGAAAGAAACUAAAUCAAACCAGAAUCCUUAUUGGCUUAAAUGCCUUGCAUCAAUUAAAAAUGGAAACAAGGCAAUUAAAAGAGAAAUAAUUGAUUCGUUUUGCCACUUGCCUACUCAAGAAAUGGGAAAGUAUCCUAAAAGGAAAGUAGUAUAUUUUCCAAACGAGAAAACAUCUGAUAAGGUAAAUAAUGUAUUUUCUAGCCAUAAUGUGCAAACCAACUUGCUGAUUUUAUGGAAAUGAUUAUGUGGAAACUUAAAAAGCCUGAAUCACGUAUUUAGUGGUCUGAAUAUCAUGUGCGCUUUCUUCAACGGGCCUCCACGAAUUUGAUUGAGCUCAAGUUGCUUAAAUCAACCCAUUAAGCGAUUUUUUGAAUUUUUUUGCACGAGCUCUUGUGAUGGGUCCAACAGGAACUUGAAUGGGAUAUGAAUAUACCUCAUCCCAUGUGCUUGUGACAGUUUUGUCCUCAAUAUCAUAUUUUUUCCUUCAAAGAAACAAUUUUGCUUCAUAUGGAAAAGGAAAUUCUUAUGUAGCCUUACAUGAUUUAUACAUAAACUCAUAAUAUUUGUGUAGUCCUUCAUGAACAUGUGAAAUAUACACUUAUAUAGUGAAUCCUUCAUGAACAAGAUGUUAGUGAAUAACAUCAUAAUUUUGGAAUAGUCUUUCAGGAACAUAUUUUGAAAGAAAAUCUUCAUUAUGUAUAGUGCGAUCCUUAGAGAUGCAUUCUUAAUUUUCUUUCAUUAUAUAUUAUAAUAUUCAUACUUUAGGAUGAAUAUUUUGAAUUUCAAGAAUAGAAAAUAUAUAAUAGCAAUUGAAUAUUAUAAUAUAAAAAAUCAAACAAUAACAAAAUCAAUCAAUGGAACAUUAAAUAAAUGUUGGAAUCCAAAUCUCAUAAAAUAUAUGUAAUCAUUAAUAAAGGAAGUAUUAGAACAAGAAUCAAUCGGUCCUUGAUCUUAGCCACUAACUUAGCAUAUUGUAAUAUUCAUUCUCCUUUAUAUUCUUUCCUUUUCUAUUAUUUGACCGUUUGGUACUUGCCUUAGAUGAUUCUAGUAUUUUUGUAUAUAAGGAUCUUGUACACAGCAACAAAUAUAUAUGAGCAUUUCCACAAUUCUUUACAUGGUAUCAGAGAAAAUUUUGCUCAUUUAUGCUUUUCUCUUUGACAAUCAUGUCUAGUAGUUUGAAUCCAAUAUCAGAAACAUCAAAUUCCCUCAUUACCGAUGCUUCUUCACCAUACUUUCUUCAUUCAUCUGAUCAUCCUGGAGCCAUUCUUGUAUCUAAUGUGCUAACAGGUGAUAAUUAUUCAACAUGGAAAAUAUCCAUGAAGAUGGCAUUAAAUGCCAAAAACAAAUUGGGUUUUAUUGAUGGAAGCAUACAAAAACCUUCAUCAACCUCACAAGAUUUAAAAACUUGGGAGCGAUGCAAUGACAUGGUCCUUUCAUGGAUGCUCAAUGGAAUAGAGAAAAAUCUUGCCAACAGCCUCAUUUAUUGUGAUACUCCACGCUCUCUUUGGCUUGGGUUGGAAGAACGUUUUUCACAAAGUAAUAAUCCACGGAUUUAUGAACUUAAGAGAGCCAUAUGCAAUCACUAGCAAGAGCAAAAAUCAUUAGUGAUUUAUUUUAAUACUUUGAAAUUUUAUUAGGAUGAAUUGUCCACAUUAACCACUAUUUCUUCUUGCAAGUGUGAAACUUCAUAUGAAUUGCAGGGAUUACUAGAGACUGAAAAGGUGUUUCAAUUCCUAAUGGGUCUCAAUGAUUCAUAUUCUUCGGUACGAAGUCAAAUCUUAGCCAUGGAACCACUUCCAAAUGUUGGAAAAACAUAUUCAAUUAUUCAUCAGGAAGAACGUCAACGACUUCUCCAUGUUUCCAGUCAACCAUCCAUUGAAUCAACAGCCUUGACAGCCAAUAAUAAGACUCAAAUGACCAGCUGUCAAAAUCAUUCACAUCCUAGCCAUUUGCAUGGAGUACAAGAGACACAAGGACGGGGUAGACCUUUCUGCGAUCAUUGCCAGAAAUAUGGGCAUAUAAAAGCCAAAUGUUACAAAAUUGUUGGCUAUCCACCAAACUGGAAACAUUCAAAUCGAUCGCAUGUUGCUGCUCCUACAACCACAAAGCCACAACAACUAGAUGAUCAUCCCAUUCCAACAGACAAGAAUUCCUGGUCUACUAUCCAAAUUCCUGGUCUCACGGCUGAACAAUAUCAACAAUUAUUAUCUAUACUUUCAACAAGUGAGCAACCAUCUACUGCAAACUUAGCUGGUAAAAUCAUUCCUUUUUGCAAUUCUGCUAUUAACUCAUAUAAUAAUUCUUGGAUAAUUGAUAGUGGGGCAUCUGAUCACAUGACCCCUAAUAUUUCUUCCUUUAAAAAUUUUGUGCCCAUGUCUCAUGUCAAACCCGUGAGACUACCAAAUGGCACAACUGUUCCUACAACAAAAUGUGGAUCCAUUAAAUUAUCCUCCUCUUUGACUUUAGAUAAUGCCUUAUUGGUUCCUCAUUUUAAUUUUAAUCUAUUAUCUGUAAGCAAGCUAACCAAGGAUUUGAACUGUGCUGCUAUAUUUUUUUCCUUCAUUUUGUGUUUUUUAGGACCUUUCAACGAAGAAGCUGAUUGGAAAGGGUGAAGUUUGGGAUGGACUAUAUUAUUAUGAGCUUAUCAAUGGUCAUUCUUCCCUUCCUUCAGUAAUGAACGUUGCAACGGAACCCAAUUCCAAUCUUUGACAUUUGUGACUCGGUCACCCUUCUAAAGACCGAAUGCAGCGUUUGUCUUUUAUUUCUGAUAUUGCAUCAUUUAAUUCUUGUUGUGAAAUUUGUCAACUUUCAAAAAACACUAGAAGUUCAUUUCAAUUGAAUAAAAAUCGUUCUGAUAUGCCAUUUCAAUUAAUUUUUUGUGAUAUUUGGGGACCUCAUCGCACAUCUACAUAUACGGGAGCAUAUUAUUUUCUUACUAUUGUUGAUGACCAUACUCGUUGUACUUGGGUUUACCUCAUACGGCACAAGUUUGAAGCUUUUCAAUUAUUAAAAAAUUUUUACUUCUUGAUCAAGACACAAUUUCACACACAAAUUAAAAAAAAAAUUUGUAUUAAUCAAGGAAGUGAAUUUUUAUCAAAUCAGAUGCAAUUUUUUUCAUGAGCAUGGCAUCUUGCAUGAACACACUUGUGUUGAAACACCUCAACAAAAUGGGGUAGCAGAACGCAAGUAUCGACAUAUUUUAGAAGUUGCACGUGCAUUAUGUUUUCAAGCACAUUUACCUUUGUCUUUCUGAGGAGAUUGUGUUUUAGUUGCAACCCAUUUGAUUAAUCGUAUACCCACUCCUAAUCUUGGUGGUCAAUCACCUUAUGAAAUGCUUUUUAAGACUAAACCUCACUAUGAUCGUCUUCGUGUCUUUGGCUGUCUUUGUUAUGCUCAUACCAACAGUGCUAAUCGUCAUAAAUUUGCUCCCCGUGCUACCAAGUGUAUAUUUGUUGGUUACCCAUUUGGGUAUCUCGGAUACAAAGUUUAUGAUAUCAUUAAUAAAAAGACUUUUAUUUCUCGUGAUGUUACUUUUGUGGAAACUGAAUUCCCAUUCAAAACUAUCACCAAUCAACAAGAAAAUAGCAAUCUUUUACCUCUUCCUAUCAUACUUCCUGCCAAUGAAAAUGCACAGCUCCUUCCAACUUCUUCCAAUGAAAAGCUACUCCACCAAGGUACAUCUGAUUCAAUAGUUCUCCCUUCUCCACCUCUUCGACGAUCCCAACGACAGUCUUGUCGUCCAAAUUAUCUUCAGAAUUAUAUUUUCUCUACUGCACUUCACGGUACAUUUGGCAACUCUAUUACUUUUACUAAUCAUCCACCAUUGGUAAGUUCUUUAUAUCCAUUAUCCAAGUAUUUAUCAUAUGACAAGUUUUCUAGUGAUCAUGUAGCCUUUCUUUAAGCUAUAUCUCACGGUGUUGAACCAACUACAUAUUCUCAAGCCGUUCAACAUGCUUAUUGGCGCAAUGCUAUGGAUAUAGAGAUUAAAGCUUUGGAGCAAAGUAACACUUGGACAAUACAAGAUCUACCCCCCGGCAAGAAACCAAUUGGUUGUAAAUGAGUGUUUAAAAUUAAAAGAAAAGCUGAUGGUUCUAUUGAUAGAUACAAAGCAUGCCUUGUUGCUAAAGGAUACACACAAACUGAAGGUUUGGAUUACCAUGAGACAUUUGCACCUGUUGCAAAACUUGUGACUGUUAGAUGUGUAUUGGCAAUGGCAGCUAUUCGAGGGUGGUUAUUAUUUCAGUUAGAUGUUCAUAAUGCAUUUCUUCAUGGCGACUUGCAUGAGGAAAUUUAUAUGACCUUACCUCCAGGAGUUCGUAAACAGGGGGAGUCUUAUCAAUUUUGUCGGUUAAACAAGUCCCUUUAUGGUCUUAAGCAAGCUUUUCAAAAAUUGGUUUGAAAAAUUCUCAUCCGCUCUUAAACAAAUUGGUUACAUUCAAUCUUGUGCUGAUUCUUGUUUAUUUACUAAUAUGCACGAUUCUCAUUUUACAUUGGUGCUUGUGUAUGUUGAUGAUAUAAUAAUUGCUGGUAACCAUCUUGACACUAUAACUGCAUUGAAGAUAUUUUUACAGGCUCAAUUUCAUAUUAAAGACUUGGGAACUUUGAAAUAUUUUUUAGGAAUUGAAGUGGCUCGUUCAAAGCAAGGGAUUUUCUUAAAUCAAAGGAAAUAUGCUUUAGAUAUACUUCAAGACAGUGGACAAUUAGGCACACGGCCAUCUUCUUUUCCAAUGGAAUAAAACUUGAAGCUCUCUAACGAUCAAGGAACCCUUUGUCAAAAUCCUGACCACUACUAACCACUGUCAUAGGAUGUCUCAUCUAUUUGACAAUCACCCGGCCAGAAAUUACAUAUGCUGUGAACAUACUUAGUCAAUUUAUGCACACUCCAAGACGACCACAUUAUGAUGUUGCCCUGCGUGUCUUACGUUACAUUAGAUCUUCUCCCGGCGCUGGUAUCCUCUUGUCCUCCGCUAGCUCUUUGGAACUCUCUGCCUUCUCAGAUUCAGAUUGGGCAAGUUGCCCCAUGACCCGUCGAUCCACCACUGAAUAUAUUAUCAUGCUCGGCAACAAUCCUAUUUCUUGGAAAACCAAGAAGCAACCAUUUGUAUCGCGCUCUUCCGCUGAAGCUGAAUAUCGAGCAAUGGCGACAACAACAUGUGAAUUGGUUUGGUUGAAAACUCUACUUCAUGAUCUUCAUGUGACCCAUCCAAUGCCUAUAACUUUACAUUGUGACAAUCAAGUUGUGCUUCAUAUCGCUGCGAAUCCCAUCUUCCAUGAGCGUACCAAGCACAUAGAAAUAGACUGCCAUCUUGUUCGUGAAAAGCUUCAUGCCAAAAUCAUUUCCUUAACUUAUGUGCCUUCACGACAACAAUUGGCUGACAGUUUUACCAAAGUUCUUGGUAAAGAUCAAUUUCAAUAUCUUCUUGGCAAGUUGGGAGUUACGGAUCUUCACUUUCCAACUUGAGGGGGAGUAUUAGAACAAGAAUCAAUCGGUCCUUGAUCUUAGCCACUAACUUAGCAUAUUGUAAUAUUCAUUCUCCUUUAUAUUCUUUCCUUUUCUAUUAUUUGACUGUUUGGUACUUGCCUUAGAUGAUUAUAGUAUUUUGGUAUAUAAGGAUCUUGUACACAGCAACAAAUAUAUAUGACCAUUUCCACAAUUCUUUACAGGAAGUAAGGAACAACUUCAUAGAUCCAUUAUUCUUAAAUUAUAAAAAUACAUAAACAACAUAUGUAUAUGAUUUUAGACAAAUCAAGAUAGUUUAAUUCAUACCUUUGUGAGUGAGAUCAAAGGAGGGAUAUUAUCAUAUUACCUCUUAAUGGCUAGAGACUCGUGUUGAUAAUGUGUUAUAUCAUUUAUCAAUUGGGAGUGCAACAAUAUAGCAAGAGAAAUAAAGAAGGCAAAUAAGAGACACAAUGUUUAGAGGGGAAUUUUAUUCAAUCUCAAAUAUAUACAAAUAGGAAGCAAAGGCCUGCUUUUAUAGUGAUACAAGCAUAAAGUAGUAAGUAAUACCUCGUAAUUAUAAGAGAUGACAAUCCUCAGAUUAGGGAGAUAAUGAGAGUUAUAAAAGAUGGAAAGUUACUUGUGAGGAGAUCGAAGAUUGCUUUGAUGAACAUCCACAUAUAUUAUAAUAAUUUCAUAACAUACAUUUACUUUUAAUUUAUUUUUAAGGUUAAUUGGUUAAUAAGCUUCUUGUGUAGUAGAUUGAUUAAUGUGCCCAAGAAUAUUGUUGGAUGCUAUUAUUUUAAAGGCAAAGAAAAAUAAGGCAUAAGUGUCACAUGUUCAAUAGCAGGGAUGUUUUGAGGAAUUUCUUAAAAUAAAAAGACUAAGUAGAUCUUUAGCCCAAAAUAUAGGGAUUAAGCAAGCAUUCAUCCUAUUGAAAAGCAAAGUAAACUAAUGUAACCAUAAUUGAAUAUAAAGUUAACUCUUCUAUGGCAUUAUAGAGAACAAAAGAAGGAAAAAUAUUAUUCAAAUUCAAGAUAAGAAGGUAGUUUAUUAACUGUCUAAAGUUCAAAAUUUUAUUAAUUUCAGACCUUUUUUAAAAUUUACUUAUUUGUUUUUUUGUAACUUAUGUUUGAUUUUUAGAUAUUUACAUCUGAAUAGAAAAAGUAAGAUUUUUUGACUUUUAUCUAAAUGGAAAAAGAUCUGAAUGAUUAGUAAAUAUUAUAUUCCAUAAAUAUCUCUAUAAAAUAACUUAUUUCCUAAUCUAUAAAAUAGAAUCCCCUUUUUUUAUUUUGAUUUACAAGGACGUAAAUGUCAAAGAACUAAGUUUAAGAUGUUUUUUAUUAUAAAAACAAAUAAGAUGCCACUUACAUUCAUAUAUUAAAAAAUGAAAAACAAACAUGUGAUUCAAAUUUUCGUAUUCAAACCCAUUCAAACUUGAAAAAAAUUUAGACACAUUCAAAUUUCAGACAAAAAAGACAAAUACUACUUCAAUUUUUUUUUCGCUUUGCAACUGCCCACUGCUAACCAAAUAAAAAAAGAUUUUCAAUUUGGAAUUAUGUUAUCCAACAUAUGAAGACAAUUCUUCCUUUGAACGAAUCUUUAUGAUUGUUUUCUGAACGAAUAUUGCUCUAAAUUAAAAUAUUUUAGAACAAAAAAUAGUUGAUUGCCAAAUGUACAAUAGGUACAAUUUUCUUUUUUCAGCUCUCUUUUGGAAGAGAACUAUGUCGUCCUUUAUAAUUAUUAUUUCUUGAAAGAAUACAAACUUAAAUUACUGGCUUUUUAUUUGUAAAAUCAUAUAAAAUAGACUCUUUUAAGGAAAAUAUCUCAUACCGGAGAUAAUAAUUUCUGGACUAAGAAUAUAAACUUAAAACAGCACUACUAUCAAAUUAUCUUUAAAAGAGUUCCUUGAUCAAAAGAAUUUAUUUAUCAUUUUUCACAGUUUAAAAAAAUAAAAAAAAUUACAUAGAAAUAAUUGGAAGAUUUCCUAAAUAAGCAUCAAAUAAAUGCUAAUUUAUUGCAUGAUACUUGGAAGAAACCAUAAAUAAAAAUUAAGGAUUUAUAAUUUUAAAGACAAGUUGGGAGUUUAAAUUUUCUUGCCAUCUUGAGGGAGAAUAAUAAGACCGAAAUAAUAUUGAUGAAACAAAAUAAUCAAUCAAAUAUUUGAUUGUCUUCAUCUUAAUCAGUGAUCAAGAAAAAUUGGUUGUUAAUUAACAUAAAAAUUGAUUGACUCAAUAUUUACUAAUAGAUCAUUAUUCCCAAAUUAUGUUAAUUAUAUAUAUUUCAAAUACUUAUAAGAAUUGAGUUUGCUUACGGUUUAUUAAAUAUAGUCUCUUAAAAGUUUACAUGUGGCCCAUACAAAGCUAACAUUACUCUGUUAUAGCAUUUCGGGCAUCCAACAAGAUCCUCUUCUUCACUUAUUGUUAGAACUAGAGCUAACAAAUUAAUUACUUAAUCACGGCUAAGUUUGGAAUUAAAAUCAAACUAAAUUAUCUAAUUGGUUGAGUUCGGUUUCCGUUUGUAUGGGCUACAUGAAAUUUUUUCUCUCAUCUUCUCUCGUCUGCUAAUCGCAUCUUUCUCUCUUUCGACUCUCUAAUUUCUCUCUUGGAUUUGGUUACCAAGCACAUAAAAUUGAAGCCACCAUCUCGCUCAUAACAAACAACUAGUCGGAUCCACCAAACUGUUGCUGUCAUCUUGAGCCAUUCAAGUAACUUGAACACAUCAUCUUCUCGUAAAUUCUCUUUCAUUUUCGAAUUAAAGACAAGGUAAGGAUGUAAUCUUGACUUUUGUGUUUUUUGUGAUGACUACAGAAAAUGCUAUAUGAAACAAUUAGGGAUUUAUGUGCUAUAUAAUAAUAAUAAUAAUAAUAAUAAUAACAACAACAACAACAACAACAACAAGUAGUCAUUUAUGAAUUUUGAGUGAAAAAUUAGGGAUUUAUGUGCUUCUUCUUCUUCUUCUUCUUCUUCUUCUUAUUAUUAUUAUUAUUAUUAUUAUUAUUAUUAUUAUUAUUAUUAUUAUUAUUAUUUUCCCUAUAUUAAACAAGUAGUCAUUUAUGAAUUUUGAGUGAAAAAUUCACUCGGCUGUGGCAGAUUUUGUGCCUUACAAGUAGUCGAUUUCACGCAUUCAUCAUCACCAUUACUAUGUUCAUUAUUAUUUGCUAUUGUUUUUUACUUUUUCUGCUGUUAUUGAUUAAAUUGACAUUAAAUUUAUGUCUUGUCCAUUACAAGACUUAACAAUAUAAUCCAGGUGUAACAUGGACACUACAGAUGAUACAAGUGCGCAAGACCUAGUCAGAGAGCGUAGUACACUUUUUGUAAGUAUAAACUAAUUGAUAUUUUUCGAGUUGUUAUGUUAGCAACCAUUUUAAAAACACUUUUGUUUUCGAAUUUUGGUUACGUUGAAGUGAAGGGGAUUGAGUUGCCAUUAAAAAUUAAAGUAUUUUGGUCUUUAUAAACAAAGCGCUUUUGUGGAAUAGAUCUAAGAAGAUGCUAAUCUUCUUAAUAAUUUUUUUUUUUUUUAAAUUCUAUUACUCUUGGUGCAACAAAUUUCCUAGUGCCAAAACCUUGUCAUAAAAAAAAAAGAAAAAAAAAAAGAAAACAGAAAAAGAGUGAAAAUCUCUUCGGUCAACCAAAUUACUCAAAUUCGUAAAAUAAUAUAAUACUUGAACCUUAAAAAUAAAAGCUCUAUAUAUUACUAUAUAAACAGUGAUAAACACAAUUACUAUCUAAGCCCACUCGAAAUUUUAUCAUACAGUCGUAUAUUUAUCACCUUAUGUACGUAUAUUGUAAUUUGGAUACGUUAUUUAAUUGUAUUUAUAUUGUGUAUAUUUACCACAUUAUGUACGUAUAUAAAAUAUAACGUAUAUUGUGUAAACUUUACUUUUGAGCUAAGUAUUUUCCUGAAAAAGGAAAUAAAUCAAUAAAAAUUAUUGUGUGUCAACAUAUUGGUUAUAUUAGUCUAUACACGUCGGUUUUAAUUACGAUAUCUCUUCCUAAAUAUUUUACUUUUUUUGAAAGUAACUCAAAAAUUUGUUGUAUAAAAAACACUAUCACUUUCAAUCAUAUGAUGGUUACAUUUUAAUCAUUUAUUCAUAACGUCCUCCUGGACCUCCAUUGGGGAUAUUAUAGUGUGUCAUUCUGUAACCCAGAACUAUCAUUUCUUCCACCUCUACGAUAUCUUGUAAUGUUACUUGCAGCUUCAUAAGCCACAGAAACAUCAUCAAAAUCAACAAAUUGUUUUCUUUUCUUUUUUUUUAGGAAAGUAAUAAGAAAAAUAAAAGCUGCAUUAUUCUAUUUAUGAUCAAUAGAAGAAUUCAAGUGACUGGAGAAAAUUCAGAUUGUUGAAAAUGGGUUCUCAAACGAGAUAAGCCUCAGGUAGUAGACCUCACCAACAUCAGUACCAGACUCAAUCCAUAGAAUCGGUCUCGUCUUAAGCCUAACAGCUCCCUUCUAAUAUAAUCUAGUGAGAACGGUGAGGUGCUUGGUAUAUCAUACACCAAAAAUCAACGAUGCUUGGACUUUCAAGAAAAAGAGAAAAACAAAUGCAUGCACGGGGAAACGUACUAAUCAAAAGCAAAUCAUAUAAUUUACAAAUUAUUAUAGGCUUGUAGCCAUAAGAUCGAGAGAAACUAAAACAUUUCUUGCAUUUUCUGGCCAUAUUUUCUAAAUGAAGGGAUGGUCCAUUGCUGCUCCGCCAUACUGGAUCUCAAGAUGUCAUUAACAAUAGGUCUCAAGAUGUCCCUAACAAGGUGUCACUCUGAUACCGACAGGUCUACCACUUAGACAUAACACUUGCCAUGUAAAAUGUUCUCCUAUUUUUGCUAUUUCCUUCGUAUCUUGCAUUGAAUUAUUGCCAGCAAAUGAUAUUUCGAGUCAAAAAAGUAUAUUCAAUUAUUGCAUAUAUGCUCCUAGGUAAUUUGCACAAUUGAAUUAUAGCUGUUAAUCUACUUAUUUACACAAUUGAUUAAUUGUACGCAUCCAUUGCAAGACUUUCGCACUAAGUUUCAAUUUCAACCACAAAUCCUAGCUCUAGAUAAAAAUGAUGUGGUCGUAGAGAUUUCGAAUGUAUUCACUUUGUGAUUAACGGAAGCAUUGCUUUCAUUUGUAAGACGUUGUCAUCACAGAUUAAUUAAUUAAUCAUCAUUUUGGUAAAGGAAAAAGAAUGAAAAAAGCUGCACUAUUUUAAAGGCCAUUUGGUAUAUGACCACUUCGCAUUGGACUUGGAGACCGGGUAAUUUUGUCAUCUCUACUCCAAGAAUCUGCUCUCAUGCUACUUGCAUGGUUCCAUCUUUGAAGUCUGGUACUGUUUUGUUUGGAAAAUACCCCACUAUAAUAUCUUCACGAAGAAAAUUGAUCCCCGUUAACUAGCGUGAUUAGCUUAGUUUCUUAAAUUCAACGUUCGUUUGGUUAAUUGUCUGUUAGUUUUAGAAUUUUGAUUAGCCAAUAAAACAAUGAGUUUUAUUGUUUAAUAAGGCAAGUUGAAAUAAAUUCAAUCCUACUCACAGAAAAAUUUAAAUGACACAUAUCAUAAUCUUUUUCAUAUCUUCAGAAAAAUUAAAUCAUAAGAGGAUCAUGAACAAUUUGAUGAUGCUCUGAAAUAUAGUCUUCUGUUUUUCAAGGAAAAAAUAAGGAAGUUAAAAACAUGUUUAUCAGGUUUUUCAGAGAUCAUUUUGACGUUUUUGUUUAAAAACAUGAAAAUUGUUCUUAUUCUCGUAAACCAGAAAAAAUUAUCUGGCCGGUUAGCUAAUUAUUCUUGUUCUUCUGUUCUUUUUUAUUUGAAUUGUUUCUCCCUUUUCCAUUCAUUUUUCACUAUGAAAUUAAUUACUAAUUAAUCUACAGUUAGUUUCUCUACAGCUAAUAGGAACGUCAUUUAUGCCCGAAGACUCGCAUCUUUUUUAUUCAUUAUCUACAGUGCCUCACCUCCAAUCUAUGUAUAGGCGGACAUGCAUAUUUAUUAUAUCAAAUAAGUUAUUGAUGGAAAAUAUCACUUUCGAAAUAGAGAAUUAUCCUUAAUUAAAUCUUAGUGGGCCUAAAUUCGAGUAAGAUUUAAUGAUGUAUGAUUCAAAAUUAUUGAAAUCGGACAUUUUAAACAAGAAAAAAAAUAAAAAAUCUUGUUCUCUUUUUUAAAUAAUAAAUUUCAUUGUGAUGGAUUUUUAAUAUUAAAUUAGACAUUUGCUAAAUUGGCUCAAAUAUAAUAGAUCUUAGACCUUGCUUUUAAUGGAUUUAAUUAGGUUUUGGGCAUUUAAAUUAUACAACUGGAGACGGAAUUUAUAAAUAGAUAACAUUCUAAUGUGAUUUUAAAAUAAAUUUGAACUUGAACUUGAUGCAUUUUAUUAAUCCAGAAAGGUAAAUUUAUAAUUUCAACUUUUAAAUAAAACAUAUCCUUUGGAUUUUUUACAUAAACUAGAGGCAAUUGUACAAUAUUUACUUGACUAGUGGUAUAUAUCUCAAAUUUUUUAUCCUAAGAAAUGCCACAUCAUUUGGUUGAUGAGGAUAAUAUAAUUAAUUCACUUAGAUAUUAUAAAAAAUUAUCAACCAAUCAACGAAUAACAUAUCAUUUUCAUUGGGAUGGAAUUUGGAAAAAAAAAUUUAGGACGUCUAUUAUUACUUUAGUAAGAAAGCAUAUUAAGAUGGACUAACAUGUUUGGAUGCCCCAGCCUAAGAUGCAAGAGAUCAAUUUCUUUUGUUGUCUUGAAAUCCCUACUAUUUGACUCAACAACAUUGGCAACAUUUAACCAAUUACUACUAGAACAAAAAGAUAUCAUAGACAAAGGAUUGCUAAUGCAAUUUAUUGACUCAUACUCUAAAGAUAGAGGUAACUCAACAGCACAUUCAUUCUUGCUACUCAUGCACAAUAGCUCAUAUAGCCUAUCUUUAGUCACUCCUUUCAUUUGGAUUUUCACUUGGCUAAAGCAAAUAGAUUUUUGAAGCACAACAUCAAUAUCAUUAUCACGGAACAAUUUUGAGACAUUAAUAAGGUUCUUAAUAACGCUAGGCACAGACAACGAGCUAUUUAGUUUAAUCUGUUUGUGCGGAUCAUAAGUGAGCAAUAUAGAGUAUCCAAUAUGAGAAAUCAAAAGUUUAUCACCAUUUCCAAUAGUAGCUCAUCAUUACCUUGAUAUUCUAAAUUAAAGCUCAUGCUUCCAAUAGCACUGGUUACAUGAUUUGUAGCACCACUGUCAAGGUACCAAGCUCUACUAUUCUCACCGUCAACUGCAACCACAUAUGCUCUUAUUGGAUCUCUUCUUCUAUUUGGCUGUGGAACUGAUAUGAACCCUAUUAAGAACUAACAUGACCCUAACCAAUUUAGUCUCUAAGAUUGAAACCAUUUUUUUUUUUUUUAGAAGAGAUUGAAACCAAAUCUAAAAUUGAAUGGAACCGCGAUUUGAUCUCAAUGAAAGUACGAACCUUGGUAUGUGAUGACGCCACAAUCAGCUAUGGAUGAUCUGAUUGAUAAGUCAAGAGUUUGAACGCCACAGAAAUCCGAUAAGUUCAAAGGGUUAGUUUAAGAACCAAAGAGAAUUAGCUUUCUCACUAAUUGCAUCAAAAUUGAUGUCUUUCUUAUUGGAUACAAGUACAUUAGAUAGGGUUGGUUUAUAAGAAUUUUAAGAAAUAAAUCCUAAACCAAAAUCAAAUCAGAAUCCUAAUUUAAAGCAAAUAAGGAAAGAAACUAAUUCAAACCAUAAUCCUUAUUGGCUUAAAUGCCUUGCAUCAAUUAAAAAUGGAAACAAGGCAAUUAAAAGAGAAAUAAUUGAUUCGUUUUGCCACUUGCCUACUCAAGAAAUGGGAAAGUAUCCUAAAAGGAAAGUUUUUUCCAAACGAGAAACAUCUGAUAAGGUAAAUAAUAUAUUUUCUAGCCAUAAUGUGCAAACCAACUUGCUGAUUUCAUAGAAAUGAUUAUGUGAAAACUUAAAAAGCCUGAAUCACGUAUUUAGUGGUCUAAAUAUCAUGUGCGAUUUCUUCAACGGGGCUCCACGAAUUUGAUUGAGCUCAAGUUGCUUAAAUAAACCCAUUAAGCGAUUUUUUGAAUUUUUUUGCACGAGCUCUUAUGAUGGGUCCAACAAGAACUUGAAUGGGAUAUGAAUAUACCUCAUCUCAUGUGCUUGUGACAGUUUUGUCCUCAAUAUCAUAUUUUUUCCUUCAAAGAAACAAUUUUGCUUCAUAUGGAAAAGGAAAUUCAUAUGGAAAAGGAAAUUUUCCUUCAAAGAAAUAAUUUCAUAACAUACAUUUACUUUUAAUUUAUUUUUAAGGUUAAUUGGUUAAUAAGCUUUUUGUGUAGUAGAUUGAUUAAUGUGCCCAAGAAUAUUGUUGGAUGCUAUUAUUUUAAAAGCAAAGCAAAAUAAGACAUAAGUGUCACAUGUUCAAUAGUAGGGAUGUUUUGAGGAAUUUCUUAAAAUAAAAAGACUAAGUAAUCUUUAGCCCAAAAUAUAGGGAUUAAGCAAGCAUUCAUUCUAUAGAAAAGCAGAGUAAACUAAUGUAACCAUAAUUGAAUAUAAAGUUAACUCUUCUAUGGAAUUAUAGAGAACAAAAGAAGGAAAAAUAUUAUUCAAAUUCAAGAUAAGAAGGUAGUUUAUUAACUGUCUAAAGUUCAAAAUUUUAUUAAUUUCAGACCUUUUUUAAAAUUUGCUUAUUUGUUUUUUUGUAACUUAUGUUUGAUUUUUAGAUAUUUAUAUCUGAAUAGAAAAAGUAAGAUUUUUUUACUUUUAUAUAAAUGGAAAAAGGUCUGAAUGAUUAGUAAAUAUUAUAUUCCAUAAAUAUCUCUAUAAAAUAACUUAUUUCCUAAUCUAUAAAAUAGAAUCCCCUUUUUUUAUUUUGAUUUACAAGGACGUAAAUGUCAAAGAACUAAGUUUAAGAUGUUUUUUAUUAUAAAAACAAAUAAGAUGCCACUUACAUUUAGAUAUUAAAAAAUGAAAAACAAAUAUGUGAUUCAAAUUUUCGUAUUCAGACUAGAGAUGGCCAAUGGGCCGGGCGGCACGUGGCACGGCACGGGCACGGAAUGGGCACGGCACGUGUCCGUACGGCACGACACGGCACGAGCACGUUUCGGUGAGGCACGAGGCACGGCACGGCAUGCACGUGGGCUGUGCCGGGCCUAGAAUUUUAGGCACGCGGGCCUUAAAGCACGGCACGAUUAGAGAUGGGCCAAAGCACGGCACACGAAAAAGCACGUAAUAAGCACGGUUCAUUGGUGGGCUAGCACGCGGCCCGUGAGCCAUCAAUAGCACGUGGGCCAAAAUAUAUCUAAGUAAAUUUUUUUAACAAAAAGUAAAUAUAAAAUGUUAUGAAAUUAAAGUAAAAUAUCUUGAAAUUAAAUGUUUUAAUAUAUUUUUUAGCAUAGACUUCUAAAAAUUAAUUUAAAUCAUUAAAUCUUAGUUUAAAUAAAUAUUCUAAUUUUUUAUGUUUAUAAUUUAUCAAAUGAAUAAUUAAAUAUCAUGAUUUUAAUAAAUAAAUUAUAAAUAUCAUAAUUUUAUUUAUGAUAUUUAUUAAAUGAAUAAUGUUAUUUAUGAUAUUUAAUUUUAUUUAUGAUAUUUAUUUAAUUAUUUAUUUAUGUUUAUAAUUUAUUAAAUGAAUAAGUAAAUAACUAAAUAUCAUGAUUUUAAUAAAUAAAAUUAUAAAUAUCAUAAAUUUAUAAUUUAUAAAUAAAAAAUAAAUCUUUUUACAAAAUUAAUAAUAAAAUAUUUUUCAUAUGAAAUAUUUUUCAUAUUAAUAUUAAAUCAUAACUUAGUUAAUAUUUAAUAGAGAUACGUUUCAUUUGUGAAUGAAAUAUUUUUCAUAUUUAUACACAAGAAAAAAUUAUGAUAAAUUAAAAAUUACAUUUUCAUUAAAUGAAGUUAAAGUACAAUUAUAACUUGUAAGUUGUGACCUAUGAUUUGUUAUAUUAAUAUUUCGUAGUUAUGACUUAUUGUAGUGAUUAUUCGAGGAUUGUAUUUUUAAUUUUAAUUAAUUAUUAUUAUGAGCUAUGGAAUUAAAUUUAUGUAUUGUUGUGUUAUGAAUUAUGAUUGAUUAUUGUGAAAUAAAAUAUAUAGUUGUGAAAUUGUGAUAAACUAAUAAUAAAAUGUUAAUUGCUCUCUUAAUAAAAAUUAAUAUGAUUAUGAUUAUGAAUAUUAUUAUUAUUAUUAUUAUUAUUAUUAUUAUUAUUAUUAUUAUUAUUAUUAUUAUUAUUAUUAUUAUUAUGUUGGUGGGUUUAAAAAAGCACGUCAGGUAUGUGGGUUUGAAUAAAGCACGCCAGACACGUGGACUUUUUUAAGCACGCCAAAAAAACAAAGUUGAUGGGCUUUUUUUUGGGAACGGCCCACGGCACGGCACGAGCGGGCUCGUGCCGUGGGCCGUGCUGGGCUCAACUGAAAAAAAGGUAUGCACGGCACGGCACAGCCCACCACGAGCCCUUGUGGGCUGACAGUUUGCCGGCACGGCCCAUUGGCCAUAGUUAAUUCAGACCCAUUCAAACUUGAAAAAAAUUUAGACACAUUCAAAUUUCAGAUAAAAAAGACAAAUGCUACUUAAAUUUUUUUCGCUUUGCAACUGCCCACUGCUACACCAAAUAAAAAAAGAUUUUCAAUUUGGAAUUAUGUUAUCCAACAUAUGAAGACAAUUCUUCCUUUAAACGAAUCUUUAUGAUUGUUUUCUGAACGAAUAUUGCUCUAAAUUAAAAUAUUUUAGAACAAAAAAUAGCUGAUUGCCAAAUGUACAAUAGGUACAAUUUUCUUUUUUCAGCUCUCUUUUGGAAGAGAACUAUGGCGUCCUUUAUAAUUAUUAUUUCUUGAAAGAAUACAAACUUAAAUUACUGGCUUUUUAUUUGUAAAAUCAUAUAAAAUAGAUUCUUUUAAGGAAAAUAUCUCAUACCGGAGAUAAUAAUUUCUGGACUAAGAAUAUAAACUUAAAACAGCACUACUAUCAAACUAUCUUUAAAAGAGUUCCUUGAUCAAAAGAAUUUAUUUAUCAUUUUUCACAGUUAAAAAAAAUAAAAAAAAUUACAUAGAAAUAAUUUGAAGAUUUCCUAAAUAAGCAUCAAAUAAAUGCUAAUUUACUGCAUGAUACUUAGAAGAAACCAUAAAUAAAAAUUAAGAAUUUACAAUUUUAAAGACGAGCUGGGAGUUUUAAUUUUCUUGCCAUCUUGAGAGAGAAUAAUAAGACCAAAAUAAUAUUGAUGAAACAAAAUAAUCAAUCAAAUAUUUGAUUGUCUUCAUCUUAAUCAGUGAUUAAGAAAAAUUGGUUGUUAAUUAACAUAAAAAUUGAUUGACUCAAUAUUUAUUAAUAGAUCAUUAUUUCCAAAUUAUGUUAAUUAUAUAUAUUUCAAAUACUUAUAAGAAUUGAGUUUGCUUACGGUUUAUUAAAUAUAGUCUCUUAAAAGUUUUCAUGUGGCCCAUACAAAGCUAACAUUACUCUGUUAUAGCAUUUCGGGCAUCCAACAAGAUCCUCUUCUUCACUUAUUGUUAGAACUAGCGCUAACAAAUUAAUUACUUAAUCACGGCUAAGUUUGGAAUUAAAAUCAAACUAAAUUAUCUAAUUGGUUGAGUUCGGUUUCCGUUUGUAUGGGCUACACGAAAUUUUUUCUCUCAUCUUCUCUCGUCUGCUAAUCGCAUCUUUCUCUCUUUCGACUCUCUAAUUUCUCUCUUGGAUUUGGUUACCAAGCACAUAAAAUUGAAGCCACCAUCUCGUUCAUAACAAACAACUAGUCGGAUCCAUCAAACUGUUGCUGUCAUCUUGAGCCAUUCAAGUAACUUGAACACAUCAUCUUCUCGUAAAUUCUCUUUCAUUUUCAAAUUAAAGACAAGGUAAGGAUGUAAUCUUGACUUUUGUGUUUUUUGUGAUGACUACAGAAAAUGCUAUAUGGAACAAUUAGGGAUUUAUGUGCUUCUUCUUCUUCUUCUUCUUCUUCUUCUUCUUAUUAUUAUUAUUAUUAUUAUUAUUUUCCCUAUAUUAAACAAGUAGUUAUUUAUGAAUUUUGAGUGAAAAAUUCACUCGGCUGUGGCAGAUUUUGUGCCUUACAAGUAGUCGAUUUCACGCAUUCAUCAUCACCAUUACUAUGUUCAUUAUUAUUUGCUAUUGUUUUUUACUUUUUCUGCUGUUAUUGAUUAAAUUGACAUUAAAUUUAUGUCUUGUCCAUUACAAGACUUAACAAUAUAAUCCAGUUGUAACAUGGACACUACAGAUGAUACAAGUGCGCAAGACCUAGUCAGAGAGCGUAGUACACUUUUUGUAAGUAUAAACUAAUUGAUAUUUUUCGAGUUGUUAUGUUAGCAACCAUUUUAAAAACACUUUUGUUUUCGAAUUUUGGUUACGUUGAAGUGAAGGGGAUUGAGUUGCCAUUAAAAAUUAAAGUAUUUUGGUCUUUAUAAACAAAGCGCUUUUGUGGAAUAGAUCUAAGAAGAUGCUAAGAAUUGAGUUUGCUUACGGUUUGUAAUCUUGACUUUUGUGUUUUUUGUGAUGACUACAGAAAAUGCUAUAUGAAACAAUUAGGGAUUUAUGUGCUAUAUAAUAAUAAUAAUAAUAAUAAUAAUAAUAAUAAUUAUUAUUAUUAUUAUUAUUAUUAUUAUUAUUAUUAUUAUUAUUUUCCCUAUAUUAAACAAGUAGGCAUUUAUGAAUUUUGAGUGAAAAAUUCACUCGGCUGUGGCGGAUUUUGUGCCUUACAAGUAGUCGAUUUCACGCAUUCAUCAUCACCAUUACUAUGUUCACUAAAAUAUAACGUAUAUUGUGUAAACUCUACUAUAAACAAUUAAUAUUUGGUCAUAUUUCUUUUGGCAAAUAACCCCCUGGGAUUUCUUCUUUAUCGCAACAUGAAAUUGAAGAUAUUUAAAAGGUUUUGAAACGUUAUUUUUAUUGAAAGGAGUUGCCAUUUUUAAUUUUGGUUGCAAAUAAUAAUUCCUUGGUGGUUACAAUAUUUUUAAAUAUCCCCAUUAAGGCUGUAGGGGCUACAAAUCUUCAUUCUAGAUCUGUAACAUAUGACUAUGAAUUAUAUAUAAAUGAGCUAUUUUUCUUUAUCUUUGGAUAUAUUAUAUACUCUAUUGUUUUCUCCGAAACUCUACGAUAAACAAUUAAUACUUUUCUUUGCAACUUCGACAUUCAAAGACUUGGUUUAUUCUUCAGGUAAAUCGUGCUUAGGAAGAAGAGCGGCAUGAAGAUAUUUGGGUUGUAUUUUGGAGCUGCGAAAUACCGACAAUAUCCGCCCGUGGGGAGGGCUCUUUGACAUUUGGGUUGUAUUUUGGACAUUUGUUCUUCUCCAUAGUACUGGCCGGAUUCUUCAACAAUACCCUAAUACUUCUAAAGUCAAAGACAUGCUUCUCUUUCGUUGAAUAUAUUUGCAUCUCUAGGUGAAAGUUGUAAUUGGCUGAGGAAAUUUUUAUUUUUAUAGAAUGGAAGAACAGGGACUUUACGUGGAGAAAAAAUUGUAGUGGGUAUUUUCCAUAGAUAUGGCUAUACAUGUAGCAUGACGAGCUGAUGACGGGAGUUCAUUUGACGGAAUUAGCCCUUCAAUGGGUUGUCGUUAUAAACCAGAUGGCCAAUAUAAUCAUGCAGCCUAUUUCAGCAAUGUUGUUUAUUAUGAUAUUAAUUUUGUGACUCAAGAAGCUGCAAGUAACAAUAAUACAGGACACCGUACAUAUGCAAGUAAUUGUUUUGGUUGCAAAAUGCAACACUUUCUGGACCAUCUUCUGGUUAUAAUUUUGUUUUUAGUAAAAUGUAAUUUUUUUUUAUUAUAGACAUUGUAUAAUUGUUUUAAAAUUUGGUAUAGCAAUAAAUAUGAUCUAUGUUUUGGACUGGUAGGUGGUUUCUUAAAAUUCUAUCCCAAAAGUUUAUCUUAAAGUUCUAUCUUAAAUUAUGUGGUCUUUAGACUGAUUGGUGUAAUUAAUUUAAUUAAUAAAAAAGAUCAGAUCUUCUCCUAGAUAUUUUUUUCCUCCUCCUAAACUUUUAAUAAUCCAUUGAUAUGUGUCAUUAAUGAAAUUAAUAGAUAAAAAAUUAUUUUAUCUUUACCGCUUUAACCCUACCCAAUUUGUGGACCCAUUUUAUCUUCCACGUGAUUGGUAUUAUUACUUUAUUUGUCUUUUUAUGUACUAUUAUUUAUUCUGUGGACCCAUUCAUGCACCCACGUUUCGGACAUGCAAUUUAACCGUAGCCGUUAAUCUUACCUAAUCAUAUGUGCGAUAAAAAUCUGCCGUCGAUCCGUUAUAUGUAAGUACCAACCAUGCGUUAUUAUUCGAUUUGCUACGUUACAAAAUCUUAUUGAUAAGGUUUUUUCAGAGAUUUUUCUUUUAAGACUACCAUUACCUACGUUACAAAAUUAAAUUAUAAGAGGAUCUUGAUAAGGUUUUUUCAGAAACCACUUUGUAAAGUCAAAAUAAAGUCUUCGCCGUCUGCCUCCAAUGACUAACGCCCCAGGCCCUUGAUGAAAUAGAAAUCCGAGCAGUGAAGUCACACUUCUCAUUGAAAACGACUAAUAAAAAUUAAGUUGGAAACUCGAACAGUAACUAGAUAACCUUACUCUUUUAUAUUUUAAGAAUUUGUUCAGAAAAUAUUACGAUCUCUUCUAACUUAAGUUGAAAUGCCGUUUCUAUUUCUUAUUCUUAUAAAAUGUGUACUUAUCAAUAAAGUUUCUUAUAUAAAAUUUUCAACUAAGAAUGAAUCUUCUUCAUCCAAGAUGCUAAUACAGUCCUAAAGGUGGUGGUGAUGAAAGAAUGGACAUUAAACCAUUAAACUUCAUUCUCGUAGUCUCAAGCGUGGUUGCUGGUCCUCCAUAAGACCAAUAAUCUCUCCCUCCGUGACUCGUAACCAGACUGUGAUAUCACUUGUUGGACCCAGACACUUAUUGUGACUUUUUAGCAAGUCGCCAAUCACUAAAUUGGUCCAGAUUUAACAUGCUUAUUUAUGGAUCUUUCAAAUUAAAGUUUUCAUAUUCCUUUGAAAACUAAUUGGAAAUAAAAUAUAAAAAAAAAGAAUAAUAAACUAUUUAACUUCAUCCAUUUAUAAUCCUAAGGAUAUUCAUUGGGCACCCAUAAGAUCAACAGUCUUAUACUAUAAUUUAAAUUUAAUUAUGUUUUAUUGACAAAAAUUAGCUAUUAUCAUUAUGAAAUGCCCAUUUCACUGGACUAUCUUUGAUUAUAAAAUUGUUUUAGCAAUUCCAAGUGAAAUGAUAUUUUGAACGAGGAAAAGACUCAAUUAGACAUUUAGACCGGGCUGCAGUUCUGGCCUCAUUUUGUCCUGAAGCUCAGCCAUGAUCCUGCCAAAGUUUUGGAGCCAUUCUAGCCACAUUUUAUCUUACUAUUAUGCACCACAUUUACUUUUUCGAUCUUCGAGACUUCGACUGGGUCAAACAUAUCCUCAAGCUCCGCUUUAACCUUACGAAAUUUGUGCCACUUGGCCUUGUAGCUCAGUGGUGGAUCAUUACCCUCAAAGUUAAGCAUGAUUAUGAGGGCAAUGGUUCGAGUUUUUACGGACUUAAUCUCCCUCAAUUAAACAUAAUUGUGUGGAGAUUUUUUAUAACGUCUUUCUCUCUUGUGAAAUGCGAGUGGAGUAGAGAUAUCCCUCCUCCGUGAGGGGUAUUUGGAUGAGCAUGUACUUCAUAGAAUAAAAAUGUAAUUAUAUAAGUCCUAUGUAUAUAUAUCUGAUUGUAAAUAUCAAUGUAAUGACUUGUUGUCAUAGCAAUUGUAUAUAUCUCUGUGUAAUAUAGUAAUAUGAUACUUAAUCAAUUUAAAAAAAAAAAAAAACUUACGAAAUUUGUUGACCCAUUUUACCUUCACGUGAUUGGUAUUACUACUUUUGUCGACAAGGCUACGUUGCAGUUGCAGACUCAGCUGAGUACCAACAGCUUUUCCUCUCUCCUGCAACGCGUGGAUGCUCCUUGUUUGUCUUCUUAUCUGCAAUUAUUUUCUCUGUGGACCCAUUCAUGCACCCACGUCUCGAAUAUGCAAUCUAACCCACGUCUCGAAUAUGCAAUUAUUUUUUUUGUGGACCCAUUUUACCUUCACGUGAUUGGUAUUACUACUUUUGUGGACAAGGCUACGUUGCAGUUGCAGACUCUGUAUGCAACAGCUCAGUCCAAACUGGCCUUGUAUCAGCUGAGUUCCAACAGCUUUUCCUCUCUCCUGCAGCGCGUGGAUGCUCCUUGUUUGUCUUCUUAUCUGCAAUUAUUUUCUCUGUGGACCCAUUCAUGCACCCACGUCUCGAAUAUGCAAUUUAACCGUAGCCGUUAAUCAUAUCUAACUAUAUGUACGAUAAAAAUUCCGCCGUCGAUCCGCUAUAUGUAAGUACCAAUCAGGCAUUAGUUUUCUAAUAAGACUUUAUUUCUUUUAUUAGCUCAUAUUCAUCCAUGUGUUUAUCAUUCCUAGCUAAUUCGAUUAUUUAAAAUAACAAUGAUCCAUCAAUAAUUUUAUUCUUCGACCGGCUAAAAUGAUUUUUUUUAUUAUUAUUUUGAUGAGGAGGUCUCAAUAAAGUUCAAAUAAAUAAAUUUUGGUCUUUGUCUCACACUUACAUAAACAAACGAAAAAAUUAUAAAAUUAUAAAAAAAUUAAGAACCAUUGUCAAUUAUGUAAAUUCAAAUAUUUAAACAAUCAAAAUAAUUGCGGUUAGUUUUCCCCUGUAAUCAAUUAUUGGCAUCGGAUGGGAACCACGUAAUUCGUGUAAUUGAUAUAAAGCAAUCUUUGAUGAAUCGUGACCCACUUAACAAGGAUCAAUACAUUCAGAAAUGAAUUCCACUCACCAAUUGAGAUACUAGUAUUAAUAUUAUCGGGAUUUAUACUGCUCUAAAGACAAUGUUACAGAGAAGCUGCUAUAACUCUCAUGACUCUGAAUCUAAGUGUUCAAUACGAGUGUAAAGACCUAAUUGCUCUGAUACAAGAAAUCAGUCCAGUCUUGUAUUACUAAACUUAUUAGCAGAUUUUUGGCUCCCAGCUAGCACAUGGGUAGCACCUGUAACGCUGCAUCAAUUAACAAAACUGAUUUACCAGAAUUUCCAGCCCCUAUACUUUGCAUCAAUAAAUUAUGAAAUUGGACAAGAUUUGUGUGUGAUUUUAAAAUAAAUAUGAACUUGAAUUUGAUGCAUUUAAUUAAUCCAAAGAGGCAAAUUUAUAAUUUCAACUUCUAAAUAAAACAUAUCAUUUGAAUUUUAUCAGUGGUUUCUAAUAAUAACUGACAGGUCAUUAUAAUAAUUAUAAAUGUAAUAUUUAUUUUUAUAAUUAUACAGUUAUGAUCAAUGCUAUGCUGUAGUGCCGUUCCAAAGGCAACUGCUCCCACUAUUCUCUUAGCGGCUCUGCCACUAAUCGCAUUCUGGCCACAUUUUAUCUUGCUAUUAUGCACCAUAUUUAUUUUUGCAAUCUGCGAGACUGCGACUAGGAUAUGCAAUUGCUCAAGCUCCGGUUUAGUCUUAAUUUGUGGACCCAUUCUACCUCACACGUGAUUGGCAUUACUACUUUGUUUGUCUUCUUAUGUACUAUUAUUUAUUAUGUGGACCCAUUCGUGCACCCACGUUUCGAAUACACAAUUUAACCGCAGCCGCUAAUCUUACUUAAUUUAUGUACGAUAAAAGCUCCGCCGUCGAUCCGUUAUACUUAAGUACCAACCAUGAUUAUUAUUUGAUUAGCUACGUCACAAAGUCGUAUUGAUUACGAAACACCAACACCUAGGGCCUAGGCAAUAUAGACAGGUCCUAAAUUAUGAACAGACAUUUACGCUGUGGACCCAUUCAUGCAUCCCCGUUUCGAUUUUGCAAUUUAACGUAGCCGUUAAUCUUACCUAACCAUCUGUACGAGAAAAACUCCGCCGUCGAUCCGUAUAUGUAAGCACCAAGCAUGCAUUAUUAUUUUACCGAUUAUAAAGCACCGACACCCAGGGCCUAGAAUUAUAAUACUAUUUUUUUUUUGGAUUAGGACGAAAUUAUUAUUGAAUAAUAAUUAAAACAAGAAAAUCUGAAUCUUUCUAUGAUUGUAUCAACUUAUUAUGCAUGCCUAUGUUAUUGCCCGGUUGCCUAUGGUAUUGACAUCUACUACGAAGUUAGAAAUUGGUCUUAAUUAAUUAGAUGCAUUUCUCAUUUGAAUUAUUUGGAGACGUGUAUAAUACAGGUCAAGUUUUCUAAUAAGAGGUUAGUGACUUUAUUUCUUUUAUUGGCUCAUAUUGAUUUAUUUGGUUAUCAUUCCUAGCUAAUUCGGUUAUUUAUCAAUAAUUUUAUUGGACAAAUUCUUUUAUUGGUUAAAAUAAGUUUUUCUUAUUAUUGUUUUUGACGAGAAGGUCUCAAUAAAGUUGGAGUAAACAAAUUUUCAUCUAUGUCUCGCACUUACAUAAAAUAAAGGAAAAAAUUAUAAUUAUAAAUAAAUUAAGAACCAAUGUCAAUAAUGUAAAAUCAAAUAUUUAAACAAUCAAAAUUUUAUCACUUUUGAAUUUAAGACUUUUUUCUUUCAUAUGUUAGAAAAUAAAAUUUUGAUGGAAAUUUUUUUUUAAAUGAAAUUGGGAAUUAGAAAUUUUCAUUUCCAAGACUAUCUUUCAUUGGCUAUGUCCAAGACGAAACAGAUUAAAAGCAAAUUUUGUAAUUUACAAAAUUACUGUAGCAAUGAGAUGCGAAAGAAAAGACUGCACGUGAUAAUUGCGGUUAGUUUUCCCCUGUAAUCAAUUAUUGCCACCGGAUGGGAGCCACGUAAUUCGUCUAAUUGAACUGUACCCGGUUAUUCGCAAUCCACACCGGGCAAACUUGAAUCAUCUAUAUAUAUUACAUCAAAUUGUCAAACUGGAAGCAAGAACUCGAAAAAACAACUUAACUACUUUCGAACUUUGAUUCCCGUAAGCAGAGAUCUUUCUGAUUUGAAGAACAUGGAAACCACCUGCGCAGGUUUAUAGGCCAACUUUAUUUUAAUAUAUAUCGUUUAUACUUCUUAUUUUAGUAUAUGCGGUUAUAAAUUAAAUUUUUUAUAUGAAAUUUUCAGGUAAUAACUGGUCAGAGGGUCUUCUGCUUCCUCCGUUUGGCAGUAUUGCUGAUGAUGAUGUCAUGAACGACAAUCUUGAUUUUCUUAAUGUCCCCCAAUAUGGAAGAAACCCCGACUACAUGGGUUAAGUGCAGCACUGCUUUUUUUUUUUUUCUGUUUUGUUUAAUUAAAUAAAUGAUAGGUAUACUAUUACCUAUCAAUCAUGACAAUGUUUUAGUAUGGUUUAGUUCAACUUAUAAGAUUUCUUGAGACGUACAAGCAAUCUUUUUGUUUACUUUUGAGCUAAGUAUUUUCCUGAAAAAGGAAAUAAAUCAAUAAAAGUUAUUGUGUGUGUCAACAUAUUGGUUCUAUUAGUUUAUACACGUCGGUUUUAAUUACGAUCUCUCUUCCUAAAUGUUGUACUUUUUUUUGAAAUAAACUCAAAACUUUGUUGUAUAAAAAACUCUUAUCACUUUCAAUCAUAUGAUGGUUACAAUUUAAUCAUUUAUUCAUAACAUCCUCCUGGUCCUCCAUUGAGGAUAUUAAAGUGUGCCAUUCUGUAACCCAGAACUAUCAUUUCUUCCACCUCUACGAUAUCUUGUAAUGUUACUUGCAGCUUCAUAAGCCACAGAAACAUCAUCAAAAUCAACAAAUUGUUUUUUUUUUUUUUAGGAAAGUAAUAAGAAAAAUAAAAGCUGCAUUAUUUUAUUGGCCACAUUGGACUCCUAGGCCGGGUAAUCUUGUCAUCUCUACUCGUAGAGUCUUCUCCCAUGGUACUUGCAUGGUUCCAUCUUUUAACUCUAGUAGUAUUUUGUUUGGAAAAUACCCCAAUAUAAUAUCUUCAUUCAAGAAAAUUGAGGACUGAAUUUGUGGUGCUUUUAUCAUAUUAAAUUACAUUUAAUUAUCAAUAUUUAUUGACUGAAAUCAGAAGGGUGUUUGAAUCAGAUAUGAAUUCUCUCUUAAUCAAUUUUUUUUUCUAAAUUUUGUAAGAUAUUAUGGCAGAUUUCAUUUAAAUUGUUUUAUAGUUAGGAUUUAAUUUAUUUUGGGCUUUCCUUAUUGUUUGAAUCCGAUGAAUUUCAUAUCAUCUUGCUGGUGCUUCUUCUGAUCUUCUUCUCCCUCCCUCUCUCUCACUUUUUUUCUUCUCUCUCACAGACCUAAAACUUUGACGAGCAAAUUUGAAAACGAAAUAUCAGGACGGAAAAGCCUCAACAUAUUAAAAAAUUCGGAUAAUUUAACUCUCGUAGCAUUGAUGAAUUUUGGUGUUCUGAUGCGAUUCAAGUUUCUCAUAGAGCCAAAAAAUGGCAAUUCAAGCCAAUUUUUUUAUCCAUCAAUUGAAAUACAUGUUACAUAUGCAGCAGCCCGUAAUCGAAAAUAACUUAAUUUGUUUUAAAAAUUCUUUAUGUUAGACUAGAAAUGAAUCCAUUCUUGUUAUUGCGUAUCUGCAAUUUAACUUAUGCUGCUAGUUUACAAUUUAUUUUAUUCACAUAAAUGAUCGUUCCUUUUUCUUAUUCUCAAUUAAAUUUUGGUUCCUAGAAUGAUAGUUAAAAAAAUUAACAAUAAUAAUCGAUGUCGCAGAUCAAUUAUCAAAGUUUGUUUGUGUGAACAAGAAAUAUGAGAAAAAGUUUGUUAGUUAAUUGUCUCUUAGUUUUAGAAUUUUGAUUAACCAAUAAAACAACGUAUUUUAUUGUUUAAUAAAACAAGUUCAAAGUAAAUUCAAUCCUAGUCAUAUUUUGAUAUUUUUAUUACAUCGCAAUUAAAUUUAAGACAAACCACAUUUCGGCAAUUAAAUUUAAGACAAGCCACAUUCUCCACAUGAAAUAUUUUGUCGCGUCGUGAUUAAAUGAUUGAGUCUCACGUAGAAGUCUGUCACUAACCAUAUAUUUUUAUAAAUUUAUCAACACAAAAAGAAAAAAAAAAUGAAGUAUUUGAAAUUUAUCUGGGGCUAAGCAGUAACAUUGGAUGUUGCCUCGGAUGUCCUAUAUCAAGGGCCCGAUUAAUAAAAUUUUGGGCCCUAGGCAAAAUUUCUAAAUUAGCCCUUUUUAUUUAAAUGAAAGUUAAUGUGAGAUUAAUUUAAAUUUUUACGAUUAAUAUGAAUAAUUUAUUUUUUUAGAUAUAAUUCCUUUACAUAGUUUGUAUCUGUAUUAUUUCAAAGAUUUUUUUGGGUUAUGUUUAAGCAGGCUUAUUUUUGAGAGAUUAUGAAGAAUAAGAGAUUGUGUUUCAAUUGGAAAUAACAAAAAUUUCGUUGCAUAAUUUUUUUUAAGCAUUAAAGAAAUAAGUUAUUGACGGAAAUUUCACUUUCAACAUAGAGAAUAUCCAACAUUUUAAACAAGAAAAUAAAUAAAUUCUGAUUUUUUAACUGAACUAUAUAUUGAGGUGGGGCCAAAAUUUUUGGAGAGCAAAUAUAAUAACUCAAUUUCUAAAUAAUGAAUAAUGACUCAAUUUCUAAAUAAUGAAGUAAAACAUAAAUUAGGGUUUUAGUAGGAAAGUAUAUUAGAUGGGACCUUGAUUUUAGGGGAAGGCAUAGGCAGUUGCCUAAAGAGUAGAGCUUCUAACACCCCUUUUAAACUUGUAACAAACCCCAAUUUUUUGUUUUUUUAAGUCUCUUUCUUUUAUGAAAAAUACAGAAAAGGACAUAAAGUUAUAAUGAAAUUUUAAUUGAACUUCACUACUGUAUAGAAUACAUUUUGUAAACAAAUUUUUCAUAAUAAAUUUUUUAAUAAAUAAUUUAUUUCUUUGUUAUUUUGUUUUUAUCAGCAAAUUAAUUAUAAUAUCAUAGGAUUAGCAAAUAGUCAAGAUUCAAGAUUUGUUAAGCUAUUUUAAUGUAAUCAAAUUCAUAUUUUUCCUUUUAGUAAUUCUUAGUAAUAAUAGAACUAUUAUUUUAAAAGUAGGGUGAUGCAAGAAUAUUAAAACGGUGUGAAAAGCAUUACUCUUGCCUAAAUUAUUCCAAGGUUGAACCGGCGUGUCUAAUUACCACCCUCUAGAGAAAGGGGAAAUUUUUUUUUCCGAAGACAACCAUGUUUUGGGUAUUUCUACCGACACUCUACAAAAUAAAUGCUGGAAGAAAAUUAAUACUCUAUUAAUUGUUAGGGACAAAUCACACUUCCGUUGAGAAUAGACCUUCAGUUAAGUAUACCGGUUUCGACAUCCCUCGACUCUUGAGCUUUUCUUUGAAUAUAAGUUGGGUUCGUGGGUUUUUAUAUAAUAUCAGAGUUAGAAUCGUACAUAAGUGAGUCCACACUACCUUACCACAUCGAUUGAGAAUAAAUAUUGAGUUCAAUAUUAAACCUUCAACCACAAGGAUAAAACUAAUUAAGGCCCUUGAGGGGCUUCAAUACAUCCUCAACUAUUAAAUUCAUGGAAAUUCAUAUUAAUUUAAUGGAGUUGAACUUUUGGCACCCUUUGAAUAUGUCUUAAAACACAUUUUCUUUACUUAUCCCAUUAAAAUUGUAUAAAGAUUGCACACUUUCUCAUGAAAUCCCUAUGAUUCUAAAAAUAACCCUGAUUUCUUGUUAAAUAAACACCAAUGCAGAUGCGGCAAUAAAAUAGUUAAUUUAAAAAAAAAUCCCUAUCUGAGAGACAGAAAGCUAGAGGAUUUCAAUAUGGAAUAUUUAUGAUCAAUAGAAGAAUUCAAGUGACUGGAGAAAAUUCAGAUUGUUCAAAAUGGGUUCUCAAACGAGAUAAGCCUCAGGUAGUAGACCUCACCAACAUCAGUACCAGACUCAAUCCAUAGAAUCGGUCUCGUCUUAAGCCUAACAGCUCCCUUUUAAUAUAAUCUAGUGAGAACGGUGAGGUGCUUGGUAUAUCAUACACCAAAAAUCAACGAUGCUUGGACUUUCAAGAAAAAGAGAAAAACAAAUGCAUGCACGGGGAAACGUACUAAUUAAAAGCAAAUCAUAUAAUUUACAAAUUAUUAUAGGCUUGUAGCCAUAAGAUCGAGAGAAACUAAAACAUUUCUUGCAUUUUCUGGCCAUAUUUUCUAAAUGAAGGGAUGGUCCAUUGCUGCUCUGCCAUACUGGAUCUCAAGAUGUCAUUAACAAUAGGUCUCAAGAUGUCGCUAACAAGGUGUCACUCUGAUACCGACAGGUCUACCACUUAGACAUAACACUUGCCAUAUAAAAUUUUCUCCUAUUUUUGCUAUUUCCUUCGUAUCUUGCAUUGAAUUAUUGCCAGCAAAUGAUAUUUCGAGUCAAAAAAGUAUAUUCAAUUAUUGCAUAUAUGCUCCUAGGUAAUUUGCACAAUUGAAUUAUAGCUGUUAAUCUACUUAUUUACACAAUUGAUUAAUUGUGCGCAUCCAUUGCAAGACUUUCGCACUAAGUUUCAAUUUCAACCACAAAUCCUAGCUCUAGAUAAAAAUGAUGUGGUCGUAGAGAUUUCGAAUGUAUUCACUUUGUGAUUAACGGAAGCAUUGCUUUCAUUUGUAAGACGUUGUCAUCAGAGAUUAAUUAAUUAAUCAUCAUUUUGCUAAAGGAAAAAGAAUGAAAAAAGCUGCACUAUUUUAAAGGCCAUUUGGUAUAUGACCACUUCGCAUUGGACUUGGAGACCGGGUAAUUUUGUCAUCUCUACUCCAAGAAUCUGCUCUCAUGCUACUUGCAUGGUUCCAUCUUUGAAGUCUGGUACUGUUUUUUUUGGAAAAUACCCCACUAUAAUAUCUUCACGAAGAAAAUUGAUCCCCGUUAACUAGCGUGAUUAGCUUAGUUUCUUAAAUUCAACGUUCGUUUGGUUAAUUAUAUGUUAGUUUUAGAAUUUUGAUUAGCCAAUAAAACAAUGAGUUUUAUUGUUUAAUAAGGCAAUUUGAAAUAAAUUCAGUCCUACUCACAGAAAAAUUUAAAUGACACAUAUCAUAAUCUUUUUCAUAUCUUCAGAAAAAUUAAAUCAUAAGAGGAUCAUGAACAAUUUGAUGAUGCUCUGAAAUAUAGUCUUCUGUUUUUCAAGGAAAAAAUAAGGAAGUUAAAAACAUGUUUAUCAGGUUUUUCAGAGAUCAUUUUGACGUUUUUGUUUAAAAACAUGAAAAUUGUUCUUAUUCUCGUAAAACAGAAAAAAUUAUCUGGCCGGUUAGCUAAUUAUUCUUGUUCUUCUGUUCUUUUUUAUUUGAAUUGUUUCUCCCUUUUCCAUUCAUUUUUCACUAUGAAAUUAAUUACUAAUUAAUCUACAGUUAGUUUCUCUACAGCUAAUAGGAACGUGAUUUAUGCCCGAAGACUCGCAUCUUUUUUAUUCAUUAUCUACAGUGCCUCACCUCCAAUCUAUGUAUAGGCGGACAUGCAUAUUUAUUAUAUCAAAUAAGUUAUUGAUGGAAAUUUCACUUUCGAAAUAGAGAAUUAUCCUUAAUUAAAUCUUUGUGGGCCUAAAUUCGAGUAAGAUUUAAUGAUGUAUGAUUCAAAAUUAUUGAAAUCGGACAUUUUAAACAAGAAAAAAAUAAAAAAAUCUUGUUCUCUUUUUUAAAUAAUAAAUUUCAUUUUGAUGGAUUUUUAAUAUUAAAUUAGACAUUUGCUAAAUUGGCUCAAAUAUAAUAGAUCUUAGACCUUGCUUUUAAUGGAUUUAAUUAGGUUUUGGGCAUUUAAAUUAUACAACUGGAGACAGAAUUUAUAAACAGAUAAGAUUCUAAUGUGAUUUUAAAAUAAUUUUGAACUUGAACUUGAACUUGAUGCAUUUAAUUAAUCCAGAAAGGUAAAUUUAUAAUUUCAACUUUUAAAUAAAACAUAUCCUUUGGAUUUUUUACAUAAACUAGAGGCAAUUGUACAAUAUUUACUUGACUAGUGGUAUAUAUCCCAAAUUUUUUAUCCUAAGAAAUGCAACAUCAUUUGGUUGAUGAGGAUAAUAUAAUUAAUUCACUUAGAUAUUAUAAAAAAUUAUCAACCAAUCAAUGAAUAACAUAUCAUUUUCAUUGGGAUGGAAUUUGAAAAAAAAAUUUAGGACGUCUAUCAUUACUUUAGUAAGAAAGCAUAUUAAGAUGGACUGACAUGUUUGGAUGCCCCAGUCUAAGAUGCAAGAGAUCAAUUUCUUUUGUUGUCUUGAAAUCCCUACUAUUUGACUCAACAACAUUGGCAACAUUUAACUCAUUACUACUAGAACAAAAAAGAUAUCAUAGACAAAGGAUUGCUAAUGCAAUUUAUUGACUCAUACUCUAAAGAUAGAGGUAACUCAACAGCACAUUCAAUCUUGCGCUACUCAUGCACAUUAGCUCAUAUAGCCUAUCUUUAGUCACUCCUUUCAUUAGGAUUUUCACUUGGCUAAAGCAAGUAGAUUUUUGAAGCACAACAUCAAUAUCAUUAUCACGGAACAAUUUUGAGACAUUAAUAAGGUUCUUAGUAAUGCUAGGCACAUACAACGAGCUGUUUAGUUUAAUCUGUUUCUGUGGAUCAUAAGUGAGCAAUAUAGAGUAUCCAAUAUGAGAAAUCAAAAGUUUAUCACCAUUUCCAACAGUAGCUCAUCAUUACCCUGAUAUUCUGAAUUAAAGCUCAUGCUUCCAAUAGCACUGGUUGCAUGAUUUGUAGCACCAUUGUCAAGGUACCAAGCUCUACUAUUCUCACCGUCAACUGCAACCACAUAUGCUCUUCUUGGAUCUCUUCUUCUAUUUGGCUGUGGAACUAAUAUGAACCCUAUUAAGAACUAACAUGACCCUAACCAAUUUAGUCUCUAAGAUUGAAACCAAUUUUUUAUUUUUUUUAGAAGAGAUUGAAACCAAAUCUAAAAUUGAAUGGAACCGCGAUUUGAUCUCAAUGAAAGUACGAACCUUGGUAUGUGAUGACGCCACAAUCAGCUAUGGAUGAUCUUAUUGAUAAGUCAAGAGUUUGAACGCCACAGAAAUCCGAUAAAUUCAAAGGGUUAGUUUAAGAACCAAAGAGAAUUAGCUUUCUCAGCAAUUGCAUCAAAAUUGAUGCCUUUCUUAUUGGAUACGAGUACAUUAGAUAGGGUUGGUUUAUAAGAAUUUUAAGAAAUAAAUCCUAAACCAAAAUCAAAUCAGAAUCCUAAUUUAAAGCAAAUAAGGAAAGAAACUAAAUCAAACCAGAAUCCUUAUUGGCUUAAAUGCCUUGCAUCAAUUAAAAAUGGAAACAAGGCAAUUAAAAGAGAAAUAAUUGAUUCGUUUUGCCACUUGCCUACUCAAGAAAUGGGAAAGUAUCCUAAAAGGAAAGUAGUAUAUUUUCCAAACGAGAAAACAUCUGAUAAGGUAAAUAAUGUAUUUUCUAGCCAUAAUGUGCAAACCAACUUGCUGAUUUUAUGGAAAUGAUUAUGUGGAAACUUAAAAAGCCUGAAUCACGUAUUUAGUGGUCUGAAUAUCAUGUGCGCUUUCUUCAACGGGCCUCCACGAAUUUGAUUGAGCUCAAGUUGCUUAAAUCAACCCAUUAAGCGAUUUUUUGAAUUUUUUUGCACGAGCUCUUGUGAUGGGUCCAAUAGGAACUUGAAUGGGAUAUGAAUAUACCUCAUCCCAUGUGCUUGUGACAGUUUUGUCCUCAAUAUCAUAUUUUUUCCUUCAAAGAAACAAUUUUGCUUCAUAUGGAAAAGGAAAUUCUUAUGUAGCCUUAUAUGAUUUAUACAUAAACUCAUAAUAUUUGUGUAGUCCUUCAUGAACAUGUGAAAUAUACACUUAUAUAGUGAAUCCUUCAUGAACAAGAUGUUAGUGAAUAACAUCAUAAUUUUGGAAUAGUCUUUCAGGAACAUAUUUUGAAAGAAAAUCUUCAUUAUGUAUAGUGCGAUCCUUAGAGAUGCAUUCUUAAUUUUCUUUCAUUAUAUAUUAUAAUAUUCAUACUUUAGGAUGAAUAUUUUGAAUUUCAAGAAUAGAAAAUAUAUAAUAGCAAUUGAAUAUUAUAAUAUAAAAAAUCAAACAAUAACAAAAUCAAUCAAUGGAACAUUAAAUAAAUGUUGGAAUCCAAAUCUCAUAAAAUAUAUGUAAUCAUUAAUAAAGGAAGUAUUAGAACAAGAAUCAAUCGGUCCUUGAUCUUAGCCACUAACUUAGCAUAUUGUAAUAUUCAUUCUCCUUUAUAUUCUUUCCUUUUCUAUUAUUUGACCGUUUGGUACUUGCCUUAGAUGAUUCUAGUAUUUUUGUAUAUAAGGAUCUUGUACACAGCAACAAAUAUAUAUGAGCAUUUCCACAAUUCUUUACAUGGUACCAAAGAAAAUUUUGCUCAUUUAUGCUUUUCUCUUUGAAAAUCAUGUCUAGUAGUUUGAAUCCAAUAUCAGAAACAUCAAAUUCCCUCAUUACCGAUGCUUCUUCACCAUACUUUCUUCAUUCAUCUGAUCAUCCUGGAGCCAUUCUUGUAUCUAAUGUGCUAACGGGUGAUAAUUAUUCAACAUGGAAAAUAUCCAUGAAGAUGGCAUUAAAUGCCAAAAACAAAUUGGGUUUUAUUGAUGGAAGCAUACAAAAACCUUCAUCAACCUCACAAGAUUUAAAAACUUGGGAGCGAUGCAAUGACAUGGUCCUUUCAUGGAUGCUCAAUGGAAUAGAGAAAAAUCUUGCUAACAGCCUCAUUUAUUGUGAUACUCCACGCUCUCUUUGGCUUGGGUUGGAAGAACGUUUUUCACAAAGUAAUAAUCCACGGAUUUAUGAACUUAAGAGAGCCAUAUGCAAUCACCAGCAAGAGCAAAAAUCAUUAGUGAUUUAUUUUAAUACUUUGAAAUUUUAUUAGGAUGAAUUGUCCACAUUAACCACUAUUUCUUCUUGCAAGUGUGAAACUUCAUAUGAAUUGCAGGGAUUACUAGAGACUGAAAAGGUGUUUCAAUUCCUAAGGGGUCUCAAUGAUUCAUAUUCUUCGGUACGAAGUCAAAUCUUAGCCAUGGAACCACUUCCAAAUGUUGGAAAAACAUAUUCAAUUAUUCAUCAGGAAGAACGUCAACGACUUCUCCAUGUUUCCAGUCAACCAUCCAUUGAAUCAACAGCCUUGACAGCCAAUAAUAAGACUCAAAUGACCGGCUGUCAAAAUCAUUCACAUCCUAGCCAUUUGCAUGGAGUACAAGAGACACAAGGACGGGGUAGAUCUUUCUGCGAUCAUUGCCAGAAAUAUGGGCAUAUAAAAGCCAAAUGUUACAAAAUUGUUGGCUACCCACCAAACUGGAAACAUUCAAAUCGAUCGCAUGUUGCUGCUCCUACAACCACAAAGCCACAACAACUAGAUGAUCAUCCCAUUCCAACAGACAAGAAUGCAUCAUCUCAGCCUACUAUCCAAAUUCCUGGUCUCACGGCUGAACAAUAUCAACAAUUAUUAUCUAUACUUUCAACAAGUGAGCAACCAUCUACUGCAAACUUAGCUGGUAAAAUCAUUCCUUUUUGCAAUUCUGCUAUUAACUCAUAUAAUAAUUCUUGGAUAAUUGAUAGUGGGGCAUCUGAUCACAUGACCCCUAAUAUUUCUUCCUUUAAAAAUUUUGUGCCCAUGUCUCAUGUCAAACCCGUGAGACUACCAAAUGGCACAACUGUUCCUACAAUAAAAUGUGGAUCCAUUAAAUUAUCCUCCUCUUUGACUUUAGAUAAUGCCUUAUUGGUUCCUCAUUUUAAUUUUAAUCUAUUAUCUGUAAGCAAGCUAACCAAGGAUUUGAACUGUGCUGCUAUAUUUUUUUCCUUCAUUUUGUGUUUUUCAGGACCUUUCAACGAAGAAGCUGAUUGGAAAGGGUGAAGUUUGGGAUGGACUAUAUUAUUAUGAGCUUAUCAAUGGUCAUUCUUCCCUUCCUUCAGUAAUGAACGUUGCAAAGGAACCCAAUUCUAAUCUUUGGCAUUUGCGACUCGGUCACCCUUCUAAAGACCGAAUGCAGCGUUUGUCUUUUAUUUAUGAUAUUGCAUCAUUUAAUUCUUGUUGUGAAAUUUGUCAACUUUCAAAAAACACUAGAAGUUCAUUUCAAUUGAAUAAAAAUCGUUCUGAUAUGCCAUUUCAAUUAAUUUUUUGUGAUAUUUGGGGACCUCAUCGCACAUCUACAUAUACGGGAGCAUAUUAUUUUCUUACUAUUGUUGAUGACCAUACUCGUUGUACUUGGGUUUACCUCAUACGGCACAAGUUUGAAGCUUUUCAAUUAUUAAAAAACUUUUACUUCUUGAUCAAGACACAAUUUCACACACAAAUUAAAAAAAAAAUUUGCAUUAAUCAAGGAAGUGAAUUUUUAUCAAAUCAGAUGCAAUUUUUUUCAUGAGCAUGGCAUCUUGCAUGAACGCACUUGUGUUGAAACACCUCAACAAAAUGGGGUAGCAGAACGCAAGCAUCGACAUAUUUUAGAAGUUGCACGUGCAUUAUGUUUUCAAGCACAUUUACCUUUGUCUUUCUGGGGAGAUUGUGUUUUAGUUGCAACCCAUUUGAUUAAUCGUAUACCCACGCCUAAUCUUGGUGGUCAAUCACCUUAUGAAAUGUUUUUUAAGACUAAACCUCACUAUGAUCGUCUUCGUGUCUUUGGCUGUCUUUGUUAUGCUCAUACCAACAGUGCUAAUCGUCAUAAAUUUGCUCCCCGUGCUACCAAGUGUAUAUUUGUUGGUUACCCAUUUGGGUAUCUCGGAUACAAAGUUUAUGAUAUCAUUAAUAAAAAUACUUUUAUUUCUCGUGAUGUUACUUUUGUGGAAACUGAAUUCCCAUUCAAAACUAUCACCAAUCAACAAGAAAAUAGCAAUCUUUUACCUCUUCCUAUCAUACUUCCUGCCAAUGAAAAUGCACAGCUCCUUCCAACUUCUUCCAAUGAGAAGCCACUCCACCAAGGUACAUCUGAUUCAAUAGUUCUCCCUUCUCCACCUCUUCGACGGUCCCAACGACAGUCUUGUCGUCCAAAUUAUCUUCAGAAUUAUAUUUGCUCUACUGCACUUCACGGUACAUUUGGCAACUCUAUUAGUUUUACUAAUCAUCCACCAUUGGUAAGUUCUUUAUAUCCAUUAUCCAAGUAUUUAUCAUAUGACAAGUUUUCUAGUGAUCAUGUAGCCUUUCUUUCAGCCAUAUCUCACGAUGUUGAACCAACUACAUAUUCUCAAGCCGUUCAACAUGCUUAUUGGCGCAAUGCUAUGGAUAUAGAGAUUAAAGCUUUGGAGCAAAGUAACACUUGGACAAUACAAGAUCUACCCCCCGGCAAGAAACCAAUUGGUUGUAAAUGAGUGUUUAAAAUUAAAAGAAAAGCUGAUGGUUCUAUUGAUAGAUACAAAGCAUGCCUUGUUGCUAAAGGAUACACACAAACUGAAGGUUUGGAUUACCAUGAGACAUUUGCACCUGUUGCAAAACUUGUGACUGUUAGAUGUGUAUUGGCAAUGGCAGUUAUUCGAGGGUGGUUAUUAUUUCAGUUAGAUGUUCAUAAUGCAUUUCUUCAUGGCGACUUGCAUGAGGAAAUUUAUAUGACCUUACCUCCAGGAGUUCGUAAACAGGGGGAGUCUUCUCAAUUUUUUCGGUUAAACAAGUCCCUUUAUGGUCUCAAGCAAGCUUUUCGAAAAUUGGUUUGAAAAAUUCUCAUCCGCUCUUAAACAAAUUGGUUACAUUCAUUCUUAUGCUGAUUCUUGUUUAUUUACUAAUAUGCACGAUUCUCAUUUUACAUUGGUGCUUGUGUAUGUUGAUGAUAUAAUAAUUGCUAGUAACCAUCUUGACACUAUAACUGCAUUGAAGAUAUUUUUACAGGCUCAAUUUUAUAUUAAAGACUUGGGAACUUUGAAAUAUUUUUUAGGAAUUGAAGUGGCUCGUUCAAAGCAAGGGAUUUUCUUAAAUCAAAGGAAAUAUGCUUUAGAUAUACUUCAAGACAGUGGACAAUUAGGCACACGGCCAUCUUCUUUUCCAAUGGAACAAAACUGAAGCUCUCUAACAAUCAAGGAACCCUUUGUCAAAAUCCUGACCACUACUGACGACUCAUAGGAUGUCUCAUCUAUUUGACAAUCACCCGGCCAGAAAUUACAUAUGCUGUGAACAUACUUAGUCAAUUUAUGCACACUCCAAGACGACCACAUUAUGAUGUUGCCCUGCGUGUCUUACGUUACAUCAGAUCUUCUCCCGGUACUGGUAUCCUCUUGUCCUCCACUAGCUCUUUGGAACUCUCUGCCUUCUCAUAUUCAGAUUGGGUAAGUUGCCCCAUGACCCGUCGAUCCACCACUGGAUAUUUUAUCAUGCUCGGCAACAAUCCUAUUUCUUGGAAAACCAAGAAGCAACCAUUUGUAUCACGCUCUUCCGCUGAAGCCGAAUAUCGAGCAAUGGCGACAACAACAUGUGAAUUGGUUUGGUUGAAAACUCUACUUCAUGAUCUUCAUAUGACCCAUCCAAUGCCUAUAACUUUACAUUGUGACAAUCAAGCUGUGCUUCAUAUCGCUGCCAAUCCCAUCUUCCAUGAGCGUACCAAGCACAUAGAAAUAGACUGCCAUCUUGUUCGUGAAAAGCUUCAUGCCAAAAUCAUUUCCUUAACUUAUGUGCCUUCACGACAACAAUUGGCUGACAUUUUUACCAAAGUUCUUGGUAAAGAUCAAUUUCAAUAUCUUAUUGGCAAGUUGGGAGUUAUGGAUCUUCACUUUCCAACUUGAGGGGGAGUAUUAGAACAAGAAUCAAUCGGUCCUUGAUCUUAGCCACUAACUUAGCAUAUUGUAAUAUUCAUUCUCCUUUAUAUUCUUUCCUUUUCUAUUAUUUGACCGUUUGGUACUUGCCUUAGAUGAUUAUAGUAUUUUGGUAUAUAAGGAUCUUGUACACAGCAACAAAUAUAUAUGACCAUUUCCACAAUUCUUUACAGGAAGUAAGGAACAACUUAAUAGAUCCAUUAUUCUUAAAUUAUAAAAAUACAUAAACAACAUAUGUAUAUGAUUUUAGACAAAUCAAGAUAGUUUAAUUCAUACCUUUGUGAGUGAGAUCAAAGGAGGGAUAUUAUCAUAUUACCUCUUAAUGGCUAGAGACUCGUGUUGAUAAUGUGUUAUAUCAUUUAUCAAUUGGGAGUGCAACAAUAUAGCAAGAGAAAUAAAGAAGGCAAAUAAGAGACACAAUGUUUAGAGGGGAAUUUUAUUCAAUCUCAAAUAUAUACAAAUAGGAAGCAAAGGCCUGCUUUUAUAGUGAUACAAGCAUAAAGUAGUAAGCAAUACCUCGUAAUUAUAAGAGAUGACAAUCCUCAGAUUAGGGAGAUAAUGAGAGUUAUAAAAGAUGGAAAGUUACUUGUGAGGAGAUCGAAGAUUGCUUUGAUGAACAUCCACAUAUAUCAUAAUAAUUUCAUAACAUACAUUUACUUUUAAUUUAUUUUUAAGGUUAAUUGGUUAAUAAGCUUCUUGUGUAGUAGAUUGAUUAAUGUGCCCAAGAAUAUUGUUGGAUGCUAUUAUUUUAAAAGCAAAGCAAAAUAAGGCAUAAGUGUCACAUGUUCAAUAGCAGGGAUGUUUUGAGGAAUUUCUUAAAAUAAAAAGACUAAGUAGAUCUUUAGCCCAAAAUAUAGGGAUUAAGCAAGCAUUCAUCCUAUAGAAAAGCAAAGUAAACUAAUGUAACCAUGAUUGAAUAUAAAGUUAACUCUUCUAUGGCAUUAUAGAGAACAAAAGAAGGAAAAAUAUUAUUCAAAUUCAAGAUAAGAAGGUAGUUUAUUAACUGUCUAAAGUUCAAAAUUUUAUUAAUUUCAGACCUUUUUUAAAAUUUACUUAUUUGUUUUUUUGUAACUUAUGUUUGAUUUUUAGAUAUUUAUAUCUGAAUAGAAAAAGUAAGAUUUUUUGACUUUUAUCUAAAUGGAAAAAGAUCUGAAUGAUUAGUAAAUAUUACAUUCCAUAAAUAUCUCUAUAAAAUAACUUAUUUCCUAAUCUAUAAAAUAGAAUCCCCUUUUUUUAUUUUGAUUUACAAGGACGUAAAUGUCAAAGAACUAAGUUUAAGAUGUUUUUUAUUAUAAAAACAAAUAAGAUGCCACUUACAUUCAUAUAUUAAAAAAUGAAAAACAAACAUGUGAUUCAAAUUUUCGUAUUCAAACCCAUUCAAACUUGAAAAAAAUUUAGACACAUUCAAAUUUCAGACAAAAAAGACAAAUACUAGUUCAAUUUUUUUUUUCGCUUUGCAACUGCCCACUGCUAACCAAAUAAAAAAAGAUUUUCAAUUUGGAAUUAUGUUAUCCAACAUAUGAAGACAAUUCUUCCUUUGAACGAAUCUUUAUGAUUGUUUUCUGAACGAAUAUUGCUCUAAAUUAAAAUAUUUUAGAACAAAAAAUAGCUGAUUGCCAAAUGUACAAUAGGUACAAUUUUCUUUUUUCAGCUCUCUUUUGGAAGAGAACUAUGGCGUCCUUUAUAAUUAUUAUUUCUUGAAAGAAUACAAACUUAAAUUACUGGCUUUUUAUUUGUAAAAUCAUAUAAAAUGGACUCUUUUAAGGAAAAUAUCUCAUACCGGAGAUAAUAAUUUCUGGACUAAGAAUAUAAACUUAAAACAGCACUACUAUCAAAUUAUCUUUAAAAGAGUUCCUUGAUCAAAAGAAUUUAUUUAUCAUUUUUCACAGUUUAAAAAAAUAAAAAAAUUACAUAGAAAUAAUUGGAAGAUUUCCUAAAUAAGCAUCAAAUAAAUGCUAAUUUAUUGCAUGAUACUUGGAAGAAACCAUAAAUAAAAAUUAAGGAUUUAUAAUUUUAAAGACAAGUUGGGAGUUUAAAUUUUCUUGCCAUCUUGAGGGAGAAUAAUAAGACCGAAAUAAUAUUGAUGAAACAAAAUAAUCAAUCAAAUAUUUGAUUGUCUUCAUCUUAAUCAGUGAUCAAGAAAAAUUGGUUGUUAAUUAACAUAAAAAUUGAUUGACUCAAUAUUUACUAAUAGAUCAUUAUUCCCAAAUUAUGUUAAUUAUAUAUAUUUCAAAUACUUAUAAGAAUUGAGUUUGCUUACGGUUUAUUAAAUAUAGUCUCUUAAAAGUUUACAUGUGGCCCAUACAAAGCUAACAUUACUCUGUUAUAGCAUUUCGGGCAUCCAACAAGAUCCUCUUCUUCACUUAUUGUUAGAACUAGCGCUAACAAAUUAAUUACUUAAUCACGGCUAAGUUUGGAAUUAAAAUCAAACUAAAUUAUCUAAUUGGUUGAGUUCGGUUUCCGUUUGUAUGGGCUACAUGAAAUUUUUUCUCUCAUCUUCUCUCGUCUGCUAAUCGCAUCUUUCUCUCUUUCGACUCUCUAAUUUCUCUCUUGGAUUUGGUUACCAAGCACAUAAAAUUGAAGCCACCAUCUCGCUCAUAACAAACAACUAGUCGGAUCCAUCAAACUGUUGCUGUCAUCUUGAGCCAUUCAAGUAACUUGAACACAUCAUCUUCUCGUAAAUUCUCUUUCAUUUUCGAAUUAAAGACAAGGUAAGGAUGUAAUCUUGACUUUUGUGUUUUUUGUGAUGACUACAGAAAAUGCUAUAUGAAACAAUUAGGGAUUUAUGUGCUAUAUAAUAAUAAUAAUAAUAAUAACGACAACAACAACAACAACAACAAGUAGUCAUUUAUGAAUUUUGAGUGAAAAAUUAGGGAUUUAUGUGCUUCUUCUUCUUCUUCUUCUUCUUAUUAUUAUUAUUAUUAUUAUUUUCCCUAUAUUAAACAAGUAGUCAUUUAUGAAUUUUGAGUGAAAAAUUCACUCGGCUGUGGCAGAUUUUGUGCCUUACAAGUAGUCGAUUUCACGCAUUCAUCAUCACCAUUACUAUGUUCAUUAUUAUUUGCUAUUUUUUUUUACUUUUUCUGCUGUUAUUGAUUAAAUUGACAUUAAAUUUAUGUCUUGUCCAUUACAAGACUUAACAAUAUAAUCCAGUUGUAACAUGGACACUACAGAUGAUACAAGUGCGCAAGACCUAGUCAGAGAGCGUAGUACACUUUUUGUAAGUAUAAACUAAUUGAUAUUUUUCGAGUUGUUAUGUUAGCAACCAUUUUAAAAACACUUUUGUUUUCGAAUUUUGGUUACGUUGAAGUGAAGGGGAUUGAGUUACCAUUAAAAAUUAAAGUAUUUUGGUCUUUAUAAACAAAGCGCUUUUGUGGAAUAGAUCUAAGAAGAUGCUAAUCUUCUUCAUAAAUUUUUUUUAAAAAAAAUUCUAUUACUCUUGGUGCAACAAAUUUCCUAGUCCCAAAACCUUGUCAUAGAAAAAAAAAGAAAAAAAAAAAGAAAACAGAAAAAGAGUGAAAAUCUCUUGGGUCAACCAAAUUACUCAAAUUCGUAAAAUAAUAUAAUACUUGAACCUUAAAAAUAAAAGCUCUAUAUAUUACUAUAUAAACAGUGAUAAACACAAUUACUAUCUAAGCCCACUCGAAAUUUUAUCAUACAGUCGUAUAUUUAUCACUUUAUGUACGUAUAUUGUAAUUUGGAUACGUUAUUUAAUUAUAUUUAUAUUGUGUAUAUUUACCACAUUAUGUACGUAUAUAAAAUAUAACGUAUAUUGUGUAAACUCUACUAUAAACAAUUAAUAUUUGGUCAUAUUUCUUUUGGCAAAUAACCCCCUGGGAUUUCUUCUUUAUCGCAACAUGAAAUUGAAGAUAUUUAAAAGGUUUUGAAACGUUAUUUUUAUUGAAAGGAGUUGCCAUUUUUAAUUUUGGUUGCAAAUAAUAAUUCCUUGGUGGUUACAAUAUUUUUAAAUAUCCCCAUUAAGGCUGUAGGGGCUACAAAUCUUCAUUCUAGAUCUGUAACAUAUGACUAUGAAUUAUAUAUAAAUGAGCUAUUUUUCUUUAUCUUUGGAUAUAUUAUAUACUCUAUUGUUUGCUCCGAAACUCUACGAUAAACAAUUAAUACUUUUCUUUGCAACUUCGACAUUCAAAGACUUGGUUUAUUCUUCAGGUAAAUCGUGCUUAGGAAGAAGAGCGGCAUGAAGAUAUUUGGGUUGUAUUUUGGAGCUGCGAAAUACGGACAAUAUCCGCCCGUGGGGAGGGCUCUUUGACAUUUGGGUUGUAUUUUGGACAUUUGUGAUUCUCCAUAGUACUGGCCGGAUUCUUCAACAAUAUCCUAAUACUUCUAAAGUCAAAGACAUGCUUCUCUUUCGUUGUAUAUAUUUGCAUCUCUAGGUGAAAUUUGUAAUUGGCUGAGGACAUUUUUAUUUUUAUAGAAUGGAAGAACAGGGACUUUACGUGGAGAAAAAAUUAAUUGUAGUGGGUAUUUUCCAUAGAUAUAGCUAUACAUGUAGCAUGGCGAGCUGAUGACGGGAGUUCAUUUGACGGAAUUAGCCCUUCAAUGGGUUGUCGUUAUAAACCAGAUGGCCAAUAUAAUCAUGCAGCCUAUUUCAGCAAUCUUGUUUAUUAUGAUAUUAAUUUUUAAAAUAUAGUUACAAUCUAGACACAUAAUUUGUGGACCCAUUUUAUCUACCACGUGAUUGGUAUUAUUACUUUAUUUGUCUUUUUAUGUACUAUUUUUGUUCUGUGGACCCAUUCAUGCACCCACGUUUCGAACAUGCAAUUUAACCGUAGCCGUUAAUCUUACCUAAUCAUAUGUGCGAUAAAAAUCUGCCGUCGAUCCGUUAUAUGUAAGUACCAACCAUGCGUUAUUGUUCGAUUUGCUACGUUACAAAAUCUUAUUGAUUAUAGACAUUGUAUAUUUUAAGAAUUUGUUCAGAAAAUAUUACGAUCUAUUAUCAUUAUGAAAUGCCCAUUUCACUGAACUAUCUUUGAUUAUAAAUUUUUUUUAGCAAUUCGAAGUGAAAUGAUAUUUUGAAGACUCAAUUAGACAUUUAGACAGGGCUGCAGUUCUGGCCUCAUUUUGUCCUGAAGCUCAGCCAUGAUCCUGCCAAAGUUUUGGAGCCAUUCUAGCCACAUUUUAUCUUACUAUUAUGCAUCACAUUUACUUUUGCGAUCUUGGAGACUGCGACUGGGUCAAACAUAUCCUCAAGCUCCGCUUUAACCUUACGAAAUUUGUGGACCCAUUUUACCUUCACGUGAUUGGUAUUACUACUUUUGUGGACAAGGCUACGUUGCAGUUGCAGACUCAGCUGAGUACCAACAGCUUUUCCUCUCUCCUGCAACGCGUGGAUGCUCCUUGUUUGUCUUCUUAUCUGCAAUUAUUUUCUCUGUGGACCCAUUCAUGCACCCACGUCUCGAAUAUGCAAUUUAACGGUAGCCGUUAAUCAUACCUAACUAUAUGUACGAUAAAAAUUCCGCCGUCGAUCUGCUAUAUGUAAGUACCAAUCAGGCAUUAGUUUUCUAAUAAGACUUUAUUUCUUUUAUUAGCUCAUAUUCAUCCAUGUGUUUAUCAUUCCUAGCUAAUUCGAUUAUUUAAAAUAACAAUGAUCCAUCAAUAAUUUUAUUCUUCGACCGGUUAAAAUGAUUUUUUUUUAUUAUUAUUUUGAUGGGGAGGUCUCAAUAAAGUUGAAAUAAAUAAAUUUUGGUCUUUGUCUCACACUUACAUAAACAAAGGAAAAAAAUUAUAAAAUUAUAAAAAAAUUAAGAACCAUUGUCAAUUAUGUAAAUUCAAAUAUUUAAACAAUCAAAAUUUCAUCACCUUGAGUUGAGAUUUUUUUUUCUUUCUUUUAUGUGUUAGAAAAUAAACUUUUGAUGGAAUAAUUUUUUUUAAAAAAAUUUUGGGAACUAGAAAAUCAUUUUUUUAAAAAUGACGUUGGGAAUUACAAAUUUUUAUUUCCAAGACUAUCUUUCAUUGGCCAUGUCCAAGACGAAAAAGACUAAAAGGAACUUUUGUAAUUUCCAAAAUUAUUGUAGCAAUGAGACGCGAAAGAAAAGACUGCACUUGAUAAUUGCGGUUAGUUUUCCCCUGUAAUCAAUUAUUGGCAUCGGAUGGGAACCACGUAAUUCGUGUAAUUGAUAUAAAGCAAUCUUUGAUGAAUCGUGACCCACUUAACAAGGAUCAAUACAUUCAGAAAUGAAUUCCACUCACCAAUUGAGAUACUAGUAUUAAUAUUAUAGGGAUUUAUACUGCUCUAAAGACAAUGUUACAGAGAAGCUGCUAUUACUCUCAUGACUCUGAAUCUAAGUGUUCAAUACGAGUCUAAAGACCUAAUUGCUCUGAUACAAGAAAUCAGUCCAGUCUUGUAUUACUAAACUUAUUAGCAGAUUUUUAGCUCCCAGCUAGCACAUGGGUAGCACCUGUAACGCUGCAUCAAUUAAUGAAAUUGAUACAAGAAAUUCUUUUAAUUUCUUGAAUACCGAAAAAGUAAAAUUACCAUUCAAAAUGGAGGAUAAAUAUUUAAAACUGUCUUAAACGCAUCUUAUUUGUUCAUACACACACAAGUUAUUAAACAACCAUGAAUGUUGAACUAAAGUGUCAAACUUAGUUUCUGGUUGUCAAAUUUUCUUCCUAUUGGACAUCUAAAUCGUUUUGCAGUCAGUAACAUAGUCAGAAAAUCAAAUUAGUGGGGUAGAAUGACUGACAUAAAAUAUAAAGAAAAAAAUUUACUGUGUUCUUUAUCUAUUUUUCUAAUAUUUUUAGCAUUCCUCCUUACAUAUGUCUAAUAGCAUGUUUAAUUUGAAGAAAUAAAAUAAGAAGAGAUGUGAGAUAAGGAGAAUGGGAACAAUAAAUAAGGAAAAAAGAGAUAUAAUUAUAUAUUAAAUUAAAUAAUGAAAUUGAGAAUGAUCCUAUUUUUUCCAUCAUUUUUUGAUCACUUACUCUAAGGAACGAGAACUUUAAGGAAAGACAGACAAAUCAUAAAGAUUGAAGAGCAGGAAUUUUUGUUCUCCUUUUUAAAUAAAAAAUUUCAUUUCAAUAGAUUUUUAUUAUUAAAUUAGUCUUUCCCUAAAUCAGAUCAAAUAUAUUAGAUCUUAAAUCUUGUUUUUAAUGAAAUUAAUUACGUUUUGGGCAUUUAAAUUAUGAAAUUGGACAAGAUUUGUGUGUGAUUUUAAAAUAAAUAUGAACUUGAAUUUGAUGCAUUUAAUUAAUCCAAAGAGGCAAAUUUAUAAUUUCAAUUUCUAAAUAAAACAUAUCAUUUGAAUUUUAUCAGUGGUUUCUAAUAAUAACUGCCAGGUCAUUAUAAUAAUUAUAAAUGUAAUAUUUGUUUUUAUAAUUAUACAGUUAUGAUCAAUGCUAUGCCGUAGUGCCGUUCCAACAUAGUCACGCCGUUGAUUUUUUAGACAGACCAAAGGCAACUGCUCCCACUAUUCUCUUAGCGGCUCUGCCACUAAUCGCAUUCUGGCCACAUUUUAUCUUUGCUAUUAUGCACCGUAUUUAUUGUUGCAAUCUGCGAGACUGCUACUAGGAUAUGCAAUUGCUCAAGCUCGCUUUAAUCUUACUUAAUUUGUGGACCCAUUCUGCCUUACACGUGAUUGGCAUCACUACUUUGUUUGUCGUUCUUCUAGCUGUAGUAUUAUUUAUUUUGUGGACCCACUCGUGCACCCACGUUUCGAAUACACAAUUUAACCGCAGCCGCUAAUCUUACCUAAUUUAUGUACGAUAAAAGCUCCGCCGUCGAUCCGUUAUACCUAAGUACCAACCAUGCAUUAUUAUUUGAUUAGCUACGUCACAAAGUCUUUGUUCGAAUAGUUAUCAAAGUUUGUUUGUGUGACUCAUGGAAUCUUUGUUGGCCAAUAAAAGGAUGCAUUUUGCUGUUUAAUAAGGCAAGCUCGAAAUAAAUCAAAUCUUAGUCAUACAAAAAUUCAAAUGAUAUGAGCCAUGAUCUCUUGCCAAGCUUCAGACAAGUUAAAUUAUAAGAGGAUCUUGAUAGGUUAAAUUAUGAACACACAUUUACGCUGUGUACCCAUUCAUGCAUCCCCGUUUCGAUUUUGCAAUUUAACGUAGCCGUUAAUCUUACCUAACCAUCUGUACGAGAAAAACUCCGCCAUUUGGCAGCCAAAGACUUGGUGCAGCCGGUUAACAAACAGUUGCACCAUAUUUUUUAAAAAAUAUAUAUUAAAAAUACAAUAUAAAAAUGAAAAAAUUAAAUAAAAUGUCAAAAAUAUUUUUUUAUAAUAUAAUUAAUAGCAAAAGAUAAAGAAAUUAAAUAAUAUAAUACAAACCCUAUAAUACAAUAUAAUAUAAUUAAAUAAAAUGACAAAAAAUAAAGAAAUUGAAAAUGAAAAAAAUAGUAUUUCAAGUUUAACGUCAGUUGUUGCAUGUCCGACGUCUCGAUUGCAUGUUUGACGUUAGAUGUUGCAUGUGUUGAAUAAAGCCAAAAUAAAGAAUAUUCUCGAAUAUUCUCGUCUGUUUCAUGUUUGACGUUGAAGUUGCGAACUUUACGUGAUAAAUUGCAUAUUUCGCGUGAAGUGUUACAAGUUUCAUGUUUAACGUCCGUUGCUGCAUGUCGGACGUCACGGUUGCAUGUUUGACGUAAUCUGUUGCAUGUCUUGAAUAAAGCCAAAAAAAGAAUAUUCCUAAAUAUUCUUGUCCGUUUCAUGUUUGACGUCGAAGUUGCGAACUUUACGUGAUAAAUUGCAUAUUUCGAGUGAAGUGCUGCAAGUUUUAUGUUUAACGUCAGUUCUUGCAUGUUCGACGGUUGGAUUUCAUGUUUGACGUACGAUAUUGCAUGUUUUGAAUAAAGCCAAAAUAAAGAAUAUUCCUGAAUAUUCUCGUCCGUUUCAUGUUUGACGUCGAAGCUGUAAAUUUUACGUGAUAAGUUGUAUAUUUCACGUGCAGUGUUGCAGGUUGCAUGUUUAACGUUCGUUGUUGCAUGUCCGACGUCCCGCUUGCAUGUUUAACGUUAGAUAUUGCAUGUUUUGGAUAAAGCCAAAAUAAAGAAUAUUCUCGAAUAUUCUGGUCCGUUUCAUGUUUGAUGCCGAAGUUGCAAACUUUACGUGAUAAUUUGUAUAUUUCACGUGCAGUGUUGCAGGUUGCAUGUUUUACGUCCGUUGUUGCAUGUCGGCCGUCCCGGUUUCAUGUUUGACGUUAGAUAUUGCAUGUUUUGGAUAAAGCCAAAAUAAAGAAUAUUCUCGAAUAUUCUCGUCCGUUUCAUGUUUGACGUCGAAGUUGCAAACUUUACGUGAUAAGUUGUAUAUUUCACGUGCAGCGUUGCAGGUUGCAUGUUUAAUGUCUGUUGUUGCAUGUCCGACGUCCCGUUUGCAUGUUUGACGUUAGAUAUUGCAUGUUUUGGAUAAAGCCAAAAUAAAGAAUAUUCUUGAAUAUUCUGGUUCGUUUCAUGUUUGACGCCAAAGUUGUAAACUUUACGUGAUAAGUUGUAUAUUUCACGUGCAGUGUUGCAGGUUGCAUGUUUAACGUCCGUUGUUGCAUGUCCGACGUCCCGCUUGCAUGUUUGACUUUAGAUGUUGCAUGUUUUGGAUAAAGCCAAAAUAAAGAAUAUUCUCGAAUAUUCUCGAAUAUUCUCGUCCGUUUCAUGUUUGACGUCGAAGUUGCAAACUUUACGUGAUAAGUUGUAUAUUUCAUGUGCAGUGUUGCAGGUUGCAUGUUUAACAUCCGUUGUUGCAUGUCGGCCGUCCCGGUUUCAUGUUUGACGUUCGAUGUUGCAUGUUUUGGAUAAAGCCAAAAUAAAUAAUAUUCUCGAAUAUUCUCGUCCGUUUCAUGUUUGACGUCGAAGUUGCAAACCUUACGUGAUAAGUUGUAUAUUUCACGUGCAGUGUUGCAGGUUGCAUGUUUAACGUCCGUUGUUGCAUGUCUGACGUCCGAUGUUGCAUGUUUGGGAUAAAGCAAAAAUAAAGAAUAUUCUCGAAUAUUCUCGUCUGUUUCAUGUUUGACGUCGAAGUUGCAAACUUUAAGUGAUAAGUUGUAUAUUUCACGUACAGUGUUGCAGGUUGCAUGUUUAACAUCCGUUGUUGCAUGUUUGACGUCCAGCUUGCAUGGUUGACGUUAGAUGUUGCAUGUUUUACAUAAAGCCAAAAGAAAGAAUAUUCUCGAAUAUUCUCAUCCAUUUCAUGUUUGACGUCAAAGUUGCAUACUUUACGUGAUAAAUUGCAUAUUUAACGUGACUUCUUGUGGGUUUCAUGUUUUACGUCUAUUGUUGCAUGUUGGACGUCGGGGUUGCAUGUUUGACGUUAGAUGUUGCAUGUCUUGAAUAAAGCCAAAAUAAAUAAUAUUCCUGAAUAUUCUCGCUUGUUUUAUGUUUGACAUCAAAGUUGCAUACUUUACGUGAUAUGUUGCAUGUUUGACGUAAAAUAUUAUAGGUUUCAUGUUUAACGUCAGUUGUUGCAUGUUGGACAUCAGGGUUGCAUGUUUGACGACUAAUGUCACAUGUCUUAAAUAAAGUAAAAAUUUUAAAAAUUUCCCGCCCGUUUCAUUCACACACACCUUUCCCAAAAUUUUAAAAUUUAAAAUGGCGGUUCACCAUUACCUGGAUGUCGGUUCGCCGUGUUUGUCUAGUAACUUUGCAAUUGCUAUUAGUUAACCUUUGCCCUUAACGGAUCUUUAUCUGCAAUCAUAUACCUCUCUGGAUGAUAUUGGUUCACCAUUAUCUAAAAAAAAGUUCACCGUUCUCUUCCAGAAUCGAAUAAGCAAAUACACUUCUUUCUGGAAGAUAUCGGCUAACCGUUAUCAAAUUAACGAUUCAUUGUUAUCUUGUACAAUUAAAUUAACAUGUUUCUGGAAACUGUCGGUUAACUGUUAGCUCAAUAAUGGUUCAUGUCACUGUCCAGAAUUUUAAACACUUUAAAACGGUGUACUAUUUAAAUAUUAAUUAAGAUAAUAUAUUAAUUAAAAAAUUAUGAAAAAAAUACAGUUAAUAGUAACAAAAAUAGAAUUUUAUAAAUUAUAAAUUUGUAAAACAUAAUAGAAAAUAAACAAAUAAUUUGCUAUGGAAUUGGAAUUAUCAAAUCUCUUGCGUUUUAAAAUAUUCAAAGCUCUUGUAAUAUUAUAGAGUUAUAUAUAUAGAGACAUGCGUGCGUGCGUGCAUACAUACACAUGAAUAUUUUGAUCUUAUGUUUGUGGUCAAACCCCAUUAAUUACUCAUUAGAUUCAUGUUAUUUUACUAAACUAGAUUUUAUUAAUAAAGAUACAUUAAAUUGAAUUAAAUUCAACUUAUACCCAAUAAUUAUAUUUGGGAAUUUAUCUAACUUACUAAUUUUUAUUUAACUCAUACACAUUAUAAAUGUGUUCAUUAAAUUACACAUAUAAAUUUAAUUGUCUAACUAUUUUUUACAUGAUUGAUAAAAUGAUGGCUUUAAAAAGAACUUGUAAUUUGAAAAAAAAAUCCAAUUAAUUAUAAUAAAAUUACAUAUCUAUCCAAUUUUUUCCUUAUUUUAGUCUAAUAAUAGUUUGAAAAAGAAUUUGAUAAUUCAAGUGAAAAUCACUAUUCUUAUUUGUUGCAUAAUAAUAUUUUUUAGGUGUAUUUUGUUUGAUUUUUUUUUAAAACAAACUAAUCAUGGUGGAUAUUUUAAAUUACUGAGUCACAAAAAUUCUAAGCUCAAUUGAAAUUUACAAUCGUUUAUCAAUGAAAAAAUGCUAGCAAAACAAAAAAAUAUUGAGGGAUAAAAAGAAAAUAUGGUAGAAAGAAAAAGGCAACAUCACUAUGAUCAUUGUUAUAAGAAAAAUAAAGCGAAAAUCUUCCCAGGGUAAAUCCAUAUGCUAAACAUCCAAAAUUGACGCCGUAGAAUUUCAAUAUCACCAAUAACACCCCCCAAACCUAAAGAUUGCAACAAAUUGAUGGCACAUUUGAGGGCUUAGAACCUAGUAUAUCUUAAAUCAUUUUGGAUUAAAUUAUAUCACAAUUUUUUCAUUUUUUUUAAUUGUGUGAAAAAAAACUACAGUACACUUAUUUCAAAAGAAAUUUGUUAAUGAAAAACAAAAUAAUGAAAAUCAAGAGCACUCAUUUAUAAGAGUAGGCUAUAAAAAGAAAAAAAAAAAUUAUUAUAAGCAUAAUCUCCCAAAAAAUAAAAGCAUCGUCAAAUUGAGUUACAAACUAAUUACAAUUUCAUUCGUAUUCGUAAACCAAGAGGUUGCGCAACAUCAAAAAGUUUCCAGUAAAACACUUAUGCCAGAUAAUUUAUAGAACCAAGCAAUAUCCGGUUGAAUUCUCCCCUGCAAAUAAUUAAAAAUUUCAAGUUAAUUGAUAAGAUAAAAAUAGCCGUUAAUCAUAAUAAGAAGCAACAGCAAAUCACAAUAAGAAGCAACAACAAAUUACACUAAAAAAUAGCAGGAAAAAAGCACCAAAACAACAAAUAUAACCAAGAAACAACAAUAAAAAAAUGCCCAAAAACAGCAGAAAAAGAUGCCCAAAACAGCAAUAAAAAUUACCCUAAAACAACAGUGAAAAAUGCCUAAAAACAACAUAAAUAAAUCCAAAACAAAAGUGAAAAAAUUGCCUAGAAACAAUAGACAAAAGCCCAAAACAACUAGAAGACUACCUAAAACCAGCAGAAAAAAUCUAAGAUAGUAGCAAAAUCUUCCACUGGUAAAGAAAGAUAUGAAAGAAAAGAAAUAAAACUCAUAAAGAGUUAAAGGUAACAUAAUGAAGGCUCAAAUCUGAAGCUCCAUAUGUAAGAACAAACAUCCCUAUACAAACACCCCUAUGCAUGUAAUAGUCAUAUAAAACAUAAUUACAAUUACAGUCCAUCCAGCAACUGUUUGCUUGUUUCAUUAUAAAUGUCUGCAAUAGUCAUAUAAAACAUAAUUAAACACUUAAGCAGAACCCAUAAGAUAAAGUACAAAAAACAUGGUAAAAGAAAUAAAUGUCACAGCAGAGUCCAGAGAGUAAUAUAUCAAAGAGUCCAGCUCAAUCCAACCUCCAUAAAUUUAAAUAUGAUGGUGAAAGGAUCAUAAUUCAAACACACUCCAAAGAGAUGUAAUUUACAUUAGAUAACACAGCUUUUCAUAUUCUGAUUAAGCACAUGCCAAGUUAAGAAUAUAUUUACUUUUGAAAUUAGGAAAAUUACCACACAGUGAAUUCAGGCACACCAAUCAGAGCAGCUAUUGAUCAAGCAAUACUAAAUUGCACCUCAUUAUUUGAAAAUUUACAAGAAUUGCAUAUUUUAAAGGUCUACAUGACCAAAUACAAAGGUUGCACAAUACCUUGAACUCGUUUUAUAAAAGGAUAACUGGCUGCUCCACCCUUUUUGGCAAGGCUGAGUUUAUUUCAAAGUGCCAACAUCAACAAGGUUUUGCCCACUAAUAGCCAGAGAACUCUGACUAAAUUGCAAUGAUACAUAAUCAAUUGAUGACUGAAGUGUGGAUAGAACUGGCACCUCAUCAGGUGGGACAUAUUUGAGAAUCAAUACAGAAAUAUAUAUAGAAAAAAGUGAUAAGAGAAAUAUAAAUACAAUUGAAAGGAACAAAUGGAUACCUCCUUGAUUCCCACACACAGGAGUCCAGUAACAAAAAGUACAAUAAUUGCAGCACAGGGAUCAACAAUAAUGUCAAGCCCAGGAAUUUCUUGAUGAGCCAAAAAGAAAGGAAGAAUGCACAACCUAUAAUCAUUAAUAACAACAACAUAAGAACAUAAACGUUUAAAUUGCAUAGGCAAUUGUAGACCUCCAUCAUAAAAUAUAUGAAUUCAAAUCAAUACAAAGAUGAUUAGUUGUCAAAAAGGUAACUCAUAGAAAAUAAGGGAAAGGAAAAAGUAAACAAGCUAAAUGAACAAACAAUACAAUUAAACCAUUCCAAUUUAGUUGAUAGUGCAAAACACAUAUGACUCAAUAGUAACAACUAAAGUAAAUAAAUAUACAAUCAAAGCUCGAUAAAAUUCACCAGACCAGAUUCGGGUAUAUGCCACGAGGAACAGCAGACCCGCCAAUUGUGUACUCAAGUAUCAGAGCUAGCCAAUCAACCACCUAACACUGCCAAAAUACAACAUCAACUAAGUUAAAUCAAUUUAUUAGACCAAAACAUUAAUAACGAUUACUAUGCCCCAGCUAAUCACUAGUUUAUCCCACUUUAGAAACAAGAUCCAAUUAUAUGAAUCAAUAAACUACAUCUCUAAGAAAUGACUAUUACGAGUUAUACCAGUAUUAAAGGUAACAAGGACUUACCCUUCUCCAACACAUAUGUAUGAAUAAUGAUAGGCACUCCCAGCAGAUGGCCAACGACUUGCAAGCUCAGCAUAGCAAAAGGCUGAAAAAGCAGAAGCUAUUCCAGCUAUAAGGAAACGAAAGGGUGAGUGCCGGUCCUGAAUGCUCUCUAGCAACUGUUCCAACAAGAAUAUAUGCUCCAGCCCCAAGUGUUGAGUCAACACCUAACCAGAGUUUGUACAAGAAAUAAAUAGUAAGAUCCAUCUUAAAAAAGAAAUUCCGGAAUUUAUUAUAUCACUGCCUAAUAAAGAAAUAUUGAUUAUAUGAACUGCAAUCAAAAACGAAAAUUUUUAGAGCAAAACCUAUCACAAUAAAUAAGCAACUAAUCCAAGCUCCAAGACCAUAGUCUACCCAAAACACUUAGCCAUUUAAAGAGAGGGGAGGGGGAAAGCCUAAUAAUCACACACACCCAUCAUGAAAUCUUGAGUUUCCUGACGAGAAUCUAACAAAAUGCUCAAGAACACUUAAAGCCAUAGAAAAAAAAAUAUAAAAUUAAAUUCAAGAUCUGUUUCAUAAGAAUUUAACCAAAAAUCCAAAUUCUUAGAUAUUCAAUAUGGAAAGCAAAAACCCAUAUUCUUAAAAAUUAGAAAUUUAACCAAAAUAAAAAAGAUUUAGAAAGAAAAAUAUCUUUUGUUCAUUACGAGUCAUCUUCCCAUUGAGCUCAUGUAGGAUUUUGAGAGAGAGAGACCAAAUUUGAAAAAUUAGUGCUUUCAGAGAGAAAUGCAAAUUCCAAAAAUAAGAAAUAAGACAAAAUAAAAUAUAAAAAAAAUACCUUUUAUUCAUUCGGCGUUGCUCCCCAGCGAGCUAAUGUACGGCUUCAGGAGAGAAAGAUCAAGUUUGAAAAGUUAGGGCUUUGAAGGAGAAAGCCAAAUUUUAAAAAUUAAAAAUUUAAUAAAAAAGAAUACCUUUAUUCAUUCUGAUUCAUGCCUCCCACUGAGCAAUGUAGGGCCUGAAGAGAGAUAUCAAAUUUGAGAAUGAAAAAAUUAGAGAUAUCAAAUUUGAGAAUGAAAAAAUUAGGGCUUGAACAUAGAUAGGCCAAUUUUGAGAAUGAAAAAUUUAGGGAUUUGAGAGACCGAAUUUGUCAACCAGAGAUUUCAGAGAGAAAAUAUCAUCGUUGAGAGAGCGAUUAGAUUUUAGAAUGGAAAAAUUUUAGGGAUUUGAGAGACGAAUUUGAAAAAAAAAAGGAGGAUUUAAAUAAAUGAUAGGUGUAUUAUUACCUAUCAAUCAUGACAAUAUCUUAAUCUGGUUUAGUUCAACUUAUAAAAUUUCUUGAGAUGUACAAGAGAUCUUUUUGUUUACUUUUGAGUUAAGUAUUUUUUUAAAAAAGGAAAUAAAUCAAUAAAAGUUAUUGUGUGUGUCAACAUAUUGGUUAGAUUAGUCUAUACACGUCAGUUUUAAUUACGAUCUCUCUUCCUAAAUAUUUUAUUUUUUGAAACAAACUCAAAAAUUUAUUGUAUAAAAAACACUAUCACUUUCAAUCAUAUGAUGGUUACAUUUUAGUCAUUUAUUCAUAACAUCCUCCUGAUCCUCCUUUGAGAAUAUUAAAAUGUGUCAUUCUGUAACCCAGAACUAUCAUUUCUUCCACCUCUACGAUAUCUUGUAAUGUUACUUGCAGCUUCAUAAGCCACAGAAACAUCAUCAACCUUUUUUUUUUUAGGAAAGUAAUAAGAAAAAUAAAAGCUGCAUUAUUCUAUUUAUGAUCAAUAGAAGAAUUCAAGUGACUGGAGAAAAUUCAGAUUGUUCAAAAUGGGUUCUCAAACGAGAUAAGCCUCAGGUAGUAGACCUCACCAACAUCAGUACCAGACUCAAUCCAUUGAAUCGGUCUCGUCUUAAGCCUAACAGCUCCCUUCUAAUAUAAUCUAGUGAGAACGGUGAGGUGCUUGGUAUAUCAUACACCAAAAAUCAACGAUGCUUGGACUUUCAAGAAAAAGAGAAAAACAAAUGCAUGCACGGGGAAACGUACUAAUAAAAAGCAAAUCAUAUAAUUUACAAAUUAUUAUAGGCUUGUAGCCAUAAGAUCGAGAGAAACUAAAACAUUUCUUGCAUUUUCUGGCCAUAUUUUCUAAAUGAAGGGAUGGUCCAUUGCUGCUCCGCCAUACUGGAUCUCAAGAUGUCAUUAACAAUAGGUCUCAAGAUGUCACUAACAAGGUGUCACUCUGAUACCGACAGGUCUACCACUUAGACAUAACACUUGCCAUAUAAAAAUUUCUCCUAUUUUUGCUAUUUCCUUCGUAUCUUGCAUUGAAUUAUUGCCAGCAAAUGAUAUUUCGAGUCAAAAAAGUAUAUUCAAUUAUUGCAUAUAUGCUCCUAGGUAAUUUGCACAAUUGAAUUAUAGCUGUUAUUCUACUUAUUUACACAAUUGAUUAAUUGUACGCAUCCAUUGCAAGACUUUCGCACUAGGUUUCAAUUUCAACCACAAAUCCUACCUCUAGAUAAAAAUGAUGUGGUCGUAGAGAUUUCGAAUGUAUUCACUUUGUGAUUAACGGAAGCAUUGCUUUCAUUUGUAAGACGUUAAAUCAUCAUUUUGGUAAAGGAAAAAGAAUGAAAAAAGCUGCACUAUUUUAAAGGCCAUUUGGUAUAUGACCACUUCCCAUUGGACUUGGAGACCGGGUAAUUUUGUCAUCUCCACUCCUAGAAUCUGCUCUCAUGCUACUUGCAUGGUUCCAUCUUUGAAGUCUGGUACUGUUUUGUUUGGAAAAUACCCCACUAUAAUAUCUUCACGAAGAAAAUUGAUCCCCGUUAACUAGCGUGAUUAGCUUAGUUUCUUAAAUUCAACGUUCGUUUGGUUAAUUGUCUGUUAGUUUUAGAAUUUUGAUUAGCCAAUAAAACAAUGAGUUUUAUUGUUUGAUAAGGCAAGUUGAAAUAAAUUCAAUCCUACUCACAGAAAAAUUUAAAUGACACAUAUCAUAAUCUUUUUCAUUUCUUCAGAAAAAUUAAAUCAUAAGAGGAUCACGAACAAUUUGAUGAUGCUCUGAAAUAUAGUCUUCUGUUUUUCAAGGAAAAAAUAAGGAAGUUAAAAACAUGUUUAUCAGGUUUUUCAGAGAUCAUUUUGACGUUUUUGUUUAAAAACAUGAAAAUUGUUCUUAUUCUCGUAAAACAGAAAAAAUUAUCUGGCCGGUUAGCUAAUUAUUCUUGUUCUUCUGUUCUUUUUUAUUUGAAUUGUUUCUCCCUUUUCCAUUCAUUUUUCACUAUGAAAUUAAUUACUAAUUAAUCUACAGUUAGUUUCUCUACAGCUAAUAGGAACGUGACUUAUGCCCGAAGACUCGCAUCUUUUUGAUUCAUUAUCUACAGUGCACUCACCUCCAAUCUAUGUAUAGGCAGACAUGCAUAUUUAUUAUAUCAAAUAAGUUAUUGAUGGAAAUUUCACUUUCGAAAUAGAGAAUUAUCCUUAAUUAAAUCUUAGUGGGCCUACAUUCGAGUAAGAUUUAAUGAUGUAUGAUUCAAAAUUAUUGAAAUCGGACAUUUUAAACAAGAAAAAAAAUAAAAAAUCUUGUUCUCUUUUUUAAAUAAUAAAUUUCAUUUUGAUGGAUUUUUAAUAUUAAAUUAGACAUUUGCUAAAUUGGCUCAAAUAUAAUAGAUCUUAGACCUUGCUUUUAAUGGAUUUAAUUGGGUUUUGGGCAUUUAAAUUAUACAACUGGAGACAGAAUUUAUAAAUAGAUAAGAUUCUAAUGUGAUUUUAAAAUAAAUUUGAACUUGAACUUGAACUUGAUGCAUUUAAUUAAUCCAGAAAGGUAAAUUUAUAAUUUCAACUUUUAAAUAAAACAUAUCCUUUGGAUUUUUUACAUAAACUAGAGGCAAUUGUAGAAUAUUUACUUGACUAGUGGUAUAUAUCCCAAAUUUUUUAUCCUAAGAAAUGCCACAUCAUUUGGUUGAUGAGGAUAAUAUAAUUAAUUCACGUAGAUAUUAUAAAAAAUUAUCAACCAAUCAAUGAAUAACAUAUCAAUUUCUUUUGUUGUCUUGAAAUCCCUACUAUUUGACUCAACAACAUUGGCAACAUUUAACUCAUUACUACUAGAACAAAAAGAUAUCAUAGACAAAGGAUUGCUAAUGCAAUUUAUUGACUCAUACUCUAAAGAUAGAGGUAACUCAACAACACAUUCAAUCUUGCGCUACUCAUGCACAAUAGCUCAUAUAGCCUAUCUUUAGUCACUCCUUUCACUAGGAUUUUCACUUGGCUAAAGCAAAUGGAUUUUUGAAGCACAACAUCAAUAUCAUUAUCAUGGAAAAAUUUUGAGACAUUAAUAAGGUUCUUAGUAACGCUAGGCACAGACAACGAGCUAUUUAGUUUAAUCUGUUUGUGCGGAUCAUAAGUGAGCAAUAUAGAGUAUCCAAUAUGAGAAAUCAAAAGUUUAUCACCAUUUCCAACAGUAGCUCAUCAUUACCUUGAUAUUCUAAAUUAAAGCUCAUGCUUUCAAUAGCACUGGUUACAUGAUUUGUAGCACCACUGUCAAGGUACCAAGCUCUAUUAUUCUCACCGUCAACUGCAACCACAUAUGCUCUUCUUGGAUCUCUUCUUCUAUUUGGCUGUGGAACUGAUAUGAACCCUAUUAAGAACUAACAUGACCCUAACCAAUUUAGUCUCUAAGAUUGAAACCAAUUUUUUUUUUUUUUAGAAGAGAUUGAAACCAAAUCUAAAAUUGAAUGGAACCGCGAUUUGAUCUCAAUGAAAGUACGAACCGUGGUAUGUGAUGACACCACAAUCAACUAUGGAUGAUCUGAUUGAUAAGUCAAGAGUUUGAAUGCCACAGAAAUUCGAUAAGUUCAAAGGGUUAGUUUAAGAACCAAAGAGAAUUAGCUUUCUCACCAAUUGCAUCAAAAUUGAUGUCUUUCUUAUUGGAUACAAGUACAUUAGAUAGGGUUGGUUUAUAAGAAUUUUAAGAAAUAAAUCCUAGACCAAAAUCAAAUCAGAAUCCUAAUUUAAAGCAAAUAAGGAAAGAAACUAAAUCAAACCAAAAUCCUUAUUGGCUUAAAUGCCUUGCAUCAAUUAAAAAUGGAAACUAGGCAAUUAAAAGAGAAAUAAUUGAUUCGUUUUGCCACUUGCCUACUCAAGAAAUGGGAAAGUAUCCUAAAAGGAAAGUAGUAUAUUUUCCAAACGAGAAAGCAUCUGAUAAGGUAAAUAAUAUAUUUUCUAGCCAUAAUGUGCAAACUAACUUGCUGAUUUCAUGGAAAUGAUUACGUGGAAACUUAAAAAGCCUGAAUCACGUAUUUAGUGGUUUGAAUAUCAUGUGCGAUUUUUUCAACGGGCCUCCACGAAUUUGAUUGAGCUCAAGUUGCUUAAAUCAACCCAUUAAGCGAUUUUUUGAAUUUCUUUGCACGAGCUCUUAUGAUGGGUCCAACAGGAACUUGAAUGGGAUCUGAAUAUACCUCAUCCCAUGUGCUUGUGACAGUUUUGUCCUCAAUCUCAUCAUUCCCCUCAUCUUGAAGAGGAUUUAUUCUCAAAUUGUCACAUGCAUCAAAAGAACUCAAAUUAAAAAAUUAAAAGUAGCACUUAUGUUGUACUUACCUGGAAAAUCCAGCUUGUGUGCAUUAUCAUUGAUCCAUUCUAAGACUUGGAAGGGCCAUCCCCUUGAGGCAAUAACUUGGAUUUCAUUUGUUCCAGAAAUCGUUCCUUGCGCAUGUGUAACUACACCCAAUCGCUGAGUUCAAAGACUCAUUGUCGGUGUGGAUCACGAACUCCUUAGGUCAUAGGUGCAAUUCAUCAAUCAUAUUAUUGUACAAAUUUAUUGUACUCGCAAGCACAAGAAUUUAUUGUAGAAUAGAUUUUAUGGUGGCGAGUGUCGAUCCCACGAGGAUGUAGAUUUAAUUUUGUGUAGGGUUAAUUUUCUAAAUGUAUAUGUGAGUAGGUUGGAAGUGAAUUUUUUUAAUCGUAAGAUUUAAAAUAAAAUGGCGGGAAUAAAUUAAAAAUGGAAUCAAUGCAAAUGAAACACUUAAGUCUCUGGAUUCAUACUCAACAUUCAUCAUCGGUUUAAUAUUUCCUUUUUAGUUCCAAUUAAUUCAUGAGAGGGUAUUUCCACUCCUCAUGAUCCUCAGUCUAAUAAAUAUCAUAUCAAGAGCUCAGUGUGCCAGAGGGUAAUGAUCUUCCACUAAGUGUGGUAUCAAAAACACGUUGUGCCGAUUGAUAAUAAUCCUUCUAUCGACAAGGUGGCAAGGCCAUCCAAUAAAUAACUUUGAUACACUCUCUGUCGAUAAUGAGUCAAGACAACCCAUAAAAUGUUAGAGGGGAACUUUCUCUCUAGUUAAUAUGGUGCUAAGUGCUCAUUAUGCCAGACAGUAACGAUCUUUCACUAGAGAGCCGGUAUACCGUGCAAAAUCCAGACAAGAUACACUGUCUGUCAACAAUUAGUCAAAACAACCACAGAAAUCAGAGAGGAAAAGAAAAUAAACUUACCUAAUUAAGCUCAUCGAUCGUGCUGAUUCUUCACCUUUAAACCAAGCUUGAAACUAAACAAGCCCUCAUAAUUAAACAAGGGGUAAAAUGGUAAUUUGAUUACAAUAUGUAAAAAACACAAGCUGGAGAGAGAAUUACAGAAAAUGAAACUAAAAAAUGGAUUGAGGGGUGUCAAAUUAGGGGGAGGAGCCCUCUAAUUAUAGAUACAAUAGGUAAAUCUAGACCAUCGGAUGAAAACAAUUCAGAUGCUCAGGAUUGUGUCACGUGGUAAAUUUUGAUUGGUUGGAACACAUCAUCAAUCAACACCACAUCAGCAUUUUGUUCAAAUAAGAUACUGCCACAUCAUCAGUCAAAGCCAUAUCAGUAUUUCAGUCCAAUAGCGUCAUGCCAUCGGUCAACGCCACAUUAUCAGUCAAUGUCAUAAAUUAGUUAAUGUCACAUCAUUGCCACAUCAUUGUUCAAUAAGAUGCUGCCACGUUAUCGGUCAAUGUCAUAUCAUCGGUCAAUGUCCGUCAUCGUAUCGUACAGGUGAACAAUGCCGUAAUUGUGAAUAGUAUCAUAUAUGUGAACAGUACUGUAUACGUGAACAGUGCCGUAAUUGUCAAUGCCAUAUCUCCAGUACUCAACACACUCCCCAACCAGCUUAUUGCUAGUCCCCAACAAAUUAAGCAAUGAAAUCUAGCAAAAUUCAAACUGAAAUAUGUUUAUUAAAUAAAUAAACUUUUCCAAAAAAUUGCAUUCACCCCAUUUGCUACUUAACCAUCAAACGAAAAUUCAACAAACUGUCUUUAGUGCUUGACAAUGUUUGACAUAAUGAUUAUGGGGUUCCGUCAAAAUAAAGCAAUAUUUUUAUUCUUACCAUCUCAUUCGAGUUUCUUCCAUAUGCACCAGGUUUAUUUAUAUUAUUUCUUUAACUAACUGUAUUCGUUUUAUGUGAACACUCUUUACUUAUUGAGGCAAAAGGCUCGGUUACUAAGAAAACGUUGGGUUGGACAAAUUGAACUCUCACCGUUCGACGCGACCACUCUAUGCUUACUGAGGCAGAUGACUCGGUUACUAAGUAAGAGUUCAUGCAAUUUUGAUCAUCUCUCACCGUUUGACGCGAAUACUUUUUGCUUAGUGAGGCAAGAGACCUAGUUACUAAGUGAGAGUGUCUAUUCUUUUUUUUUCUCUUUCUUUUUUUUUUUUUUUUUGGUAUAAUGACCAUCACCUUUAGAUCUAUAACCAAUAUGAUUUCGAAAUGUUAUUUGAUAAUGGUUAUAUCCAAUACUAAUCGUACAAAAACAAAAAUCCAUUAAGGAAUUAGAUUAGUCACGAUUUUCUUUUUAAUCAAAAACUCAUAUUUUGUCUUUUAAUAAAAGAAAACAUAACAUCAAUUUUUAUUGGCACUCUUGAUUUACUACUGCAGGAGCAUAUAUGUGCUACAAAAUCAUGUGUCCUCUAAUAUGCUUUCUUUUAUAUUUUUCUCACCACAUAACUUCAGAUGAGAGAAUCAGUUGAGCUAUUGAAGUUAUCUUUUGUGUGUGUGUGUAUUAAGCUUAUAUAUUAAAUUUUACCUCCUUCAGUGUCAUGAUCAUAAAAGAAAAUCACAGUCCUUUACAAUCCUUCAAAGAUUGACUUCUUUUACUAAAUAUAUUUAGUGAUAUUCGUGAUAUCAAACAUGUGAAUAUUAAUUAGAUUUUGGUAAUUCAAUAUAAUCAUAAAAAGAAUCAUUCAUCAAGAAUUCAACAAAAAAAUUCAGAUCAAUUAAAAGAGUCAAGUACAUAUAUAUGCUACUUAUAGUUCAUUCCUAUAUUUUAUUAUAUCAAACUAUUCUUGAAAAUUAUUAAUAUAAAAUAAGCAUGCAAAAAUUUGUCAUUAAAAGUCUAAGAGGUUGAAAAUAAAGCAAACGAAGUGAAGAAACUAUUCAAAGUAGAAACGAAUAAUUUUCUUUUAUUAAUGACCGCAUUUACUCAAAUACUUUUGAAUAUCAUAUUUUUUCCUUCAAAGAAACAAUUUUGCUUCAUAUGGAAAAGGAAAUUCGUAUGUAGCCUUACAUGAUUUAUACAUAAACUCAUAAUAUUUGUGUAGUCCUUCAUGAACAUGUGAAAUAUACACUUAUAUAGUGAAUCCUUCAUGAACAAGAUGUUAGUGAAUAACAUCAUAAUUUUGGAAUAGUCCUUCAGGAACAUAUUUUGAAAGAAAAUCUUGAUUAUGUAUAGUGAGAUCCUUAGAGAUGCAUUCUUAAUUUUCUUUCAUUAUAUAUUAUAAUAUUCAUACUUCAGGAUGAAUAUUUUGAAUUUCAAGAAUAGAAAAUAUAUAAUAGCAAUUGAAUAUUAUAAUAAGAAAAAUCAAACAAUAACAAAAUCAAUCAAUGGAACAUUAAAUAAAUGUUGGAAUCCAAAUCUCAUAAAAUAUAUGUAAUCAUUAAUAAAGGAAGUAAGGAACAACUUCAUAGAUCCAUUAUUCUUAAAUUAUAAAAAUACAUAAACAACAUAUGUAUAUGAUUUUAGACAUAUCAAGAUAGUUUAAUUCAUACCUUUGUGAGUAAGAUCAAAGGAGGGAUAUUAUCAUAUUACCUCUUAAUGGCUAGAGACUCGUGUUGAUAAUGUGUUAUAUCAUUUAUCAAUUGGGAGUGCAACAAUAUAGCAAGAGAAAUAAAGAAGGCAAAUAAGAGACACAAUGUCUAGAGGGGAAUUUUAUUCAAUCUCAAAUAUAUACAAAUAAGAAGCAAAUGCCUGCUUUUAUAGUGAUACAAGCAUAAAGUAGUAAGUAAUACCUCAUAAUUAUAAGAGAUGACAAUCCUCAGAUUAGGGAGAUAAUGAGAGUUAUAAAAGAUGGAAAGUUACUUGUGAGGAGAUCGAAGCUUGCUUUGAUGAACAUCUCAUAAUAUACAUUUACUUUUAAUUUAUUUUUAAGGCUAAUUGCUUAAUUAGCUUCUUGUGUAGUAGAUUGAUUAAUGUGCCCAAGAAUAUUGUUGAUGCUAUUAUUUGAAAAGCAAAGCAAAAUAAGGCAUAAGUGUCACAUGUUCAAUAGCAGGGAUGUUUUGAGGCAUUUCUUAAAAUAAAAAGACUAAGUAGAUCUUUAGCUCAAAAUUCAGGGAUUAAGCAAGCAUUCAUCCUAUUGAAAAGCAAAGUAAACUAAUGUAACCAUAAUUGAAUAUAAAGUUAACUCUUCUAUGGAAUUAUAGAGAACAAAAGAAGGAAAAAUAUUAUUCAAAUUCAAGAUAAGAAGGUAGUUUAUUAACGGUCUAAGUUCAAAAUUUUAUUAAUUUCAGACCUUUUUUAAAAUUUGCUUAUUUGUUUUUUGUAACUUAUGUUUGAUUUUUAGAUAUUUACAUUUGAAUAGAAAAAGUAAGUUGUUUUAACUUUUAUCUAAAUAGAAAAAUGUCUGAAUGAUUAGUAAAUAUUAUAUUCCAUAAAUAUCUCUAUAAAAUAACUUAUUUCCUAAUCUAUAAAAUAGAAUCCUUUUUUUUUUAUUUUGAUUUACAAGGACGUAAAUGUCAAAGAGCUAAGUUUAAGAUGUUUUUUAUUAUAAAAAAAAAAUAAGAUGCCACUUACAUUCAGAUAUUAAAAAAUAAAAAAUAAAUAUGUGAUUCAAAUUUUCGUUUUCAGACCCAUUCAAACUUGAAAAAAAUUUAGACACAUUCAAAUUUCAGACAAAAAAGACAAAUGCUACUUAAAUUUUUUUCGCUUUGCAACUGUCCACUGCUACACCAAAUAAAAAAAGAUUUUCAAUUUGGAAUUAUGUUAUCCAACAUAUGAAGACAAUUCUUCCUUUAAACGAAUCUUUAUGAUUGUUUUCUGAACGAAUAUUGCUCUAAAUUAAAAUAUUUUAGAACAAAAAAUAGUUGAUUGCCAAAUGUACAAUAGGUACAAUUUUCUUUUUUCAGCUCUCUUUUGGAAGAGAAAUAUGACGUCCUUUAUAAUUAUUAUUUCUUGAAAGAAUACAAACUUAAAUUACUGGCUUUUUAUUUGUAAAAUCAUAUAAAAUAGACUCUUUUAAGGAAAAUAUCUCAUACCGGAGAUAAUAAUUUCUGGACUAAGAAUAUAAACUUAAAACAGCACUACUAUCAAACUAUCUUUAAAAGAGUUCCUUGAUCAAAAGAAUUUAUUUAUCAUUUUUCACAAUUUAAAAAAAUAAAAAAAAAUUACAUAGAAAUAAUCGGAAGAUUUCCUAAAUAAGCAUCAAAUAAAUGCUAAUUUAUUGCAUGAUACUUGGAAGAAACCAUAAAUAAAAAUUAAGGAUUUAUAAUUUUAAAGACAAGCUGGGAGUUUAAAUUUUCUUGCCAUCUUGAGGGAGAAUAAUAAGACCGAAAUAAUAUUGAUGAAACAAAAUAAUCAAUCAAAUAUUUGAUUGUCUUCAUCUUAAUCAGUGAUUAAGAAAAAUUGGUUGUUAAUUAACAUAAAAAUUGAUUGACUCAAUAUUUACUAAUAGAUCAUUAUUCCCAAAUUAUGUUAAUUAUAUAUAUUUCAAAUACUUAUAAGAAUUGAGUUUGCUUACGGUUUAUUAAAUAUAGUCUCUUAAAAGUUUUCAUGUGGCCCAUACAAAGCUAACAUUACUCUGUUAUAGCAUUUCGGGCAUCCAACAAGAUCCUCUUCUUCACUUAUUGUUAGAACUAGAGCUAACAAAUUAAUUACUUAAUCACGGCUAAGUUUGGAAUUAAAAAUCAAACUAAAUUAUCUAAUUGGUUGAGUUCGGUUUCCGUUUGUAUGGGCCACAUGAAAUUUUUUCUCUCAUCUUCUCUCGUCUGCUAAUCGCAUCUUUCUCUCUUUCGACUCUCUAAUUUCUCUCUUGGAUUUGGUUACCAAGCACAUAAAAUUGAAGCCACCAUCUCGCUCAUAACAAACAACUAGUCGGAUCCAUCAAACUGUUGCUGUCAUCUUGAGCCAUUCAAGUAACUUGAACACAUCAUCUUCUCGUAAAUUCUCUUUCAUUUUCGAAUUAAAGACAAGGUAAGGAUGUAAUCUUGACUUUUGUGUUUUUGGUGAUGACUACAGAAAAUGCUAUAUGAAACAAUUAGGGAUUUAUGUGCUAUAUAAUAAUAAUAAUAAUAAUAACAACAACAACAACAACAACAAGUAGUCAUUUAUGAAUUUUGAGUGAAAAAUUAGGGAUUUAUGUGCUUCUUCUUCUUAUUAUUAUUAUUAUUAUUUUCCCUAUAUUAAACAAGUAGUCAUUUAUGAAUUUUGAGUGAAAAAUUCACUCGGCUGUGGCAGAUUUUGUGCCUUACAAGUAGUUGAUUUCACGCAUUCAUCAUCACCAUUACUAUGUUCAUUAUUAUUUGCUAUUGUUUUUUACUUUUUCUGCUGUUAUUGAUUAAAUUGACAUUAAAUUUAUGUCUUGUCCAUUACAAGACUUAACAAUAUAAUCCAGUUGUAACAUGGACACUACAGAUGAUACAAGUGCGCAAGACCUAGUCAGAGAGCGUAGUACACUUUUUGUAAGUAUAAAUUAAUUGAUAUCUUUCGAGUUGUUAUGUUAGCAACCAUUUUAAAAAGACUCAAUUAGACAUUUAGACCGGGCUGCAGUUCUGGCCUCAUUUUGUCCUGAAGCUCAGCCAUGAUCCUGCCAAAUUUUUGGAGCCAUUCUAGCCACAUUUUAUCUUACUAUUAUGUACCACAUUUACUUUUGCGAUCUUCGAGACUGCGACUGGGUCAAACAUAUCCUCAAGCUCCGCUUUAACCUUACGAAAUUUGUGGACCCAUUUUACCUUCACGUGAUUGGUAUUACUAUUUUUGUGGACAAGGCCACGUUGCAGUUGCAGACUCUGUAUGCAACAGCUCAGUCCAAACUGGCCUUGCAUCAGCUGAGUUCCAACAGCUUUUCCCCUCUCCUGCAACGCGUGGAUGCUCCUUGUUUGUCUUCUCAUCUGCAAUUAUUUUCUCUGUGGACCCAUUCGUGCACCCACGUUUCGAAUAUUCAAUUUAACCGUAGCCGUUCAUCUUACAUAACUAUGUGUACGAUAAAAAUUCCGCCGUCGAUCCGUUAGAUGUAAGCACCAAUCAGGCAUUAGUUUUCUAAUAAGACGUUAGUGACUUUAUUUCUUUUAUUAGCUCAUAUUCAUCCAUGUGUUUAUCAUUCCUAGCUAAUUUGAUUAUUUAAAAUAACAAUGAUCCAUCAAUAAUUUUAUUCUUCGACCGGCUAAAAUGAUUUUUUUUAUUAUUAUUUUCAUGAGGAGGUCUCAAUAAAGUUGAAAUAAAUAAAUUUUAGUCUUUGUCUCACACUUACAUAAACAAACGAAAAAAUUAUAAAAUUAUAAAAAAAUUAAGAACCAUUGUCAAUUAUGUAAAUUCAAAUAUUUAAACAAUCAAAAUUUCAUCACCUUGAGUUGAAGUUUUCUUUUCUUUUAUGUGUUAGAAAAUAAACUUUUGAUGGAAUAAUUUUUUUUUUUUAAAUUUUGGGAACUAGAAAUUCAUUUUUAAAAUCAUUUUUUUAAAAAUGACAUUGGGAAUUAGAAAUUUUCAUUUCCAAGACUAUCUUUCAUUGGCUAUGUCCAAGACGAAAAAGACUAAAAGGAACUUUUGUAAUUUACAAAAUUAUUGUAGCAAUGAGAUGCGAAAGAAAAGACUGCAGUUGAUAAUUGCGGUUAGUUUUCCCCUGUAAUCAAUUAUUGGCAUCGGAUGGGAAACACGUAAUUCGUGUAAUUGAUAUAAAGCAAUCUUUGAUGAACUUGACCCACUUAACAAGGAUCAAUACAUUCAGAAAUGAAUUCCACUCACCAAUUGAGAUACUAGUAUUAAUAUUAUAGGGAUUUAUACUGCUCUAAAGACAAUGUUACAGAGAAGCUGCUAUUACUCUCAUGACUCUCAAUCUAAAAGUUCAAUACAAGUCUAAAGACCUAAUUGCUCUGAUACAAGAAAUCAGUCCAGUCUUGUAUUACUAAACUUAUUAGCAGAUUUUUGGCUCCCAGCUAGCACAUGGGUAGCACCUGUAACGCUGCAUCAAUUAAUAAAACUGAUUUACCAGAAUUUCCAGCCCCUAGACUUUGCAUCAAUAAUUCACAGGUUGCAAAUUAUUCAAUUUGCAGCUCACAAGCAUGUUUAGAAAAAUGAAACCUAUACAAUAGCAUAUAAAGUGUCUGAUUGCAACAUGUUGUGCAAUGCAAAAAAUAAGAUGCAUCAUGUUGUGCAAAUGCAAAUAAAAAUCAGUUACAAUAUAAUGAACAUUAACAAUCUUGCUGAAAGUCAGAAUGAGAUUAUUUGAAUUUCUUCUAAAGAUAUUGGAUUAUAUAAAUAAUCAGUUAACACUACAAGAAAAAACAGAAUAUUUGACAUUUUUUAUUUGACAAUUUUUAAGAAAUAUCAAAUAUAUAUGACAUUUUGUGAAAAAUUGAGUAAUUGUGAUAUAAAUGACAAUUUAUUUAAACGUCAAAUACUUAUGACGUUUGACCAAAUAAGUGGCAAAUAUAUUAUAUAUUUAUUGAAUAAUUACUAUUUGCUUUUCCCUUUUAUUGACUUAAGAAAAAAAAAAAAAGGCACUAGACUGCCGUUGUUUCGUUCUUAGAACAUAUUUGUUUCUUUUAAGAAAAUUCAAACUCGUUCCCCUUUCUUUCUUUUCAAUAAUCACCUCGCAUUUUUUAUCAAUCACUCAAUUUCGAAUUUCAUCUCCAUCCUCUCUCAAAGAAGAACGCACAAAGAAUUUCAGCUUGCUUUAGCCUCAUUUGCUUCUGGAAUUUCAGGUAUUGUUUCCUUUAAGUUUGAUAAUUUUUUUCUACUUCUCUCUUUCUGGUUUGAUAAUUUUAGGGUUAUAGUUGAAUUAUUUGUAUUUUUAAACAAUCUAGGGUUGAUUUAAUUGAUUCCAAGUGUCGUAUCUGUUAUGCUAUUUGAAUGCACAUUACUUGUUUGAUGAAAUGUCUCUUUAAAAGAUUAUUUUUGUUUUUAACAAGCAUCUUAUUGAGAUGUUUCUUGUAAUAAUAUUAACAUAAUGCACUUAGCUUCAAUUUGGUCUGUUUAAUACAUUUUAACAAAGGAAAAUUACAGAACUACAACAAUUCUCAAAUUUCUAGCAAAUUAAAAGUAAUGUUAUUGAUUUUUAUUAAUUAAUGAGAUUUUUAUUUACUGAGUCUGUAAACUCACUCUAAGAAGUGAAGUGAUUAUUGUUUCAAUUUGGUCUGUUUCAUACAUUUUCAUUCUCAUUAUAUAUGACAGUCAUCUCUCAUUUUUUUCAUCAAUCACUCAAUUUUAAAUUUCAUCUCCCUUCUCUCUUUUGAAGAACCCACGAAGAAGUUCAACUUGCGUCAGCUUCAUUUGCUUCUUGAAUUUCAGGUAUUUUUUCUUUUAAUUUUGAUAAUUUUUUUUAAUUCUCUCUUUCUAGUUUGAUAAUUUUAGUGUUAUACUUAAUUAAUUGUAUUUUUAAUUGAUACUAAGUCUUAUAUCUGUUCUCUUUCAACAAACAAAGAACGCACAAAUAAUUUUCACUUUCAUUCUCAAUUUUGAAAGAAUCAAUUUAUUUUAUUCAUAACAUCUGUUAGAUUCUUGACAAACAAUCACAGAGAUACAGUAGUAGAAACUAUAUUAGACACACUCUAGUUGCUUAAUUAGUAAAAUUGUGAUCUCAUUGCCUUAUUUUUUGGGGUUAAUUCUAUAAUUUUAUCAGUUGUUUUUGUGGUUGCAAACAAUAUCAUUUUUUAAUAUUAAUAAAACUAAAUGAAUAUUAUGUGAUGCAUUUGCAAGAAAGUUAAUAAUUUAAAUAUGGAUAAAUCUUAGAUGUUGAUGGAUAGAAGGUCUAUAGAAUAUGAAAAUGGGGUAAAUGAGUUUCUCAAGUUUGCAAUACUUCAGCCACUCGGCCUUUGGCCGAGUGGUGAGAGCUGCUGCUCUCCAACUUGGAGAGCAGCAGUUCGAACCCCCUGAGAGCUGCUGCUCUCCAACUGGGAGAGCAGCAGUUCGAACCCCCACAAUGUAUGUGGGGGUGUUUCCUUCCUCAAAUAAAAUUGAGUAAAGGCAGUCUGCUUCCUUGCCCCAGUGCGAGGAGUAGACAUCCCUCGAAUAUUUGAGAGGGUUAAAAUCUGGGCAGCGCUCCAUUAGAUUUGAUGUAUGUUGGUCCCAGUUAUAGUCUGAUUUGUACAUAUCAGUUAUAUUCUCAUGUAAUAUGAGUUGUAAUCUGAGCAAUAGUCUCAUGUAAUAAAAAAAAAAAAAAGUUUGCAAUACUUCAUGCUAGUAAUCCUGAACUUUUAAGAUGUUCAUGCCAAGCAUGUGGUAAUUUGGUCUUUCAUGUACCUGCUGAGAUAAGAAAUCAUCUUUAUUGGAAAGGUAUUGACCAAAGCUAUCAGACAUGGACUUGGCAUGGAGAAGGAGCUUCUAGUAGACGACCAUCAAAUGUAAAAGCUUCAUUUGAUGGCAGUCAACAAGAUGAUGAAGCUGGUGAUACAGUAGAAAUGGUUAAUAAUGCAUUUGACACUUGUAAUGGUGACCCUAAGUCUUUUGAAACUCUACUUAAAGAUGCUGAAAAACCUUUGUUUCCUGGCGGUGUGAAAUUCACUAAGUUAUCUGCCUUAAUAAGGCUUUACAACAUAAAAGGAAGAAAUGGAUGGUCAGACAAAAGUUUUUCAGAUUUACUAAGUUGUUUAUCAGAUAUGCUUCCUGAUAAAAAUGAAAUACCUUUAUCUAUAUAUGAAGCAAAGAAGAUUAUGGUUGCAUUAGGCUUAGAAUAUGAAAAAAUACAUGCAUGCCCCACUUGUGGAAUGUCAAGAUGGAAGAGUCCCAAGAAAAGUAAGGGAAUUCCUGCUAAAAUCUUAUGGUAUUUUCCUCCUAUACCAAGGUUUAAGAGGAUGUUUCAAUCUCCUUGAACCGUAAAAGACUUAACUUGGCAUGUCAAUGAAAUGGUGAUUGAUGGCAAACUACAUCACCCAUCUGACUCACCGUCAUGGAGGCUAGUGGACCAAAAAUGGCCAGAUUUUGCUGCAGAAGAAAGAAAUCUUCGGCUGGCUAUUUCUGCAAAUGGGAUAAAUUCCCAUAAAAACUUAUUGCAGAUUUUACAGGGAAAUGUGGUUAAAAUGAAGUCUAUGAAUUGAAGGAGUGACAAAUAAAUAUAGUUUUUUUGUCUUUUGAUGUCAGUUUAAUGAAAAAGAUACCUAUAAUGAAGAUGAGAUCAACGAAAUUCGCUCUGAUUGGACCACUUAUGUUAGUGACUUGAUUUGAAAAAAAAAAUACAAAAGAGACAAGUAAUGCAGGUAAAUAGCAUAUGAUUAAAUUGAAGUACAUUAGUUUAUUGUUAAUAUUUUUCAUGCAUAGAUUUUUCCUUCUCUUUGUGCAUAGAUAUCUUAUACUUUCAUUGCAUAAGGCAACUAUAUCAUCUAGUUGGAUUUAUAAUAAAAGCUCUCAGUUAAUUCAAUCAAAAUUUGUCAAUGCCUUACUGGUAACCAUGACUUACUUUUUUCGCCUUUCCUUAAACAGUAACAGUAGUAUAUGGCAGUAAUUUUGGUUUCUUGAUGUGUAGGGCUAUGUCGCGGAGUUAUAUAGAUCUCAAGACCAAGACACAUUUACAAUCAAAGAGGAUAUAAGGGUUAUAAAAUAUCAGAUCUAUUGGGUUAAUGGAAAUUUAUUUAAAAGCUUUUCCUUUUGUAUGUACAACGCUGCCAUGGAAAACUUUUGGACCGAUCGUGGAAUGCUAACUGUAGGCUCAAUGUAUAGUUUUAGAAACAACAUCUUAUUUUAGAUUUAUACUUAAGAAAUUUGAUACAUUUAUAUGUUAAUAUGAAUUCAGGUUUCCUAUGGUUUAUUAUGGUGUUUGAAGUUAGUUGAAAAUUUUUGAAUUUUAUCAGGUUUCAAUGUUAUAAUAUAUAUAAUGUGCAGCCCAAGACAAGGAAUUUCACUAUUGUAAUUUUCUUUUUUAAAAAAAAAUUAUAAUAUUUGAUAUUUUUAUCAAGUCAUUUGCAUUUGAGCAUUUUGAAUAAUGUCACAUGCAUACGACUAUUAUUAAGUGUCAUACACAUUUGACAAUCUUAUAUUGUGAAAAAUACUUGAUUAUUAUGAAUUGACAAAAAUAAAUGACAAUUUUGCUAAAUGUCAAAUAAGCAUAUUUGACACAGGAAUAUUUGGCACUUUUUAAUUGUCAAAUAUUCCUUUAUUUGACAGUUUUUAAAUAUCAAUUAUUCUCUUUUUUGUUAUAGUGUAAUUAAAAGGUCGUUAUUAGUUUCUCCACGGAUCACAAAGAUUGGCUUCUUAAUUUUAUUUGCACAUAUAAAAGGGCUCAUCUCUAUGUAAGUGCCGGUAGCCUAGCUCCCAAUGAUUCCUGAAAUCGUUCCACAUGAAAGACAUUUAUGGAUCAAAUUAAGAUACAAAUGAGCUAAGGAGUGUUAAUGCAUUCAUUAAUUAUUCAAUUUCUUAUCUAAAGACUAAGAUUCUUUUAGUUUUUAUUCUAUCAAUUUAUUAUUGCAUAAAACAGUUGCGGUUGAGUAUAUUUGAACUCAUUAAAUCACCCCCUAUAUCCUAAAUCAAUAAAUAAUUUUAUUGCAAAAUUAAUGAAAAACCCUUUUAAUUUCUUGAAUACUAGAAUAGUAAAAUUACCAUUGUAGAUGGAGGAUAAAUCUUUAAAACUGCCUUAACACAUCUCAUUUGUUUAUACACACACAAGUUAUUAAACAACCAUCGAUGUUGAACCAGAGUGUCAAACUUAGUUUCUGAUUGUCAAAUUCUUCCUAUUAGACAUCUAAAUCGUUUUGCAGUCAGUAACAUAGUCACAAAAUCAAAUUAGUGGGGGACUAACAUAAAAUAUAAAGAAAAAAAAUUUACCAUGUUCUUUAUCUAUUUUUCUAAUUUUUUUAGCAUUCAUCCUUACAUAUGUCUUAAUAACAUGUUUAGUUUGAAGAAAUAAAAUAAGAGGAGAUGACAGAUAAGGAGAAUGGGGAAAAUAAAUAAGGAAAAAAGAGAUGAAUUAUAUAUUAAAUUAAACGAUAAAAUUGAGAAUGAUCCUAUUUUUCCCUCGUUUUCUGAUCAUCUACUCUAAGGAACCAGAACUUUAAGGGAAGGCAGCCAAAUCGUAAAGAUUGAAGAGCAUGAAUUUUUGUUCUCCUUUUUAAAUAAAAAAAUUUCAUUUCAAUGGAUUUUUAUUAUUAAAUUAGUCUUUUGCUAAAUCAGGACAAAUAUAUUAGAUCUUAAAUAUUAUUUUUAAUGGAAUUAAUUACGUUUUGGGCAUUUAAAUUAUGAAAUUGGACGAGAUUUGUGUGUAAUUUUAAAAUAAAUAUGACCUUGAAUUUGAUGCAUUUAAUUAAUCCAAAGCGGCAAAUUUAUAAUUUCAACUUCUAAAUAAAACAUAUCCUUUGAAUUUUGUCGGUGGUUUCUAUUGUAGAACACUAGGGAAAAACAGUUGUGCAAUUGUGGUACCAUGCCACAAUUACAUCUAGCCGUUGGAUUUAAUAGACCCCAUCCAUUUAAGUGGAUCCAACGGCUGGAUGCAACUGUGGCACGAUACCACAGUUGUACCGUAGCCGGACCCAGAACACUAAUAAUAACUGACAAAUCAUUGUAGUAACUAUAAAUUUAAUAUUUAUCCUAUAAUUAUUUUAUUACGAUCAAUGUCUAACCGUGGCGCUGUUCCAACGUAGUCACGCCGUUGGAUUUUUUAGACAGACCAGAGGCAACUGCUCCCACUAUUCUCUUAGUGGCUUUGCCACUAAUCGCAUUCUGGCCACAUUUUAUCUUUUCUAUUAUGCACCAUAUUUAUUUUUGCAAUCUGCGAGACUGCGACUAGGAUAUGCAAUUGCUCAAUUAAUCUCCACACCAUCCUUUCUGUUUCGCCUAUACUCAUGUUGCCUACGUUUCUGUUAGGCCACAAGAUGAUCUACUUCAGAAAAAUUUGUCAGUAUUGAUUGGUUUGGUCAUAACAUUUGCUAGAUUCUCCUUCGUAUGGAUUUUCUGUAAAUUCAUACUUUCGUGUUCCACUACUUCUCGAACGAAGUGAUACUGAACUCCUAUGUGUUUUGUCCUAGAAUGAAAGGUUGGAUUCCUUGCAAUAUGUAAGGCACUCUGACUGUCACAAAACACAAGAUUUUUCUGUUGUUUGUGCCCGAAUUCCUCCAAUAACCUUUGUAUCCAAACAGCUUCCUUGCAAGCUUGUGUAGCUGCCAUGUACUUUGAUUCCGUUAGAUAAUGCCACAACAGUUUGCAGUUUCGAAACCCAGCUUACAGCUGCUCUCGCAAGUGUAAACACAUAGCCAGUAGUGGAUUUUCUUUUAUCAAGGUCUCCUGCAAAAUCUGAAUCCAUAUAGCCCCUGACAGUAAACUCUGAUCCUCCAUAACAUAAUGCAACAUCUGAGGUUCCUCUAAUGUAUUUCAGAAUCCUCUUCACAACUAUCUAAUGCUCUCCACUAGGAUUCGCCAUGUAUCGAUUGACUGCUCCCACUGCUUGUGCAAUGUUCGGUCUAGUACAUAUCAUAGCGAACAUCAAACUUCCCACUGCUGAUGCAUACGGGACUCGAGACAUUUCCUUCCUCUCUGCUUCAUUGCUAGAACACAUAUUUAAGGAUAACUUGAAAUUAACAGAAAGUGGGGUAGAAAUUGACUUACAAUCUUGCAUGUUGAAGCGUCGCAAGAUUUUCUUCAAGUAAUUGUUCUGUGAAAGCCAAAUCUUCCUAUUAUUUUGGUCUCGGUGAAUUUGCAUCACUAAAAUCUUAUUUACUGGUCCCAAGUCCUUCAUUUCAAACUCCCAACCCAAUUGUGCCUUCAAUUCUUGGACUCAAUCUUUUUUUAGGCUUGCUAUCAACAUGUCAUCCACAUACAACAACAAAAUGAUGAAAUUAUUAUCUUUAAACCUCUUGUAAUAUACACAAUGGUCUGAACUGAGUCAAUUGUAUCCAAGGCUCAUGAUGAAGGAAUCAAAUCUCUUAUACCAACACCUCGGUGCCUGUUUGAGAUCGUAUAGAGAUUUGUUCAACCUGCAAACCAAGUUUUCCUUUCCUGUUUCUGCAAAACCUUCUGGUUGGAGUAUAUAUAUUUCUUCUUCAAGUUCUCCAUGAAGAAAUGCAGUUUUCACAUCUAACUGCUCAAGAUGUAAGUCAAAUGUAGCACACAUCUCCAAGACUACUCUGACUGUUGUGAGUCGAACCACCGGAGAAAAUAUUUCGUUAAAGUCAAUACCUUCUUUUUGAGCAUAUCUUUUCACCACCAAUCUUGCACGAUACCGCUCCACUUGAUCAUUGCCAUCACGUUUGAUCUUAUAGACCCAUAUGUUUCCAAUGGUUUUUCUUCCGUGUGGUAGUGGUACAAGUUCCCAUGUCUUGUUCUUAUGUAGAGCUUCAAUUUCUUCCUGCAUUGCUGUCAUCCACAAAGCAACAUCUGGGCUAUUUAAAACUUCAUGAAAAGUUGAUGGCUCUCCAUCCUCUAUUAGAAGACAGUAUGCAACGUUGAUCUCUAUGACAUACUCCGAGUGCCACGCCGGCGGUCGUCUCUUACUAGUUGAUCGACGAACUUCUGGAGCCCGACUGGUUCUUAUUGGUUGUACUCUGGUGCUGCUUCAGAAGAAUCUGAAUCUUCUCCCCCCAAAUUAUUUUUUACAUAUAUCGGUACAGUUUUUGACUUUUCUUUUACAGUGAUAUCAUCCCCAUCUCUCAUUUGCAGUUGAUCUUCUACAAAGAUAACAUUUCUGCUGAUGACGAUCUUGUAGGCAGUGGGGUCCAACAAACGAUACCCCUUUACUCCAUCAGCAUAUCCUAAAAAGAUACAUCUUUUAGAUUUUGGAUCCAGCUUUGCUCUUUCUUGGGCAUUGUACAUCACGUACACAGGACAUCCAAAUGCAUGUAGGUAGGAGUAAUCAGCUGACUUUCCAGUCCACAUCUCCAUCGCUGUCUUCAGCCCAAUUGUUGUGGAUAGUGACUGAUUUACUAUAUAACAGAUAGUUUUGGCUGCUUCUGCCCAAAGUGAAUUAGGUAGACCAGAAGUUCUCAAUAUAACUCUUAUCUUUUCUGUAAGAGUCAUGUUCAUCCGCUCUGUCACUCCAUUUUAUGUAGGAGUGUAUGCUACCGUGAACUACCUCUGAAUGUCUUCUUGUUUACAGAAAGUAAGAAACUUGCCGUCUGUAUACUCUCCACCAUUAUCUGUCCUCAAGCACUUGAUCAUUUUGCUAGAUUCAAGUUCAACCUGCGCUUUGUACUGUUUGAACACUGGAAAUACAUCUGAAUUUUUCUUAAUUGGAUACACCCAACAUCUCCUGGAAUAAUCAUCAAUGAAAGUCACCAUGUACUUUGCACCUCCUAUAGAUAUGUCUGGUGAUUCCCAAACAUCAGAAUGAACCAAGUCUAGAAUACAUUUACUUCUGGCAACAGAUCUGCUGAAUUUUAAUCUAUUAUGCUUACUUGUAAUGCAAUGCUCACAGAAUGGUAAACUUACCGAUUUGAGCGCUCGAAGUAAUUUCCGUUCAGAGAGAAUCUUUAAACCUUGCUCCGACAUAUGGCCAAGCUUGAGAUGCCACAUCAUCAUCAAAUCUUCUCCAUUUAAUGCGACACACGCAUCAGCUUCCUUUAGUGUUUCACCUUUAAGCAUGAAUAGAUUUGCACCGAUCUUUUUUGCCUUCAUUAAUACAAGCGCGCCUUUAACAAUCUUCAUGAUCUCAUUUUCUACAUGAGUUUUAUACCCAUGACUAUCCAUUUGUCCUAAAGACAAUAUAUUCUUUCUCAAGCCUUUGACAUGUUGUACCUCCUCAAUUGUGCGAACUAUACCAUCAAAUAUUUUUAUUUUGAUUGUACCAAUACCAACGAUCUCCAAGGCAUGAUCAUCACCCAUAUAUACAGAUCCUCCUGAGAUAGGUUCAUAUGUGUGGAACCAUUCUCUCCGAGAGGUCAUGUGUCAGGUGGCUCCUGAGUUUAUAAGCCAGACGUAAGAUAGCCGUUUUCUGCCUUCUGAAACAGUUGUUGCCUCGUUGUAGAGAAUUUCGCCAUCAUCCGAGGUACUUGAUACACACCCGUGAGCAUUUGAUGACUCAGGUUCUUUGCCUUCUCUUCUCUUCUGGUUGUUCCAACACUCUUUCUUGACAUGCCCUUUCUUGCCACAGUUGUAGCAUUUAACAUUCUUCUUAUUUCUGGAUUUUGAUCUAUCAUGAUUGUGACUCCCACUUGGGCCAUGUUCCGUUGAUUUCGCUCUCGUCACCAAUAGCGCUUCUGCUUGCUGCGAACUCGCCAGUCUGUCUUCCUUGUUUUUCCACCUGCUCUCCUCAUUUAAUACGGAGGCUGCAACAUCAUCAAAAACUAGACUGUCCGCUAGAUUGUUGUUCGUCAGGUUGAUGAUGAGUUGAUCAUACGAAUCUGGUAGACUUUGAAGUAGAAGCUCUGCACGUUCAUUUUUCGCUAUAUUAUGAGCCAAUGUUGUGAGUUGUGAAAAUAGAGUCUUCAAGGUAUUGAUGUGGUCGGUCAUCGAUGUAGAAUCCGCCAUUCGAAGAGUAUAGAGUCUCAUUUUUAAGAAGAUCUUAUUGUGCAGCGACUUGGCCUCGUACAAUUUUGUGAGAGUAUCCCAUAUGUCCUUCGCUGUCUUUUUCUCUGCCACACUAGAUAAUACUCCAUCUGCAAGUGCCAAGUGUAGAUCAGAAAUGGCGUUGCCGUCUAUCUCGUUCCACUUGUCAUCAGUUAUCUUCAUGGGUCUUUCUCCAAUUGCUGCCAAACAAUUAUUUUUCCUCAAUACAACUUUUAUCUUCAUUUUCCACAACGAAGAAUUAUUUCCGUUGAACUUCUCAAUUUCGUGUUUUGCUGCCAUCCCGGAUCGGAUCUCACCAUUUCACGUGAACAGUAACCGUAUACGUGAAUAAUACCGUAUACGUGAAUAAUAAUGUAUACGUGAACAAUACCCCCGACUCUAGAAAAUACAACCAAUAGCUUUGAUACAACUGUUGGGGAAUUGAUGGGUGAAGUAGGGCCACAGCUAAAAUGAAAUUGGAAAAAAAUAAAGAACAAGCACAAAAAAGGACACUAGAAAAUUAUGUGAUUCGCCUUUUAGUCUACGUUCACAGGCAAAGACAAAAUGAUAAUUUUUCACUAUAUAGGGAGAAUUACAAGUAUUUUGAGGUAAAUUUCUCACUACCCAAAACUCAAUUUAUUACGCCCACACUCUCAUAUAUAAAUAUGGAAAACAAAUGCUUAUAAAGAGAAACUUAAUUUUCUCUCUUUUAUAAGCUCUCGGAUGCGCUUAAAAUGGGAUGCAAAACUCAUUUGCAUGGCUCCCCCUUUAUAGCCAAUUGUUGGCUAACAAAUUUCACAAGUUAGGUUUGGCAGCCACCUAACUCAACCACCUCCAUUUCAUUUUGUCCAUGGUUGGCAAUUACCAAAUCAAAAUGUUAAUGACGGCACCCAUUUUUCUUCCUUUUUUUUUUCCUUUUUUCUUCUUCCUCUUUUGUCUUCUUUCUUCUUUUCUUUGCCGUUUCUGGUGGGGCAUUGACAUUCCUGGCAAUUGCAAAUUAAAUUUUAUUAUUGAUAAGACAAAAAUAUAUUUUUAAAUUAAAUUAUUAGUUCCAAAAUAACUCACAGAAAAAUUAUACCAAAAAAAAAGGCGAAGGAUUUAUGCAAGAGUAAGCAUCCCAAAUUCAUUUUAUUUCAAAUUUCAUCCCAAAUAUAUAUAACAUGUGAUAUGUUAUUAAUUAAUUAGUUGAUAAUUCUUUAUAAUAAUUGAAGUGAAUUAAUUCUAUUAUCUCAUCAUCCAGUUGAUGGAUACCACAUUAUUUGAGAUAAAAAGUUUAAGAUGUAUAGUACUACUACUAUGAGAUUAUGCAAUUCACCUAUAGACUUUGACGUGAAACUUUGGUCCUUUGCUCCUCCAUGAGAAUUUUCAACAUUAUUAUUUAAGAUUAGUACAAUUAGCACUGGAAUACAAAUCAAGAUUGAGGUGAUGUGGUUAAUUACAAAUGAAUGAACAAGCACAAAAACUAUGAUCAGUUACCACUCAAUACGCAAUUGGAAGUGUAAUUAUUUGGUGAAGAUGAAUCUGUAGAGCAAUUUAUGGGUAUGUUCAUCUCAUCACUCUUAACGACUUCAGAUAAUACAUCCGCCACAGCAACUAGAAGUUGAGCUUCCACUAUUACGAUAGUUGAAUUAAAUUAUUUCUAACAACUUGGGGAAAAAACAAACAAGAUUAGUAUAAGGAUAUGAGAAUAUUGUGUCUAAAAAGGAAGAAAUAGAAAGUCUGGGAACAGGAAAACUCAUUUUUCUGCCAUUCACUGUCUUCUCUCAGGUAGAAACCUCUACCUCUUUAAUAUCAGCAAACAAAUAAAGAUCAACAGCAGGAACAAUAAACGAUAAAAUUUAUGCUAUUAUGUAAAUUAAAUGUUCAUUAAAUUCAUUACCCACAGUAUCAAAUAAGAUAUAUAACUUAUAUUCAACAUAAAAGUUGCACCCAAUAAUUCAACAACAACAACUAAACAAUACUUCAAUUUUUUGGUACCAUUAUUGGGUUGAUAUAAGUUACAUAUUAUAUAACUUAGCAUGAUCCUAUUAAACAUUAAAAAUAUUAGAUUUUAUUAUUUAUCUCUCCCUUCGAGACUUUAAGCAUUAACCUUUUUUUUCUCUUUAGGUAAACCUCGGCAGUAUGAGGGAGGAUUUAUUCAGAUAAAGAAAAGAGAAAAUGACACCAACAGAGGGUUGGAGGAAGUAGUAAGCCAUGAUCAAGCCAUUGUCAGCCUUAAUAAUUUAAUAAAAAUGAACUGAAUUUGCAAGCUAAUUGCGAAAAAUUCUUUUACUAAUUUUACAUCAAAAUGUAUGUCUCAUUUUUCAAUAAAGAUUUGUAUUCUAACUUUUAGAAAAAAGCUGCCUAAAAUAUAUUAUUGUUUAGGAGGAUUCUUAUUUUUUAAAAAUAAGUAAUUCCUAAAGUAAUGGAAAAAUUAACUUAUUUAAGUAGGAAUCCUAUAAAGAUUUUAAUGUUGAUUAUUAACUUAAUUACUAGUUUAAAUCAUUGUUUUUGAUCCCUUCUAAUGUACAAGUCAUUAUAUGAACAUGACUUGUGAGAAAUUUGAGAAGAUUUAAUUGAUAGAUUCUAGAAAUUAACAAUGAUAUAAAAAACAGUAUAAUAUGAUUUGAAGAGUGAAAUGUCACUUUUCAAUUUUGAAAAGGGAGAAAGAUAAUCUCAUUUGAAGAGUUUUCUGAAACCCUUAUUGAUGAUAUAGCUCUUUAAAUGAGAAGUGAAAUCUCGUUUGAAGAGCAUUUUGGAGAUGUUCUUAAAGUGGUUGGGAAUUUUCAGUUCUCAUCCAAGAUUCUUAUAGACAAUAAUUCAAAAAUGUACUAAAUAAAUAAAUAAAAAUGGAGAAUAGCAUCUAUCACACAAAAUAAAAUUUACGUGAAAGAAUUUUUUUAUUGGACAAAAACUAUGAUCGUCAAAGAAGACCAGAUAAAAGUUCACUAUUUGAAAAGUAUAGUUACAAUCACACUCUCUUAGUAUUGUAAUCUCACAGCCAAACCUCAGCUAAAUGCUAUAUUUCUUACUCACAAAACGUUAUACAAUCCCAGAAAUACUUCCUACAAAUAUUUGACUGGAUUGUACUGCUCCACGUGCUUUAUACACAACUCAUUUAGCAAAUCCGCACCAUGCCCAACUUCAUCACUCCAAGAUCAAUUGCUUUAGGAAUGCCAAAUCUCAUUACGUCUAGCUCAUCAAAUGACCUUCCAAUAUACAGCCAAAUGGCUUUUGCUCCUGUCAAUACAAAAUCAGGUGAAAAUGACCUUCGAAUAAUUUGCUUGAAAUACUUGACAUGUUACUUGUCCAUCUGAAAUGCAUUGUGCAUGCAUUUAAUUCUAUACAACAAUUUCUUAAGCAAAGUAUAUAGGACAUUCGGGGGACAAAACACAAAGUGAAUUUGGUCGGUCACCAUUUCACCAUUUAUCACAAAUCCAUUCACACCAAUUCUAAGUUAACUUUUCAACAAAGGUAAAAUACAAUUUUUUUUUUAAUGAAAGGAGGUAAUAAGACACCAUUUUAAAAAUAUAAAUAAAUCCAACUAUGGCAUGUAUUCAGGGUUACUAACCAUCGAUACAAUAAAUCAGCCACAUAAGUUCCAAAUCAGUCAAGGUGGUGAGCUGGAAAACUAAAGACAACAUAUAGUCAACUUCAGCUUCUUCCUCCUCCACAUUCUGAAUCUAUAUUCAUAUCCAUGGCCUCACCAACAACUCUUCUUCUUCUCUUCCUUUAAAUCGGGUUUUUCACUCUAGCUUUCUCUGAUCAUCACCAAGUAACAAUUACAACCAAACCAUUUAUAAAAGUCAUCAUCAUGAUUAUAAAAAACCUCUCUUAACAACCCUCAUCAAAUCCAAUGAUCACAGUUGAGGCAUUUUAAUAAGUGGAUUGAUCGCUAAUAAUCAAAUGGUUGACCAGCAUCAGUUUAAAAGGGAAGAAUUAUUAUACCCGUAAUUUGAUUAGUAUUUGAAUCCAUCCUAAUUGACCGAAAUCUAUUUUAAUAAUUAUCAAUUUCUAAGUUAUUGUAAAUCUUACUGAUGAUUAAGAAACUAAAAAAUAUUGAAUUAUCUGUGCAUCACCCAAGUCUUAAUGAUCUUUAAUGAAAUUUUAAAGAUUUCAUCAAAACUUUAGAUCAACACUUUCUCAUAAUUAUCCAAAAUUAUAACCAAAGGUUCAGAGAAACAUAUGCUUACAUAUUCAAUAAAAUGUCACAUUACUGACUGUACAGAGUAUGUCAACAAUCUUUAAAAAAAUAUUAAUAUGUAAAAUGCUUUCAGUAAAGAAGUUAACUCACAAGAAAGCCUCUCAAUCACCUCACUUUGCUUCUCCGCAAUAGUAAUUUAGGCUCUUAAGUCACGAUCUGUCACCACCAAUCUUAUUAAAUCAUGAUCCAUCAUGAACAAUCUUCUAAGUUAUGACUCAAAUUUUAUCUGCACUUGAUGUGUGAACUCUUUUACCACUACUGAAAGCAUUUACCAAUAGAAAACUUUUUCUCUCAAAGUCAAAUAGAAAGUUUUAUUUUUCUUUGUUCUGUAUAUUAUAGCUCUUCACUUUCUCUUGUAGAAAAACAAAUCUUUUUAUAUCUUUUUCUGAAAAAACCUAAGCUCUUUAUCUUAUCUCUUUUUUAAUUAUAUUAAAUAAAAAAUAUUUGAUUUAAAUUAAAAUAUAAGAUAAAGCCAAAAGUGAUUGCACAUCACUUGUGGUUGUUAUAGGGCCCGCCUUAUUAAAUAACACAAGACCCUUUAUACACAAGCAUGUUAAAUGAAGCCUCCCACCAAAUAAUAAAUUUAGGUCUUUAACCCAAAUAACUAGCUAUCUUACUUAUCAGUCAAGUAGUGGUGCAGUCAAUUAAGUGAGCUAACCAGUGGAUCAUUUGGAUACCAACAAUAGUGGCUAUAAUAAUUAGGCUUAUAAUUAAACUAGCUUAAUUAUUUAAUUCCAAAUCUACCGCACUAAAGAUUGGAACUGACCUCCAUAAUUGUAUGCUAUUUAGGAUGGUGUUCUCGAAUAAUAAUUUGACUCAUGUCAUAUUGAUAUCUUUACUAAACAGUCCUUUGUACCACAUCAUUAAUUAAAUUAAUAUCUCAACUGUCUAAUUAACUUAAUUACAUUUGGUUCCAUGAUACUUAUUGGUUUUUCUCUAAUGAUCAUUUUCUACAUAUUAAUUAUGUUGACACACUAUGGCUAGAUAAUUCUAUGAUCAAUUACCGAAAAUCCAUCAAGAUACGUGCUCUACAAAUUUUGUAUUGUUAAUCUAUAAUCUCACUGCUUAUAAUUGCUUCCAAUAUAUUGAAUAAUCUUAAUUACAAAUAUAUGUUGCGUCCAUUAGCAAUUCAAAUGGAAUAACAGUCAUAAUCAUGAAACUAUAAUUAAUUCAAGGUUAAGAUUGCAAUAAAAUAAAUGCCCAUGAGGUUUAAUAAGUCUGACAAUCAUUUCAAGGUUAAUUAAAUCUCAUAAGUGAUCCAGUUCAAUGUAGUCAAACUAUAAUGGUAAAUAAAUCAUUAAAUAAUUUUACUACAGUAAAAAAAUAGAUAGAGGACCCAACUCUAUUUAUCAACCGAGAACCCAAUUUAUCUAAUCAUAAGAUAACUUGUAUUUAUGUUUUCUUUAAAUCUAUAUGAUGAUCAUAUAAAUACAUAUACUAUAAUUAAACGGAUCUUAUUCAAAAUAUUUAUGCAAUUAAGAUAUCUGAAAAAUAUCUCAAAUAUUUUAUUAAUUAGAAAAUGUAUUUACAAUAAUAAAUAAAUUAAUAUACUUUAAAAAGCACGUAAUCCCAAUAGAUAAUACAUUUAUACAUGAAUAAUUGGAAGAAAAAAAUUGCAACAAGGCAUUCUGAUAGCUAUACAAAAACACUCAUUUUCAAUAAAUUGUUCUCCGUGCAUAACUAGGUCUAUGAAGUUUGCAAAUUUAUCUUACCUAUAGCAUGUUAGAAGUUUGCGGAUGGUCCCUCCCAACAGCCGUAUGGCUCUCCCGGUAUCUAAAAAUUCGCAGUUUUCUGAAAAUUCCGAACCAAUCUAUUAACAUCAAGCGGAUACUCCAGAUUCGUUUGCUGUGCACGCCAAUGAACUGAAUCAGAACCCAACCGAACUUCAUGCAAUGAAAGUUCCUUCAGAAACUCUCCAGGUCGUUCAGGCACUUCAAACUGACCCGGAUUCUUAAUCUUCCUGUACAGCAUCGCUCAGCUGAACAGCUCAUCCUGUUCCUCCUCUCUCAGGAUCUUCCUCGUCAAACUCAGCCACGCCGAGUCAUCGGAGGGCUUCAGAUGUUCGUUAUGAGAGUGAAUCUGUUUUAUAUAUGAUUCAUUUUUGGAUGAUAAGAGGCUGCUUCUGAAUGUAUGUGAUGCUAAUUCAGGAUAAGCGCUUGUACACUCUUUAGCUUGAGCAGCCGACACGCUGAAGAGAAACGGGAGCAAGAAUUUGAAGAAC
Molecule: long non-coding RNA, 158286 nt
Filed under: Citrus maxima (pomelo)
Lineage: Eukaryota; Viridiplantae; Streptophyta; Magnoliopsida; Sapindales; Rutaceae
Description: long non-coding RNA (CMAX_LNC001231)
Source: RNAcentral